AAACGAAGUGUUUUUGUUUUUUGCUGAUUUUCAGUGGAAAACAAAAUUCAAGCUACGUAAAACUUUUUUCAUUUAUUUUUUUUUCCACUGAACCAAACAAAUGUAGAUUUUUUUUCCUUUCAACCAAACAAAUGUUGAUAGAAAAUUACUUUUUUUUUCCUACAAACCAAACACUACAAAACGUACCCACGGAAAACUAUUUUUCACAGUUUCCCGUACAACCAAACACCCCCUAAAGCUCAAUCAUUGUGGCGUCAGCAAUAUGGAGAGUAAACCAUUAUUUAUAGCAAACAUAUCACUUAAAAAGACGAGCACUUCAAAUUUCGAACUUCAAACUAGCUACCUUAGCAGAUUCUAUUGUGGAGAAGGUUUUUUCUUCUUUUUUGAGAAUGAAAUCAAAUGAUCGUCACCAUUCAUAAUACGGAAAAUCCUCGAAUCCAAUAAGAACAGCAAAUAAUCUUAAUUAUCAUACUACAACAAACAAAUUCAGCAAGAACUGCGACAAAAUAAACCUACAAUGAUUCAGCCCACCAAUCAAUAAAAUUUCGCAGUCCUAUUUGUCGGAGAAAAAUGGUAAUCAUCAAUUCUAAUAACAAUCAUAAUAAACAUCAUAUAAUCUAUAUGAUUCUAAUUGCGACGAAAAGGUACAGGGUCAUUAUCAUGGUGGGUUGGAUAAUUCCAUUUCCUUUGAACCCAAGGAUCCUCCAAGAUCAAAAUGGUUUGAUACCAACCAACCCAAUCAAUCACUUUCAUCAUUAUUAACAACAAUUCUGGUUGCCCAAAAAAACAAAAGCAAAGAAAAAUGGUGUUUUGAAAUCCUGAUUCCCAAAAAAAAAAAAAAACAUCUUUGAUCAAAAUUAAUUAUAAAAUUUGGAAAGGAAAAAAAAACCAAUCAAUCUCUUCAUCAAUCUUAACAACAUUUCUUGUUGGAAAAAAAAAAAAAAAACAGUAUGCAAAAUGGCGUUUUGGAACCCUAACUCCAAAGGGGGAAAAAAAACCAAUCUUUGAUUAAAAAAAAAAAAUAACCAUCAAAUUUGAAAAAACAACAAAAAAGAAAAAAACCUUAAUCAAUCUCUUCAUCAAUGUUAACAGCAUUUUUUUGUUGCAAAAAAAUACUAACCAAAAUGGUGUUUUGAAACCCAAAUUCCCAAGAAAAUUUUUUUGAUGAAAUUAACCAUAAAAUUUGGACAAAAAAAAGCCCAUUCAAUCGCUUCAUCAAUAUUAACAAAAUUUGUUGUUGCAAAAUUUUUUAAAAAAGAGAGAGAGAGAGUAAUGCACUAACCAAAAUGGCAUUUUGAAGCCCUAAUUCCCAAAAUAAAAACCCAAUUUUUGAUCAAAAUUAAUCAUAAAAUUUGGAAAAAAAGAAAAAAAAAAUCGAAACUUGAACGGAUUCGAGGGGGGUAGGUUCCUCACGCAGUGGGGACACGGCACGCAGUGGUGAGACGCGGCGUGCGCCGUCCAAGUGGCGGCGCCGCCCAAUCGGACGGCCGAGAUCGAGCCGCGGUGGAGAGAGGAGGAGAGGAGGAGGAGGAUGCUCCGUUUUUAUGCGGCUCUUUUAUGCGGCCUCACGUGGGAGAAAGAUUAGGGAGAGCCGUAGAAUCAAAGCGUGGGGACAAAAGAGAGGGUAGAAUCGGAAUAGUGGGAAAAUUGUAGGGGUACUUUGGGAAUUUUGGUGGUGAAAAGAGAGACUUUUUGGGUAAACAUUUAUGGUGACCACCCUCAACUAUAGGCAAAUUCAAAACAACUACCUCAACUUCUAAAUUCGUUCAUUUGAGUUGUUAGUGUUGAUCUAAAAUUUAAUAACCUACUAAUUAUUAAUUAGUUUAGUUUUAUUUGCUAAAAAAUAAUUAAAUUUAUUAAAUUUUAAAAAAAUCACUAACAAAUUUAAAAGAAUCUCCAAAAGUCUUAACUACACAUUAUAUGUUAAUAGUUUUUUUUGGGCUAAAUUACAUAAAACCCUCCUGUCUAAACCUGUUUUUUCACUUUUUCCUUCUGUCAUUUAAAAACCUACACUUUGACCCCUUAUAAAAUAAAAAAUAUUCACUUCGCCCCCUGCCGUUAGUAAUCCGUUAGGGUUCUGUUUAUAAAAUAUUAUUAUAUAUUUUUUUAUGCGAAAAAUGUCCUCAGCCUUUUCUCCUAUGAAUAUGAUGAGAGACAAAAUAGUGAGGGGCAAAAUAAUCAUUUUAUCAUCAUAAUUCACACCGUACCCUAUGUGAACAUUUUUUAUUUUACAAGGGGACAAAAUAUAGGUUUUUAAAUGACAGAAAAAAAUGGGGUUUUCGGUAAUUUAGCCUUUUUUUUUUAUUUCUCACAUUAUACUAUUUUUUCAAAGACAUUAAAAUAUCUUUUUCUUAUCAAUCUAUACACUAAACUUUAGAUUUGUUUUAUUUACUAUGCCGUAUUAUUUUUUUGACCUUACUAAACUACUAUUUUCUAGUUAGGGAUAACACUUAGGCGUGUUUGGUUCGAAGUCGGAAUCAGAAUCGGAAUCGAAAUCAAAAUAAGCUGGAAUCGGAAUCGGGAUGACUCAUUACCUAAUUUUGUUUGGUUCAUUACCUGAAUCGGAAUUGGAAUAAAUCAUUCCCAUUGUCGGUGUUUGGUUCAGGUGAAUAUAAAAAACGUAAUCAAAUUAAUAUACUAAUAUUAGCUUUAUAAUAUAUUAAUUUAAAUUCAAAUUAAAUAUUAAAUAUUAAAAAUUUACAUCAAAAUUUUGAAAUAAUGUCAAAAUUUUAAAUCUAUUUUUUUUAAAAAAAAUAAAAAUUUGAAGUUGAGUGGAUAAUUCAAAAUAUGAAACUAAAUUUUUGAUUUAUUCAAAUUCAAAAUAAAAAUUAAAAUUUAAUUUAAAUUCAAAUUCAUAAGUUAGAUUCGAAAUACUUGAUUAAAUUUUAAUUUUUAAUUUAAGUUCAAAUUAAAAUUUAAAAUUAUAUAUUUAAUUUUUAAAUUUUAACUCAUAUUUUAAUUAAAAAAGUUGAAAAAAUAAAUUUAAUCCGAAUAAAUAUUCAUUCCAUCCGGAUUCAACUUCCAAUCCGGCCUCCUAGCCGGAUUGAAAAAAGAGGUGAUUGGGGGAUUCCUAUUUCACUCGGGAAUCGGAAUCGGAAUGGGACUCCCGCGUUCCAAACACCCACAAACAAAUUUAUCUGUUCCGAUUCCGAUUCCAAGGUGAAAAAGAAGCGAACCAAACACGCCUGCAAUAUUAUUAAGAAAUUUAUUAUUUUACACGAAAACUCUCACUUCUAUAGAGAGAAUUGAGAGAAACUUGCUUAAUAGCACUUAAAAAAAAAAAGAAAAAGAAGACCUUUCAAGAUAAAUUUAUUAAAAGCUUAUAAAAAAGUAUUUCCCAGUAUUUUUCUACUAUUUCAAGCUUUUUAAAUUUUUAUCAAAAUAAACCGAAUAUAUAUCUCAGCAUUUGUAACCAAUACUUUUUAAAAUAUAGAGAUUGAUUUUUUUUAAAAAAAGAUACUUCUAGUAUCACUAAAAGAGUCGUGCUACCCAUACACCCCAUAUUGAGUUGUAGAUCCUACAACUCUUGAAUCCAACGUAUGAUAUAAAAUUUGAGGAGGCAAUUUCAUAAUAGCACAUAGUUGAGGGGUCUCUAUGCAUUUUUUACUGAAAAGUAUGUAUUGCUCAUGUUCUCUGAUUAUUAGGGGUGACACAUGCUUAACUCAAAUAAUAUGUUUUAUUAGUUUAGAAGAUUCAUGGUUUAAACGAAAGCAACCUCGCUCUCUCUGUCGUACAAUAUUUAUGAUUGCCAUAGAAUGCAUUCAAGUCAUUACAUUUAAGGGAAAAUUUCAAAAACCCCCUGUCGUUUCACAUUUUUUUAUUCUAGUAUCAUAUGGUUUAAAGUGAUUAAGUUAGUACCCUAUGGUUUCGCACUUUCUCACUUUAGUACCCUGUGAUUUAAAGUGUAUCUAAUUAGUACUCUGUGAUUUUAUUUUUGUAUCAAGUUAGUACCCUAUGGUUUUUAAACCACAGGAUACUAAAGUGAGAAAGUGUAAAACCACAUGGUACUAAAGUGAGAAAAUGCGAAAUCACAGGAUACUAAAUUGAUACACUUUAAACCACAGGGUACUAAAGUGAAAAAGUGCAAAACCAUAUGGUACUAACUUGGUACACUUUAAACCACAGGGUACCAAAGUGAGAACGAGUGAAACCACAAGGGGGUAUUUGAAGUUUUUUCUAUAUUUAAAUGUAUUAUAAGCAUUGCUGGACAUGGGGCUCAUCAUUGGGCAUUUGGGCUUCAACCUCUAGGCGGGGGCUUUUUUUGCAUUCGGCCCUUGAAAAAAAAUUAUUUUAAAAAUAACUCCAGCAAAUUUAUAUUUACAAAAAUGGUCAUAGCUCUACCACGCAGGCGCCACGUCAGUGCCACGUGAGCGUGCUGUGGCCGGUUUGUUAAGUUGAACACGAUGAAUCAUUUACCGUGUUUAGACACGGUGAAUGAUUUACCGUGUUUAGACACGGUGAAUGAUUUACCGUGUUUGAAGAAAAUAUAAUAUAUAUGUAUUGCGAAAAAAUAUAAGGAAAAUAUAUAGGAGUGCUUGAACACGGUGAAUGUGGAAUGAGAAGAAUAUAGGUAUGGAACAUGGUGAACCAUUCACCGUGUUUGAACACGGUGAAUGAUUCACCGUGUUUGGGAAAAAUAUAAUAUAUUGUAUUGCGAAAAAAUAUAAGAAAAGUAUAUGGGGGUGUUUAAACACGGUGAAUGAAGAAAGGAAUAUAGGUAUGGACCACAGUGAACCAUUCACUGUGUUUGAACAUAGUGAAUGAUUCACUGUAUUCAACUUAAAACCAUAGUGCUGAUGUGGCGCCUGCGUGGCGGGGAUAGGGCCAAAUUUGUAAUUAUAAAUUUGAUGGGGUUAUUUGUAAAAAAAAAAGUAUUUUGAGAGGGCCAAAUGCAAAAAAAAGCCCUCUAGGUGGGGUUGUCAGUGGAUACAGAUAUCUAAAAUUUUAUCAGAAUUUGAAUAUGAGUGAAGCAAGUUUAUUUGAAGCUAAAGGGAUAUGGUUUCGGAUACGGAUAUAAGAAAUAAAAAUCGGACGGAUUCGGGUUCGGAUAUAAAUUUUGUCUGAAUCUAUUAUGAACCCAAAUAACUUUUACAUUAUAUAAUAUAUAUGAAAAUUUAGUCUUAUAUCUGAAUUUGUACUUUGAUACUUAGAUUUUAAUAUAAUACGUUUGAAAUGCGGUAAAAAGACAUAAUUGUUUUAUAUUCGAUUUUGGAUGUGGAAUUUCAAAACUUGUCGGGUUCAGAUUUAAAUUUGGGUUUGGGGUUUGGUUGUCGGGUUCGGAUUCGGGUUUUUAAAACCUAGCCUGAAUCCGACCUGUUGACGCUCCUAACUUUUACUUUUUUUCAAGAAUAAAAAAGUACAGUUAAAACUAUAUGCAACGAAAUAAUAUUUUAUAUUAAAUCUCAAGCACUUCACCAUCCAAGUAAAUGGUGACCGAAAUAUGUUAUCGAAAUAUGUUAUAUGUACAUUCAAAAAUAAAUUCUAAAUAUUACAUCCAUCCAUCCUAAAAUAAAAUUAGUAGUUUUUGGAUGGAUAGUAUUCAAUUUAGGGUUAAUUACGCUAGUAGUCCCCAACCUUUUCAUCAAUUUUCACUUGGAUCCCUAACUUUUUUUUUUUGCAAUUAAAUCCUUAAUCUCUUGAUUUUAUUACAAUUAGGUCCCAACCGUUAAAAAAUCUAUUAAAAUUAACGGAAUCCUCACGUCAGCGCCUAUUUGGCAUCCUUUUGCAUGUUAAUUUAGGUUUCUAAACUUUGCACAUUUUUUACUUUAGUCUCUAAAAAUAAAAAUUCAAAAUUUUAAAUUUAAAAUCAAAAAUAAUAUUAAAAUUUUUUUGCAAUCCGCUGACACAACGCUACCGUGGUACUGACAUGGUCCCUCCGUGGCGCUGACAUGGUGCUGACGUGGGUAUUUUUCGUCAAUUUUAACACCUGUCUAACUGCUGGGACUUAAUUGAAAUGAAAUCAAGAGAUUAGAUACUCAAUUGCAAAAAAAAAAGGUUAGGGACCUAAGUGAAAAUUGGUGAAAAGGUUGGGGACUACUAGUGUAAUUAACCCUUAAAUUUAUACUGAUACUUUUAAGUGUACAGCUAGCAUUGUUCUGCUCGGCAGCGGAAAAUUGAUAUGGGACUAUGGUUAUACUCAAGAGGUUAGGAGGGUUAAGCGUGCUAGAAUUAGAAUAGUUCUAGGAUGGUUGAUUCUCUAAAAAGUGGGGCGUCACAGGUAAUAUUGGUUAAGCUCAGGAGGUUAAGACGGUUAAGUAUGUUAGAACUAGAGUAGCUCUAGAAUAGAUGAUCCUCUGGGAAGCGGGGCGUCAUAGUUAGUAUUAAAGCCAAUCGCCAGUAGGAAAUAUGAGAUGAUAUAACGGGCGGAGCCCGGCUCCCGGACUGAUGAUUGUUGUGGGUGGAGCGCCACUCUCCACAAGGUUGGCUAUGACUAGCAAGACUGAGAAGUGAGACAUCACAACUAAUCUAGUCCUAGACUCUCUCAAACUUUGGGCUUAGCUACUAUCCAAAAUACUAUAACUGAAUUAAGAUAUUUAACUAUACUAUACCUUAUAUAUGGAACUAUUCCAAAUCCCGAGGGUGUCACAUUUCCUCCUUUCCUCUUUAAGCUUUGAUGUUCUCAUCAAACUCACAAACACCAGAUGAUGUGAGACUCCUCUUGCUAGACUUAACGGAUCUUGUGGAAAACCACACUCUGCCCACAAUGACUGUCAGCCGAAAAACCGCGCUCUACCGGCUACAUGAUUUUACCUCAGCCGAAGAUCAUUUCACACUUCUAAUUGGUAAUUGACUCUGAUACUAAUUGUGACAGCCUAAACUACUCUUAAUUUUAGAGCAUGCUCAAAGCGAUUUUAAUUUUUCUCAGCCUUAUAAAGAAUUGGAGGUGCAUUUCAACAGUAUCAGACUAAUGCUUCUCCAAUGGCUGGGGUUCUAACCAUCAUUUUAUUUAGAAAAAAACUUCAAAUACAAUCCAUGUAGUUUCGCACUUUUCCACUUUAUUAUCAUGUGGUUUAAAGUGUAUCACUUUCAUACUCCGUGAUUUUAUUUUUCUCUUUUUAUUAUCCCUUCCACUAUAUUUUCGUUAAAUCAGUGACAAAGUUAAAACUAAAAGGUAUUAAAGUAAAUAUUCGAUAAAUUACAGGUGAGGUAUCUGAAAUUUUUUUGUAUAUAAUUUAAUAAAAAGUUACUGCUGACGAAAAGAGAAAAAUAAAACCACAGAGUACUAAAUUGAUAUACUUAAACCACAAGGUACUAAAAUGAGAAAGUGCGAAACCACGGGAUGGUAUUUGAAGUUUAUCCUUUUAUUUAUAAACUAUCAUAAUAUCAUCUAUCAUUUUAUUUGUAUCAAAGGAGAUAAAAAAAUCUAAAGUGCUUUAAUUUUUUUUUAAAAAAAAUCUUCCUAUAUCUAGGGCAGCAGAUAAGCUUCUUUUUUCUUUUCUUUUUUUUUUUUUUUUGCCUCAUUCCAAGCUUCUGGAAUAGAGUAGAACUGUUCAAAGGAGCACCAACAUUCUAUCAUCACAAAUUCAAAUACUAAAAUUCAAAUAACUAUUUCAAAAUUAUAAGUGUAUAAUUAGGUUAGAAUACUUUUGGAAGCUCAAAGAGAGUUUACUUUUGCAUUGCUUCCCUUAUAGAACAUCUGAACCAAUGAUUGAUAUAAAUAUAUUCUAAACUAUUUGAAGUUUCUAGGAGUGUAAUUUUAUGAUGUCAUUUUUCUGUUAUUCAAGUGGUUCAAAAUUUAACAACUUCGACUUAUAUAAUGUGAAUUUGACAUAACUAGAUCACUACGUAAACGAUGUCAUAAAAUCAUGAAAUUUGAUUUCUAUUAAGUACAAAUAGCCUAAAUUAUAUUUAAUGAUACCGAUCAUCCAUUUGGAUAUCUCAUUGCUGAAAACGACACUAAAGUAAACUCUCUUAUUUACUUCUAUAAGUAUUCUAGCCUGGCUCCAAAAAUAUUAUCAGCAUAAUAAAUAAAAAUUUCAAAAUAAACUCUUCCAUUUACUUCCAACAGGAAUGAUCAAUAUAGACAUUUAAUCUUCACCACAUUAUGGGCUAGUUUGGUUCACUUAUUUUCGACUAUAAAAUCGUAAUGAGAUUCAUUAACUCUGAUAGUUGUUUGUUUUAAAGAAAUUGAAUUCCGAUUCCCAUCCAGAGUGGAAUGAGACUUGAACCAAUUUAUUUAUGUCCCAAUCCGAUUUUGAAUUAUGUACUGACCCAUUCCAAAAUAAACCACUCAAAACCCUUCUCUCUCUUAACGAAAAUCCUAUUUCAAAAUCCUAAAUAUCCAUUCCGAUUUUCAUUCCAAUAACAAAUUAAACAUUUCUAGGUGCUUCGUCAUUCUAUUUCCUAUUCCAAUGCAAUCCAAUUUCAUUUCUCAUUCAUACUCCAAUCAUAAACCAAACAUACCCUACAAGUAAAGAGUAACAAAGCCAAACAAUUUCAACCUUGUAUAGCACAACUUGGAUGUUUAAUCGCAUGAGAAGUUAACUGAGAAAAUAAGAUGCAUUUCACCAUCAAUUCACUAAUAAACAACUCAUUACCUGAAAAUCUUCGAGCUUAUUCGGUACUCCAGGAUAUCACUCGACCGAAAGCUGAACUCACCUUAUACCCUAUAACCUCUCUUAAUAACUCUACUCUACACUGUGAAUCACCGCUGUAAGACAAAACAGAAAAUGGUUAUAUAGAAGAUGGUCCAGCCAAUAAGAUGUCGCAGCUGAUCAGUUAUUGCGUGGCGAUUGUAAAAUUGUAUCUCAAAUUCAUAUUAACUACAUAUAAUUUCCGUGGCAUCCGCUGAAAGGCUUACCAACAAGAAAAAAUAAUAGAAAAUUCGCAAGGUUUAUUAAGUCUGUAACUUACGGGCUCCAAAAGGAUCAAAAAACCUUCUCGGUCAAGAUUUCUCCCGCACGAAUAAUAAGACAAUCGGGCUCUUUGCUGAAUAAUGAAACAAUAAGGAAAAAAAAAAAGAUUAUUUGAUUACUAUUAGGGGGUUAUGUACUAACUGUUCCUACCAUGUUGCAGCAAUCAAUCUGCAGUAUCCAUUGGCUUUUUCCGAAAGAAGGCCUGGACCAAUGAAACCACUGCUAUCAGCGCAAUCUGAACAUGUUCCGAUGUGUUGGUCCUCACAGAAACCUGACCUAAUCUUCUACUAUUGAGAUUACCACUAAUAGAAACUUUUGAACCACGGCCAACUCGGAAAUCCGACUGAAAACUGCCGCCCAAAACCAUCUCUUUCUCAAAGGAGAGGAUGGUGCCCGCCAAAAUUACCUUCUCAUCCCUUACAGGAUAAUCUUUCCCCUUUAUUGUUGCCUCCAAACUUCCCCCGUACGCCACUUGACCGCCGCCCCCCAUCCGACCAGUGUUCAUUGUCAGCUUAAAUCUCUUUCCUAACGAAAUCGAGUCCUCAACUUUUGCCCCGAAGAAAUACAUAUCACCAAAUUUAGUAACGGAAAGCCCAGCUCCCAUUGUGUUGAAGGAUAAAUUGCGGAAUCUAGCAUCGCUACGAAGAGUGGAAACCAAUUCUUUACCGGCGGUUUGAAUGUCCAGUCCGCUGUGUAAGGAGUGGCCACUUGGGUCCAUGUAAUUUGCCGCACAUUCCGAUUGGAUAGUAAAAUCUUCUUUAUCCUUUCUCAUUUGUCCUGCGAGAGAAAUAUAAGUCCUUCUCUUUACAUCUCGAGAAAACUCUAUAUUGAUCCCGUCGAACCCAACAUCAUGAUCCCAUCCUUGAGGAUCCAAAACAGGCCUCGAAAGCCACUGAUCAUUACCUACUAAGCAGCGAUAUCUAUAGGCUGGAUUCUCAGAGUCAAAACUUUGAGCAAUUGCUAUAUCCAAUACUUGCAUAGCCUCUUCGGAAGGAUUCUCGUAAUCCUCACUGUCAUUUGAAGUAUCAUUAUUAUCCUGAACCAUGGCCAUCUUUUGCUUUCUAACUUCUUCUUUCCAUUGUUUCUUUAGAAAAAGAGUCUCGCGAUAGUCCAACUCAUCAAGAUAAGACUUUUUCUGAUUCUCAGAUAAUUUCUGGAAUUGGGUUUUGGUUAGUAUUCGAAUUGGAGGUAGCUGAUCGUAUUCAUCCUCAUCAUUAUCUGAGAGAUCAUCCAUUUCACUCUCCAUGCCCCCGGAAUUAGCUAAAGAAUGGGGCCUAAGGAGUGAAGAGAGGAGAUGGGGCAUCGAGGGCACUCUGUUGCUUGCUGGUGUUAAUUGAAAGCUAUCCUGAAAUUUUAGAAGAGAGUUCGCUUCGCCCAAUACCUUUGUAGCUGUACACAACAGCAAGAAUCUGGAAAUCCAAGCUUGGCCACUUCGGAGAACUUUUUCGCCUUUGUUGUUUGUUUUACACAUUGGAUGAUUCUCAACUAAUAUUACAGGAUUAUCAAGCUGAGUGCUAGAAACAGCUUGGUGUAUAUAAUGUUGAAUCAUGUUUGUCCAAUAGUGAACCAACGCUUCAUAAUUCACAGGAUAGCCGUCGGCCCCUUCAGGAAGAGGAGAGGAAGCAUGUGUCAUAACAAGAACAGUACUGAACCAGAUCGAAGAACCAAAGACUUCAGUUAUAAGCUUGAAAAGCGGAUAUUCAUUGUAAUUCCUGCCAGUGAGAUCUAGCCGCUCAAAAUAUAAAACAACAUCAGGCGGAGACUUUCGAAUGAAACUUCUAAUUUCUUGCAUGAUCUUCCUGUUUCUUCUUUGAUUACCAUGGGGAGGUGAAAGACCGGGUGUAUCAAUAACUGUGACAUUAAUUCCUUUAAUGUUUCCAGAAACUUCUUGGAUUUUGUCAGUGGAAGGUUGGAAUGGAUCAGUAAUUACCUUUUCCUGAUCAAAGAUUGCGUUUAUGGUUGCGCUCUUGCCCACACCAGUUUUGCCCAAUAAAAGAAUCUUGAUCGAAAAGUCGAGGGGGGGUCGAUUAGUUGCCUCCUGCUCUGCUGCUAUAGCCCUAGCUUUGUUGAUCUUAAGACAAGUCCUCUUUAUUUCUGAAUCAGUUGCUCGAAUUAAGCUAGCGAGGUGCAAUCUGUAUAGAACCUGUGCAACCACAUUAUUUUCGGGUGACUCUCCUAUUCUACGAACAAGGCGCAAGAACUUGAUUUGGAGAGACUCGACUCUUUUUAAAGGAUCUGCAUCCUUAUCAUCGCAUUCGUAUUGAGCAGGAUCAGAAGUUGAAGUCGAAACCAGCUGAGAAGAGGCUGAUAAUUCUGUUACUUGGUCAUAAUCGGAAUUAGCACUACUGGCAUAUCCUGUUCCCACCAUGUUAGUUCUCUCUACUGUACCUACAAAAGUCAAAGGAUCAUAAUUACUCAAGUUGCUUCAAGCCUCUAAUCUGGAGAUGGAGUCAUUGAGCAGAUCCAGCUCAUUCUCUUAAUAGAUAGUGGAUUUAGAAAGCAGGAACAGUACAACAAUUUUAUCACAACGUGAUAAUUAUAAAUUACAGGAAAAACAGAUUAAGAAAGAGAUCUUUUGUUAAAAGUAAUCAAUCAAAUUUCAACAAAAGAUUAGAAAAUAGUGACAAAGAGCAUUAGGUUUUGCACCAGUCACAAGAAGAGACAUUAUUGUAUUUCCGUGCCAAAAAAGCACCUGUGUAAGGGAACUAGGAGAAAUGAAUGGGAGAAAACAUAACAGAGGGUCAAAAUAAAGAAGGUUGACGGCUAGGACUGUCAUAUCGGUCCACAGGACAACUGUGGUGGGCAUUUGCCGACUUUGGUGUGUCCACAAUGUUGCAAGCUCAUACAUGCCUACGCAUAACAGUGCCUUUGUACUCAAUGAGUGUCAGCAUGUGCCAUGUUGAUCUCCGACGAGCACAGAAACAUGCUAGGGAAAGUAAAUCCAUGAUGGACAUACUUUGAAAUAGGAAAGCUGAUUUUCAUGCCCUUGUGAAAAAUAGAGGGAAAAAAACAGUAGUUUUCAUGUCAACGGAUUUAUCAAGAAUGACAUCCCGAGCUACAUUGCUAGCUAAUGAAUGCUCACUGUUUCAACAUGUUCAAAGCACGCAAAUUUGUCUUAGUUAUCUUUUCUCAAAAAAAAAAAAAAAGUGUCUUAGUCAUCACAACAUCAUUCCUCGUUAUGGACUAUUAGUUCAAACCUCCUAUCUUUCCUCCUUUCCUUUAAGUUAAAACAAGUGUGUUGCAAGUAGAGACCAAAAAUAGCUUCCAAGUUCCAAUAGAAACCGAGUAUGAUAAAUCAACAAGGAAAGUUAGUCCUAGAGCUAAUAAAGGAAAAGGAUUUAUAAAAGGAGGCAAAACUAAUGAGCUUAAGUUUGAUAUUAGGUUGUAAUUAAUUUUUCAACAGCCAAAACUAGGGUCAAUUUCCAAUAACAUUGAGUUCUUCUAAAAAUGCACCAAAACUAGCAAUAAGAAAAGACGAUGCAAAAUAUCCACAGAACGUCACGAAUUUUUUUGUGUAAUGGGAAUGACGAGAGACAUCAUGAUUUACAGCAGAAAUAUACUAUACCUUGAACUCCAGGUUCUCCAUUCGGAGAAUCCUCAUCAAAGAAGCUGAAAGGCCUCGCUGACAACAAUUUCUUAGAUACCAACCGGCAGAAAAGCCACUUCUUGAAAUCCAUGGUCCUACAUAAAAGAGCAAGAAAAAAUCAAUACACAUCCAGCGCAGUUCGAUAGCAACCAUAUGUUAGCGAGUAUCAACUAAGUUGGCGUUCGAUGAUGUCGAGAGUAACUUCAAAACAUAGAUUACAAAGCUCGUGGCAUAACUACAAAGCUCGUGGCAUAACUAUAAGGCCAUGAUGAUGAUAAUAAUGAUAAUGAUAAUAAAUAAUGAUAACAAUACUUUAUCUUAGUGUUCCGUCAACUGCUAUCUAAUUUCUACAAAAUGCCAUAUUUUUCUAGCAUUUACAGGAUAAACUGAACCGGAAAAUCGUUCCAGGAUUCCUCAAAUUAUCCAAUUGACAAAAUUCCCAUUUUCUCUAAUUUCUUCUUUCUCUUUAAAUACUUACAUAUCACCAAAUUCACAAUUGAUUCCGUAAAUAGAAGCAUGCGAACUACAUCAAAUACAAAGAAGAGAACGGACUUAUCAACUCUUCUGAUUCAUGAUUAGCUCGCACAGUCAUCUUCUUUUAAAAAAUAAAAGCUAAAAACAAAAAAGAAAAAAAAAAAACAACGCGUAAUCACCAGGGCACUCUAGCACAUAGAAUUUGAUUUUUUUUAUAAAAAAAAUAUAAGAAAAAACAAAAAGAAGUAUCAUACGAAGCCUAAAAUUACAAUCCCUACAAUAACAUGCUACUAAAUCUCUUCGAAUCCUUUCAAACUACUCUUUUUUGCCUUGAUUUGGCUUUUGAAUAACCAAAUUAAUCAACAAAUAAGGAGCGAACGCAGGAGAGGUUUCGACCCCAAUACCUAAUUCAAGAACGCCGCGUCCGAUUCUUCGGAUUCGCCGUGGGAACGGGGAGAUUGAAGCAUAAUAUUACAAUCUAAUUGGAGCAAUUAUUGGGCAAAUUAUAGGGGGGAUUCGAAGAUGGUGUGUGUGAGAGCGAGGGAGAGAGAGAGAAGAGAUUAGGGUUUCGUCUCCGUCCAAAGAUUGGGGAUUUGGUUUUCGCCUUCUUUUUGGGGAAAACUUCAAAAACCACCCCUGUGGUUUCGUACUUUCUCACUUUAGUACCCUGUGGUUUAAAACGUAUCAAUUUGCCCCCCUGUGGUUUCGUUUUUCUCUUUUUGUUAUCAAUUUUAUUAUUAUUUUUUUCUUAAAUCAGUGACAAAGUUAAAAUUAAAGGAUACUAAAGUGAAUAUUCGAUAAAUAUAGAUGGUUAUCUGAAGUUUUUUGUAUAUAAUUUAACGAAAUAUUAACGAAAAAGCUUCCGAAAAGAUAAAAAUGAAACCACAGGGGGGCAAAUUGAUACAUUUUAAACCACAGGGUACUAAAGUGAGAAUGCACGAAACCACAGGGGGGUUUUUGAAGUUUUCCCUUCUUUUUGUCCCGUUAGUAUUUUUUUUCUUUUUUUUUUCUUUUUUUUUUUUUCUAAUUAACGUUCUUUACUUCUUUUUCGACUUUGGUCGGAUAAAAAUAAAAUAAAGGGUUAAUUUCACUUAGGCCCCUACUAAUACAGUAAAUUGCAAACAUAUCCCUAUAAAAUUUAAUUUUUAUAUAUUGUUUUUGUAAAAAUUCGGAUAUUUUCAAAUAUAUCCCUGCCGUUAGAAACUAUUAAAAAAAAUUAGUUAAUCAUAGAUAACAUAUUUAACCCUAGUUAGUUAAUGAGGUGAAUUAAUUUUUUACUCAUUUUUAAUUAACAGUUGAAAUUUUUGGAGGGACAUAUUUGUGAUGAUAAAAAGGUUAUUUCACUAAUAAAAUAAAUAGUAUUUUAACGGUAACAAAUCAGAGAGAUAUAUUAGAAAAUAUUAGAAUUUUUUAUCGUCAUAUAUCAAAGUUGAACGUUGUAGGGAUAUAUUUGUAAUUUACUAUGUUUGCAGGGACUUAUAUGAAAUUAACCCUAAAAUAAAAUGAGGCCCUGUCCUGCAAACGGGUCGGAUUUUUCUUUUUCUAACCCGACCCUUUUCCACCCUUUAGAUCCGAAUCCAUUAAACUUUACAAAAUCGUGAGCAUCUCUCUCUCUCUCUCUCUCUCUCGCUCUCUUCUCGUUUCCUCCCCCGAGAAAUGACGAUGAAGAGGAGAUCCAUGGCGACCAUGGCCUACUCCUCCUCCUCCUCCCCCUUCCCCGCCACAGCACCUUCGCUUCUUCUCCUCCUCCUCUCUCUCAUCGCCCUCUCCUCUCUCCUCCCUCCCACUCUCGCCGCGCCAACCGGGUAGGUUUUUUCCCCCCCCUCCUUUUUUCCCCUUCUUUUUGCAUCCUUUUAAGCCCUGAUUGAUCCAUCCCCUCUUCCUCUAAGAUCAUCCGAUCAUAGUUGUUUUCCAACAUUUUUUUCUGUAUUUUUUCAGCCCUGGAGAGGGGUUUUCCGUCGCGGGUCGCGUGAAGUUGGAAGGUAUGCUACUUUUAAGUCGAUUUUGUGAUCCAAUUAAUAUUGAGAUCUGUAUCAUUUGAUUGUGAAAUUUUUGGAUAAAAAUGUACUGAGAUCCUCAGGGCCCUCCUAAACUUUGAUUUUUUUUUUUUUUGGUUUGAGUUAUUUUAAUUAGAUAAAUUUAGGAUUUUGUUAUGUUUGAUAGCUCUGUUAGUGAUUAGUUGUUAGUUGUUGCACUUUUAUUUGCUAUAAAGUAUUAAUGUCAUUAAAAUUACAGACCAACUGUUGGAUUUAGUGAAAAUCUCAAUUUGUUUGAUUGAAGUAUAAUUUAAACAAAGAUAUCAGGCAUUUCCAAAUUGCCUAUAGUUGAAGGGGCGUUCGUACCUUUUAAUCAUAGUUUCAAUGAGUGUUGGGUUCUGAUUGAUGAGAUCUGAGUAAUUGAAGUAUAUGUAAAAUUAUGAAUGUAAUUAGACUCUGUUAAAUAAUGUAGAAGUGAUGAACAUGAUUGAUAGCUGUUUGAAUAAUCAGAAGUUGGAUUUGAUGGUAGGCAAUGGAUUCUUGCAUUUCAUUUGGAGUGCUACUGAUCUCUUGUUAUUGUUUGUUAUUUGCCUUUUAGUCUUCUAUCGUGUUUAUGCUUCAUUUGCGAGCCCAAAACAAAAAAAAAAGGGAAUAGUUACUUUGUAAAAAGUUGUUUGAUGUUAUCAAUUUUUGAUUUGAUGAUAGGCAUGGGAUCUAAAGGCUUCGGUCUUCCAGCAAAGACAGCUAACACGAAGGUCAUACUGAAUGGUGGUCAAAGGGUCACAUUUGUUAGGCCAGAUGGUUACUUUGCAUUGUAUCCUAUUCCCCUUUUAAAUGGUUGCAACUUGCAUUUACUUCUCAAUGCAUGAAGUUUAGUUUUUCAGGUUUGUUUUUUCACAUCUUACUACCAAUUUGUUGUUAUAAUAGUUCUUUUUAGCUUAAGUAACUAAUAAAAUGGCAUUUGCUGCCUAAGGGUUAAAAAAAAAACAUGGUGUCUUAUGUGACCAUUAAGAAAAUUUCAUUGUAUAGAUGCAAUACUUGUCAGUUGUCUUGUUAGAUGCAUCGGGGCUCUGACAGCUUGAGAAAGACUGGUGGGGAAGAUGGAAAAGAAAGAAAAUUUAACAUUGACUUCAUUGCAACUGUGUAGAUGGCCUCGACAGCUUGACCUCACUAUUCAAGCGAUGUGCUUCCUAAUAUUGAUCGGCCCGCUAUAUUGCUAAUUUAAGUUUUUUGUUUUGUGCUCACCUAUGUGAUGCCUGUUCUUAUGGUUAAAGUGGCAUUUGAAAAUCAACUUUUGUAAGAUAAGAUGGCAGGGGCAGGUCCCUCUAGACUUGGUUUAACAACUUGGCAAUACAACGCACGGUUGGUUUAAGAGGUAGGUGUGGCUUUUGUAGAUUAAGAGUAGAUUGGUGGUAGUCAAUCUCAAGAUAUAUAGAAGCCAUGGUGGCUUCACACACAUCAUCUAUAAGUACCCUACUGUAAACCUUCAGUCCAAGUAUAAACUGUCACAUAUGGUCUUGGUUCAUGCUGUCACUUUAAACCAUGAUUGUUGGCUGUGCCUUGUUGGUAAUGCCAAAAAUCAUGAAAUUUAUCUAAGCAUUAAUUGUUCUAUUGAGAUGCUGGUCCAACCAAAUUUUUUGCUGCUUUGGGAGUUUCAACAUGGCUCUGGCUAGAGAUGUCAAGCACAUUCGCAUUCUUGUGCAUUAGCUUUCCAGCAUUAAUGCACUUGCUCAUUUGUUAAGCACAUUCUCUGGUAAGUCAACUUGAUAUUGAAAUAGUAAGUUGCUCUGGAUUUUACAAAAAAAUGCCUCAUUUUUACAGAGAGAGAGAGGGGGAGAAUUAGAGAGAGAGGGAGAUGAAUGGCUAAAAUGUUUUGCUCUCAUUAUACCCGAAAACUACGUAGGAAUGGGAUUGUUAUGUUGUAUUUUGUAAUACUACAAAAGCCAUCUAAACUGCUUUUCCAUGAAAAUAAUAAUAAUAAUAAAAUACAGCACUAGUCAAUAUACCUUGGGUUUAACAAAUACCCUACUUAUACAAGGUAACCAAACUGGGCUGUACUUUGAGGUGCAUGUUAUUAAUGUUAAUUUUUUUCCUCUUAACCAAGCAUGGAUUACAUUUGGCAUUAUUGAAUCAAAUAUCAGUCAGCUUCAUUGGGUUCUCAGCUCAAUUUAUAGUAGAGGAGCUAAAGACAAAUCAGUAGAUCAAAAUUGUUUUAUCAUUUUAUUGUCAAGACUUUAGACUUUUUCCUUGUCUAAAGGAUUUUUGGUCGGCUUCUCCUUCGUUCCACAAUUCACAUGGGCCUGAACUACAACUAAAAAAAGCACAUUGGUUUACUUGCCAAAUGCCCUUGAUUUGUUUUUCUUUCAGUGGCAAGUCCGCUAUUGUUUGAUUCUGCUCUGAAUGGAAUUUUGGCAACAAUAUUUUCAAGGUAAUUCAGGUUGACCCCCCAUAUUAAUAUCUGUCUGUUCUUUUAGUGCCUUCUCAUUUUCAAGCUGGUUAUAGCCUACACAUUAAGGUAAAUAAGAUGCUUGCCUGAUUACAAGGUUUUCCUGGUUAUAUAUUAUAAUUAUUAAAUAGCAAAGAAAAGAGAAUGGAUACUUCAUUUAAACUGGAUGCUUGAUAUGUAAAUUAUAAAACUGUCGGGGAUGUUUGCUUCUCAUGGAAUGUGGUACAACAUCCUGAUUUCAUUUUAAUCUAAUAGCUAAUUGAAAUUUAUUAGAGCAACAUGUUGUAGGACUACGAUAAAAAUGCUAGCACAUAAAAAAGGAAGUCCGGUGAGCAUAGAUGUAGCUAUUAAGCUUUGGGUCUUGCCAAUGUUGUGUUUGUAUAGUUCUUUUUUACUUAUUAAAGCUUUUCAUGCAGUUGGUUAUGCUGAAACCUCAAAUGCAAAAAGUUUGUUGGUAAAUAUGCAGUAGAUUUCAUUUAUCCACUAAUCAACAUAUAGAAUAUUUGCUUCCUUGAAAGUUUUUUUUAGCUGUGAGUCUAUCAGUAAUCUUUUAUGGACAUAUUGAUAUCGCAAUAUUUAAAUCAUGUAUCAAUCGUGUAUCUGAAUGGUUAGUGUGAUCUUUUUCUUAGUUGGCGAGAAUAAUCUCAGCCAAUUCUUUUGGUUCCUUGACCUACAAUGCUGAAGCCACAACGUGCCAGCUGGUACUCACUUAAUUGAAGUAGUGUCAUUGGGUUAUUUCUUUUCCCCUGUAAGUGUCUGACCUUGUUUUAUUGCAUUAGUGAUUGGAAUGUCAUAAAAAAUUUGCAACAUAACUUUCUUCCCCAUAUACCAGGUUCGUGUUGAUAUCAGUGCCAGAAACCCUGGAAAGGUUCAGGCAGCGCUGACGGAGAAUAGAAGACAUCUGAAUGAGCUUGUUUUCGAGCCUUUAAAAGAAGAGCAGUAUUAUGAGGUUGCAGAGUGUUCACUUUCAAGUUCCAUGAUUUGCAUCUCUUAUGUAACUCAAUAUAGCUUAACUUUUUUCUAAUUAUUUUGCAGAUGAGGGAGCCUUUCUCCAUUAUGUCUCUUUUGAAAAGUCCAAUGGGUAUGAUGCUGGGUUUCAUGCUGGUUGUGGUGUUCCUAAUGCCGAAGUUGAUGGAGAACAUAGGUAAUGUUACUGAACCUUCUACAACCGACAACUUUUAGAUCAUAAAACAUUAUUCCCGAUUACUUAGCACAACACACAACAUGAUUGUGAGUAUUCUGAUGAUAUGAUUAUGAUAUUUCCCCUCUGAACAAAUAGUAAGUAUCAUGCUAAAGUAUCAUGUGAACUUUGGUACUUGACUACACACAAUUACUCACCCGUUUGCAUAUAUUAGCCUAACAAGAUAAACGAUAAACCAUAGACUAGAUGAGCUAGAACUGACUAAAGAAUAAAAAUGGCCAAAGAAGAGAACUGAUUAACUUACAAAAGGAUAAAAAAAUAAUGAACCACUGCAAUAUAAAUAUUCCACUUGAAUCAUGAAGUUAAUAUGGUCCGCAAAAUAGGUAUAAUAACUUGCCCUGUUGUAUUAUCACGGAAAAGCUAGUGGUAUGGAAAUCACUUAUUAACCCCGAACAUGGCAAACAUCCUAUAGUUUUCUUCUGCUAAUGAAUUUUCUGUUUACUUACAAUGUUUCGAUUAAACUCAUUAUCGCAUAAUCUUUGCGAUUCAUCUGACCUAGUUACUGCUAAAACUUCAGUUACUAAUUCCAUCAUUUCGUCUGUUUCCUUAUUCCACAUAUUGCAGAAAUAUUUGGUAUUUUUCCGAUGGAAAUUUUGUUUUUGUCAUAAUUUAAGUGCAUCAUUCUACGCUAAUUAAGAUUAUAAAAUAUAUAUGUUUGCUACCAUGGGUAGCUAAGCUUGAUAACCAAUAGUUGAUCGACUGUAUCUAGAAAUUUCGGUCUAGUUUCACAGCAGAACUUUGCAAAGUUUUUCAGUUUGAGACACGUGGUUGGAAAAUAAAUACCAUUUAAUCAUACAAUGGGUUGCUCAUUUAAACUUUGUCGUCAUGGUUUUACACAUCACAACCAUCUUCGCCAGGGAGGUUUUCUACGUUCAACUUUCUCACUUUCGUCAGUUGAUUAAAUGCAAUACGUAACUUCGCUUGGUUUGAUAUUCAGAUCCGGAGGAACUUCGGCGCACCCAAGAGGAGAUGAGGGCCCAAGGAGUACCUUCUCUUUCCAGCUUGGUUGCGAGGAACACCUAGAUAUUAGGAUUCUCUUCGAGCAAGCUCUUACGGUGUCGAUGAGCAAGAAGAUCUACUCCGGCCCGAGGUUUCCACUCUCGCUGAGCUCGAAGCUUGAAUCUUUUAAGACUGCAGUUAAUUGUACUUCAUUUGUAUUAAAGAUUACGUGGCUCUGUGGUCACAAUACAAGGAUACUUCACAUCGAUUUUUGACGGAGCUGAACUAAUUUUGAUUGUUAAAAACUACAGGAACUGAGGAUUUAGAACAACCACUUUCCCCCGGAAAGGUAAUCAAUCAAGUUGUUGCUUCUUUUCUAAUUUUUUUUAGCAUAUGGUAUUAUUAUUCAUUCUAUUUUUAAAUUGUGUACAAUGUACAAAUUUUCUGCGACACAGUUUCCCUGGCACGAGCAAUUUUUAUGUAGUUUGGCCUUUUUUUUUUUUUUUUCUUGUUUUCUUUUUUAUUUGGUUGUGGGUGUGGAGUGUCGGUUUAAUUGCAGUGCCAAAAAGAAAAUUCUAGCGUUUUAGAUUUUAAAAUUUUCUAUCUGAAAAAUUAAAAUUUUGAAAAAUGGUGUUUUUUUUUUGUGGAAAACUUAUAUUUUUCAAAGAAGAGGAAGAAGAUUUUCAUAGUUUUCUGAUGAACCAAACACCCUGUAAGGGAUUAUGUUGUCUUGAAUUGAUUGAUUGGUCCACUCGUAAUUGUUUCUAUUCUAUCACUUGUUAUUGUUUCUAUCCACUGUACUAGCAUGUUAUUAAGAUGCUGAAGUUUAUUAAUGUUAGGGAUUUGAUCAGCAGCUGGGAUAUUUUUCUUUUUUCAUUUUUAAUAGAGAGAGCCUAGAACACUAUUAAUAGCAUUUUUAAUAGAGAGAGCCUAGAACACUAAAAAUUGCUGUAUAAAAUAAUUUUUCAUAUUUAGGUGUUUGUUUCAGUGAUCACCGCAAUUAAACAUGAUCUAGAAUGAUUGAGCUUUUUAGAUAUUGAGCUUUGUGAGUUUUUGAUGUAAAAAAUGGCAAUUUAAUCGUCUAUGUUUGGGUGUAUUUUUUUUGUUUAAUGGUGCUAGAAUUAUUAUUAUUAUUUUUUGAGAGAUAGGUAGUACGCUACUCGCUUCGUUUAUUUUAUUUAGAAAUAAACUUAGCUGGAAAGUGAAUCAACUAGGAUUUGAACUUGGAUCUCGGAUACCAACCACUAAGUCCUUUGCCACUUACUCUGGAGACGGUCGGUUAACGGUGUUAGAAUGAUCCAAAUCUGUCAGAUAUUGGAUGGAAUUUAUUUUUAAAUAUUUAGAAUAAGACCUACAACUCUGUUCUUGGAUUUAAGUUUCAUAUUUUCCAUUCUUAAAAGGUUGUUUAACUUUGAUUGUUAAAUUUUUGAUAAGGGGGUGUUUGGUUGUAUGUAAAAUCAUGAAAAUUACUUUUUUAUAGAAAAAAAGUGUUUAGUGGAAAAUAAGUUUUACGUUUUAUAGUAUUUGGUUUGUUUGAAAAAAAAAAAUAAUUUUUCAUCAUCAAUAUUUAUUUGGUUGAAAAUAAUAAUAAAAAAAAAUCCUUAUUUGUUUGGUUCUGUGGAAAAAAAAAAAUGAAUGGAAAAAAUUUUACACAGUUUGAUUUUUCGUUUUCGGUCGAAAAUAGGCCGAAAACGAAAACACUUCAUUUUUCUCAAAUAUAUAAAAAUAGUUUUUUUUUUUUAAAAUCCUUUUACAGAUAAACAAACACGCAAAAAAUAAUUAUUCAAGUCGAAAAGUAAUUUUCGGUACAUUUAAUGGCAAACUAAACACACCUUAAGUCGAUAAUUUAAAACUAAUUUUCAAAAAAUAUAUAUAUAAUUUAAUUUCUAAAAGUUUUGGAUUAAUCUACUGUGGGGAUUGAUAAAUGGAUUGUCUCAUCACCUCGUGUCUACAACUAUGCUAAAUAUACACCAAAAGAGAGAGAGAGAGAGAGAGAGAGAGAGAGAGAGAGAAAGAGUGGGAUUUACUCCAGAAAAAUAUUAUUUGCAUAUCCAAAAGUCAACUGUAAACGAAACUUUCGGAGAGGAAGGAAGUGGGGUGGAAGUAAACGAAAAUUUCGGAGAGGAAGGAAGUGGGGUGGGAGUGGAGAGAAGUUAUUUUCGCCGUAAACGAUUACUUCUGUUGUUUGAUUUGUCGUAAAAAAAUUACAGUCGAAACUUGAGUUAACCUGAAACGGCGCUGAUUUCGACCCACCGUGGGCCGAAAUCAAUUACGGUAAAAAAAAUUAAAAUAAAAUAAUAUACUAGAUUAAAUAAUUAUAUUUAAUUUAGUUAUGGUAUUAAUUGCUCUUUUAUUCAGUUGGCAUAUUUAAAAUACGAUAAAAAUUGAUUAGUUAAGUUUUAAUAUUUUUUUAUUUAGUUUGUAUAAUUAAAAUAUGAUAAAAAACAAUUAAUUAAGUAUUAAUAUUUUUUUACUUUAUAAUUUUAUUGUUGUAUUGCUAUAAUUUACAUAUAAACAAAUAGUAUAGUUGUUUUAAAUUAAAUUUUAAUUAUAUAAAAAUAUAAUUAUAUUAUUUUUAUUUAUUAAAUUAUUUAUUAUUUAUAUAUAAAUUAUAAUUUUAUAUCAUACACUUUCUACCAGAUAAUAAACAGUAGAACUGAUGAAACUUUACUUCUAUAACAGCCAAAAAAAAUAGCGGGAAAGAAAUAAUUUUUACUGAACUCUAUUUCAACUCAAAAUCUAUUUCAAUUCAAAAUUCAAUUCCGAUGAAACAAACAUGUCUAUGUCUAUCCAUACUGUCCAUUGAACCCUCCAAGAUAAAGAGCUUUCUAUGGGAAGAUAUCUUUGGGGCCCAUCCAAAGGCAAGGAACAAAAACAUUAGAUGAGAGAGAGAGAGAGAGAGAGAGAGAGAGAGAGAGAUAGGAAGAGGCCCAUCUCAUUCUUUUGCAUUGGAAAAGAUGAACCACAAAAUAUUGAUAUGCUUCCAAUAAAACUUUAGUCGAGAGCUCCCCAACAAACGUCUCAUUAGAAAGUUCUCGAUCGACUAUUACAUAUUAAUUUUGCCUCCGUCUGAUAACUUAUUGUCUCAUUAGAAAGUUCUCGAUCCACUGUUAUGUAUUAAUUUUGCCUCCGUCUGAUAACUUAUUGGAUGUUUUUUAAUACUAAAACUCAACCCGAAAAAAAAAAUACGCUCCCCAGAAAAAAAGAUUAUAAUUUUUAGAGAAAGAUAGAAGUGGCACACGGCGAUGAAUUAUAGCUCCUUAACCAGGCGUCAGUGAAGAGCUCCCCACUAUUAUUAUUAUUAUUAUUAUUAUUAUUAUUAUUAUUUAUUUUUGUAUAUUCCCCACCUCCUCCCUAAUAUUAUCCUACUAUUUAAGAUUCCAAAAAAUGGUCCUCCUCUCAUAAUCCUAUGGCCCUUAGUUUUCUCUCCCAUUAUCCCUUUGCCCUAAAAAAGGAAAGGGAAUUUUGUUGUACAACAUCCAAAGUCCCUAACUACCCUGACAACUCUCUUAUCUUCUUUGAACCAGUUGGGACUUGGGACCAUUAAUUGUGAGCUCAUUUGUGGUUGGUCCUUGUACUAUUUCUCUAUGGCAAUAUGGUUUGUGUACUUUUUUUUUCUUUUAAGGCAUAAAUGUACUAAACUUAUCUGACCUAUUCAUCACUCAAAGUCGGUUACCUAAUUUUUCAAAAUUUUUUACUUUGCGGUUCAACCAUUUAAUUUGUUUGAUUUGAAUCAGUCAAUGAUAGUUUGAUUUUAAAGUUUAUAGGCUAAUUACUUAUUUUACUGAAUUUACAGUGGUGAGAAUUGUACGAAACAUAAUAACUUCAAAUUUGAAGUUACAGUGUCGUUGACCGACUCAAAUCAAACAAAUUAAAAAGUUGGAUAGUAAAAUCAAAAUUUUAAGAAAAAUGGAUAGCUAAAUCAGAAUGAUCUGUAGUUCAAAUAAAUUUUGUAUGUUCUUACCUUAGUUUUAAGCUCUUUGUUUUUUAAAAGCUUUCGCACAUUCCAAUUUAGUUUGUGAUUAUUAAAAAGUAUUAGACUUUUAUUAUAGAAGGGUUAAUUUCACCAUUGGUCCCAACUUUUCUUUCUUUUUUUUUUCAAUUAGGUUUCUAACUUUUACUUUUUGCUUUAGUUAACUUUCGCUGUUAAAAACGCUGUUGAUUUUAAUAGAAAUUACUACAUCGUUGCCGAAUGAGCACCAAACCGUGUCUCGUGACAGUUUUCAUUAGAAUUAACGACAUUUUUAACGACGGUCGCUUAAUUUGACCUAGUUUCGGGAAAAAAAGAUUGGGGACAAAAGUGAAAAGCUUGGAAAAGAAUAGGGACCAAUGGUACAAUUCACCCAUUAUAGAAUGAUACUUAUUCUUGUUUUAAGAAAGCUAAAAUAAAUGAAUUAUUUAUGAUAAAAAUAAAAUAAAAUGCCCAUUUUAUAUUAAAAAAAAAAAUAGGCCAUUUUUUGACGCCCAGAAAUGGCAGCGAAUAAGAAAAAAAAUCUAAAAUGCAACGGUCAUAUUGUUGAUGUAACGCUCCCUAACCAAUCAAAAAGCUUUCGAUUUACCGAUCUCUAUGGUUUUUAGAAAAAAAAAACUUUUAUUAUAUUUUUUUUCUCAAAAAGAAAUAUGUGAUUAGUUGGGAAUAGACGAUGUAGUGUAAGCGUUAUGUAAUGGACUUCCUCGCGGAUAAGGAUGUCAAUAAGUCGGAUUCGAAGUGGAUUUUCAAGAACCAGAACCCGAACCCAACUACCAAACCCGAAAUCCGAACCCUAAUCCAAAUCAAACGAAUUUUAAAAAAUCCAUACCCAAAAUCCGAACCCAACCAAAAAUUCAAAACCCGAACCCAAGUCCGAAUCUAAAAAUUCGAACCCCGAAACAAUUAUUUCUCUUUACAAUAUUUCAAAAUUUAUCAUAUUAAAUCUAAAUUUUUAAAAUAAAAAUUAAAAUAUAACAUCAAAUAUAUAUAUAUUUUGUAAUGUAAAAUAAUUUCGGAUUCGGAUUCGGGUUCGGGUGCUGGUUCGGGUCGAGUACAAUCAAAAUCCAUAUCCAAAUUUAAAUCCGCUGAGUUUUCAUUUUUGAUAUUCGUAUUUGAAGAUAUAUCUAUUUAGCGUGGAAUAAAUUCACCCUAUUUGGAUUCAAAUUGAAAUUUAAAUAAAGUUUUAGAUAUCUGUGUACAGUGACAUCUCUGCUCGCGGAUAAGAGACCGCAGUCUGCCACAAUUUUAAGAUAUGAUGAUUGUAAGAUUAGAACCUGCCACGAUGCAGCAGCCGGCCAAUCCUUUUAUUCGAAGCUUCAUGACCACAUUCUGCCAUGGAUUUAUUUCUUGCGCUAAAAUACAAAAAAAAAAAAAUCCUCUAUAGAUAUUUAUUUAUUUUUGCUAAUUUCUUUUUAUUUUUUCAAAAAUUAUAUUUGCGUUCUCAAAAAUUUUGAAAUAUUUUAAAAAAUCUACUAUAUUAAUAUAGAUAUGAAAUGACGAAAUUAUCUAUCAUUUUUAAUAAUCUUUUGGAUAUAAAAUUAUAAGAAAUUGAGGAAAUAGUUACGAAAUCCUGACGGACGGAGGAGGGCUAAAAAUCAGAGAAGAAAAAUAAAAUAACGAAUAUUUAUAAGGAAGAAAUUGGAAUUUAACCCAUUAUAUAAGACGGGAAUUUAACCCAGACAAAAAGGUUUACGAUUAGCUCUGAUACCAUAUUAUCCAAAAACUUAAGCUAUUAGAAAAUAAUAUUUUAAAUAUUUAUAUUCGGCAUUCUCUCUAACGUCUGGAACGAGGCGUUUUAGUAGGUUCAAGAAAUUGACUUAAAUUUCUUGGAAGGAAAUUAAAUAAAUAAACUCGAACUCAAGAGCUGCUGCUUUUAAUACCACGUUAAAUUAUAUGAAACCAUCGUCUAAACCCUAAAACUUAAGCUAUGGGAGAAUAAUAUAUAUCCCUUCUUUCUAAUUUGACCUUGAACUAAUAAGUUGGGAUAAUGGAUAAUAAAUAUUAUCAGUAAUGCAGAAACUUUAUUAUUCUUGAUAGGGAAAAAGUAAAAUUGAUUUUUUUUUAAAGAAAAAAUAAAAUAAAUAUUUGGAAAAUUCAAAAUAGUUUCAAUUGAUCAACACGCGCAAACUAUUACUAUUACAAAAUACAACAUCUUUGUGAUAUGAGUAAUUAGUUUUAUCAAAUGAAUUAAUUUUUUUGGCAUUGUGAAGGUCAAAGGGAGAGGGAUUAAUUUGAAUUUAAAUUCUCUUGUCAUAGCUGUAAAAAGACAACAAAAUAAAAUAUAUAUGUAUAUAUAAUUCCAAAUUGGCAAAAACUACUCUAAAAUAACAAAUUCCCAAAAUAAAUAAAUAAAUAAAUAAAUAAAUAACAGGUGCAUGUGUUUUACAACAGCAAACUUGUGCUACUGUAACCCCCCCAUGUGAUGCAAAUAUUUUAUUUUGAGUUGUAUAUUCACCUAUAUAAGUAAAUAAUUAUGUAUUUGAAAUUUAUUACUAAUAUCAAAAUGAGAAUUAUUAAAUGUUAGCAUAUUUUUUGGAAGUUUAGAUAUAUAAAUAACUUAUAUAUUUGUAUAAACUUUAAAACGGUAGAAGAAACGAAGAAAAAAUUUUACGCAGGGUCGAUGGAUAUUUAAAAACUAGCAGAGGAAUUUUUUUUUUUUCAAAAUAAAAAAGUAUUGAAGGUUUAAAGGAAUGUUCCAAUAGUUUUAAAGUUUCGAAAAAUAUAUGAAUUAUAUUUAAUUUUUUUAAAAAAAAAUACUAGUAUUUAGUUGCUAAAAUAACUACAUAGUCCUUCCUAAAACUUUGGUUGAUUAUAAUUAAUGAUUCAAAGUUUAAUCAUAAAAAAGUAAUCUCUAUAUAGCUAUUAAUUAUAUAUAUAAAAAAAAAGUAAUAAAAUGUAGGCCUGAUUGAAACAAAUCGAAUUAAAGUUCAUAUGGUUUUUUUUUCUUUCAUUAUUUUUUAAAUUUCAAAUGGUUGAGUAUAAUUGCAUAUUUGGUGUCUAAGCAUAUUAUUUUAACUUAUACUUUUAAAAUAAUAUUUGCAAAAUCAAAAAGUGCUAAUUUAUUUUAGAGUUUGUUGAGGGGAAUAUAAAAAUGUCAUCUUUGUAAAAGAUGUAUGAUAGAAAUAUUAUUUGGAGUUUUAAGGGUGUGGACAAAGCUCUACUUUCUUUUCUUUUUUUUUUGAGAAAAAUGUAGCAUGCUACCCGCUUCAUUCAAUGGAACGGUAAAUUAAGCUACAUGGGUGAGGCAGCAAGGCCUCAAUGGGGGCGAAAAAAAAAAAGAAGAAGAAAAAGAUUAACCAGGAGCUGAUUGCUCCCAUGAGUUUGUCAACAGCGAGAUCUUCUGCACCAUAAGGUUUCGGUUCGGGUGAGUCGACUGGAAGAUUACUCCGUUCCGUGCUUCCCAAAUGACCCAAAUGAUCCACCAGCACGCAACUAGUGCAAAUAACCGGGUACACAUCAAUGGUCCACCCGUGCUAGCCAUCAGUCUGUCCCAGAGAGAAUGGACAUCCUCCCCCCGGUCCGAAGGUUGGAGUAAUUCCGCGAACAUCACUCGGAGGAAUCUGAUAAUGACGCACUGUGUGAAUAAGUGGUCGACAGAGCUCUACUUUUUAGUGUGUUAAUUAGUGGUGCUCCCUAUUUGUGGUUUUUCUAUUUGAAAAAGAAACAUGAAAACCCCACAAUAAUAAAAUAAUUCUAUUAUAAGAUCUUUUUUUUUCUUUUUUCUUUUUUUGAAAACUCUUUUAGGAGUGUUUACAACAAGAUCUCCUUGGUCAUUUUCAUACUUAACAUGCACCCAUUAAUUCAUUUAUUUUGAUUGGUAACUUCUCAAGAUCUAGUUGUUUUGAUUUGGAUUGUUUUUUUUUUUUGAAUUAAAAGUAUUAUAUAUUCAUUAUAGUUAAAAUUCUACACAACAACUAAUAUAAUAGUUCUAAUCUAGUUAAUAGAAAUUAGUAUAAAUUACUAAUUUUAAAUUUUUAUCUCUAUAAUUACUAGUUUGAUUGAUUUUUGGAACAACUUAUUUACCAAAAAAGAAAAAGUAGUAUAUUUUAUAAAAAGAAUUUAAAAAAAUCUUUUUUUUCCCUAAUAAGUAGAAAUUUUAAUUCGAAUCUUAUGUGAAAACUAGUAAGAGAUUUUAAUAAAACAUCACUUGCAGUUCCUUAGAAUGUUGUUCCAUGCACCUCAUUUUGUCUCUUAUUUUACAUCAACUUGUUAUUUAUUAACAAAUAGACCCUUUUUUUUUUUCUUUUUUCAAGUAGAUGCACCAUCCAUUUUUCUAAUAUAAUAUUCCCUAGAAUAUCACCACCAAUUAAUUAAUUAGCUAGCACAUGCUUGACUUAAAUGGAGCAAUUAAUUUGUAAUAAAAUAAGGAUAAAUUACACUUUUGGUCCUCAAGCUACGAGGUGCAUGACACUUUAGUUCUCAAACUUUAAUUUUAAAUGUUGUAUAGCUUUUACAUUAGUAAUUCAUCAAUAUAUAGUCGAAAAAAUGGAUUGCGGGGCUUGCGUUCAAUACUUCCGAAAGUUUGAGCCAAAAAUGAUAAUAAAUUAAAGUUUGAGGACUAUAUUGACUAUUUAUUAUUGGUUAAAAAUAAGUCGAACUUUCUGCUUCGUGAUAAUAGGCUUAAGAGACUAAUAAGUUGGGUUAAGUAAGUUCAAUAAAUUUUGUGAGCCGACAGUUCACAAUAAAGCUAAUGGCAAGAUACUGAAUAAUAGACUUAAUUUUCAGAUAGGUUGAGCCGGUUCAAAAUCUGUGAGCAGUAUAGCUGAGCUUUUAAAUGCGACAAAUGUGCCCUUUCUAUCAGAACGUGUUAUUGAAACAGUUGGUUAGCGCGUACAAUUUAUAGACUAAAGUGUCACACGUCCCAUAGUUUGAGGACCAGAACUUAUUUUAGCCAUGCCAUAAAAUAAUAAAGCAACAUGGGUUGCUUGUGGGCAUUACUUAAACCAAUUUAAUUUGAUUUGUGGGGUGCCAAAUUGAAUUGGUAUGAGUCUAACCAACCUCAUUGAACUGAUGAGCCAACCACAGGAGGGAGAAAAAGGUAGGUUUUCUCAGCUAACUCUUAUUAUUAGUUAAGACAUGAACUUCCCAACUUCCAAUCAUAGAGUUGUUUUUUUUUUUUUUUUUAAAAAGAAAAAUAUAGCACGCUACCUAUUUCAUUCAUUAGACUGAUGAAUUAAGCUACAAGUGUGGGGCAACCCGGCCCCGAGAGAAAAGAAAACCGAAAAAAAAAAAAAGAGGAACUAUGCGAGAAGAAAGGAACUAUGUGAGAAGAAAAUCCCACUCCUUCACAAAAAGUUUGAGUCUGUGGAUCGCGAGUUCAGGGUUCGGAAGGAUAUUCCGAAAGAUUGUGUCAUUUCUGACCUUCCAAAUAAUCCACCAGCAGCCUACUAGAUCUGUAAGUCUGUUUCGCUUCUUUCGGUGGUCCUUCUUGCCCCCCAUCUAUCCCAAACGAGAUUCACGUCGUCCCGCAAAUUAUCAGCCUAAAUAUCGUCACCCCUGUCACUAUCCAAUCAUAGAGUUGUUGGUACUCUCAAUGGUGUGGAGUGGGAAAAAUUUUAGAAUCACUAAUUAUAUUAGUGACAUAGUGUCCCCAACCAAUUAAAUAAUUUUUUUAGUUUAUUUGUUCCAUCAUGAGUAUAAAAAAAUAUUUUUGUUAUACUUUUUUGUUAAAUGAAGAGAUUUAGUUGGCUUGUUAUUAAUGAUGUAGUGCAAGUGUGACACAUAAACUUUCUCGUGAAGUAGCUCCACCCUCACAUAUGGAUUUUUUUUUAUUUAUAUAACGAUCAAACCUGCUAGCGAUAAUAACUCGUUUGUUGGAUUCAAACUAUUAGCCCAAAAUACUUAAGUUCAAUUAUUACUAAUAGGGUGCGUGACGAUGUAAGAAUAUUAAGGUGUUGUUGUUUAUUUAGAUGGUGUUUGGUUCCUUAAAAAUCAUAAAAAUAUAUUUUUUAGAAAAAAAAAUUUGGAAAAGCAUCAUGAAUAGGACACUUUCAUGAAAUCUAGAAAAUAAUGGAAUAGUAGUCUAGUAGAUGAUCUAGGGGUUGAAAGGUUAUAACUAUGUGAAUAAUAAUACUUUUAGAAAUAUUCUAACUCAACUAGAAAUAUUUAUGAAAGUCUUAGAUAUGAAGGAAACAUCCCUCCACUCAAUGAUUGAGAUGAACUUUCUACUUGAUUAAUUGCACUUGAUUAAUUGUACUUGAUUUGAGAUGGAACUUCAUUAAUUGUGUGCUUGAUACAUUUUGUGUUGGUUGCAUGUUCUGAUUCAAUUGCAACAAAUAUUUUGUCCCUUUUGUUUACAACAGGUUUCAUGUUAGUGAGGGUAGUUUACUUCCAUGUGGUUUCUGGCCGUAGAAUAUCUGAAUCGACAAUCACCUCUGUUAAAUAUGAUCGAAGUUGUUUAAACAUUUUAGAAACCAAAUUUUCAUGAUUUUAUGAUAUCAUUUGCCUAUUAAUUAAGUGGCGUCAAAUUCAUUUUAUAUUAGCCAUUAAAAAUUAUCAAUUUUUUAAACUACUUAAAAAUUAGGCAAAUGAUAGAAAAAAAUAAUAAAAUUAUGAAAUUUAAAAGUUUAAAUAUUCUAGAGCAUAUUUAAUAGUGUUGAUUGCCGUCCAUGAAACUAAUGGCAAUUUUAGUGGUUAAGUUGCUGUCACAGCCGUGCAAAAAUUGUCAUUAACUCCUAUUGGUAAAUAACGCAGUUCGACAAAGAGAUUGGUGGUUGAGACCCGAUGUCUUAAAUUCGAUGAUUAAUUACAUCACAUUUCUAACUGAGCUCAUUUUUAAAAGGUGAACCAUACAGAUUUUUUUCUCUCUCUCUCUCUCAAAAAAGAAAAAGAAAAAAACCUCCUAUUUGUAAACACCUAAAUAGUAGUCAAAAGUGGGAAAUAAAAAAAAAAAAUCUAUUCCAAAUCUGUCCAGAUUCAUUAAUAAAUAGAGUGGAAGGCGGAGGACCAAUUUUUUCUCUUCAUUCGCCUCGAUCUGUCAAAAAAUUAUCAAAAAAUUCUCUUAUUCCGAAUGAAAUGAUAAGUUGGAGAAAACACUAAAAAGACACAAAUCAAUUCGCCUCAAAUAUGCCCGAUUGGUAAGAAAACAGGACGAAAAGCGCGGGACCCUCCCAUCCCCGGAUUGGCCCCCCAUUCGUAAAUUAUGAUUACGAGGAUCUUGAUUGUGUGGAUACAUAUUUCUAGCCCUAUUUUUUAUUAAAUUAAAUUUUUUAGAUAAUAUGGUAUCAGAGUCAAUUCUAAACUCUUUUAUUUUAUAAGAUUAUAAAUUCAACCGCCAUCUUCGAAAUUUAACAUGUUUCUUAUUAGAUUGAUCGUAGUUGAAGCUUUCACAUCAAAACAACCUAUAAUGGAAGGGGUCAUAUAAAGUACUUCUAAGCUCAAUUAAGAUGCUCACUAAAACUAGAUUUGACUAACAUUAAUCCCAUCUACCAUUUUAUCACACGCUUGACAUUAAAACUAGAUUUGACUAACAUUAACUAAAUAAUUAUAAUUAAUGAGAAUUGAUGAACCUUAUAAAUAGGGUUUCAAGCAAUGAUUGAAAAAUCAGGUCGGAUUAGUCGGUUCGACAUGUCCAAUCGUGACCCAGUCUAUAAAGUAGUUUGAUUCAAUCUUUUGAACUGAGUAAGUUAGUAGAACCACUUUGAACCAUUCGAAUCAGUAGGUUCAACUAUCAAACUAGUGAAUCAAUUUAGUUAUACUCAAACCGGCUGAAUUUUUUUUAUAAAGUCAUAUUAAAAUUCAACGGCUUAAAAUCAACUCAGCUGAUUUUAUUUUUUUAUUAGCACAAAUAAGCCUUAUUAAAAGUAAAAUUUAAAAAGCUUUAUAUAUAUACAUAUAUAUAUAUAGAGAGAGAGAGAGAGAGAGCUAGGCUGGAAUACUAUUGAUAGCAAAAGAACCUUUGUGCUAUCAAGUUUUUAAACCUUGGAUAAAAAAUUGUAGGGUUAGAAUGAUAUUAGUCCCUUAGAGUUGAGUGGUGGACUCCUAGGAUUGAGUGGUCCCCGCUGGGUUAUAAUAUUUAAUCUAGUGGUUAGAAAUGAUGAAAAUAAUUGAUCUAACGGCUAAAAACUUAAUAACAAAAAGGUUUUUUGUUAUCAAUAGUAUUCUAGCCCAACUCAUAUACUUAAUUUGGUCUAAAAAUUAAUAUUUUAAAAUUAAGUAUAAUACUAGAAUAAUAAUAUAUAUACAUGUGAUUCUAUAUAUAAAAUUAAAAGCAAUAAUUAAAUAGUUAUAAUGUCAUACUGACGUUACUGAUUUUAUAAGUGAUUGACUCACUAGUUGAGCAGGUAAUUUUUUAUCCAGUAAUAUUUUUAAAUUAUUAUUUGAUCCGAUUUUUAAAAUAUUGAUUACUCAUGGAAAAUAAAACUUCAUAAUUUUUUCGUCACCGUCGCAGUCGCGGUCGCAGUCGCUGUCGCCGCCAUCGCUAUUCGCUAGUCACCAUCACCAAUCUGCCAUCCAUUAGGAGGAAUUCUACACUGUCACACUUGCACCACGCUAUCAAUAACAAGCCAAUCUUUUCAAACAAAAGUACAAUAAAAAUAUUUUUUUUACAAUCAUGAUGGGACAUAUACCUUUAAAAGGAGACAUUUGAUUGAUUUGUUACGCCACGUCACCAAUAUACCUGUUGCAUUUUAGAAUUUUUUCAUCCAUUGGCCACAAUAAUCACAUUACAAUCAUCUUCAAUUAUCAAUACAUCACUCACCACCAGCUAGUGUUAGCCACCACCAUUACCAUCUUUAUCAGCCAUUAUUAGGGUAGCAAUCCAGCACGUUGUUCGUGAGCCAGCUCGUAUUCAGCUCGAAAUAAACUUAAGAUCAUAUCACUUAUUUAGUGAACGAGUCAAACACGAACUGAAUUUUUCAGCUUGUUUAAUAAACGAGCCGAACACGAAGUGGGGUCAGCUUGCUUGUGCUCGGCUCGAUAACAGCUCGAAUAUAUAUAUAUAUAUAUAUAUAUAUAUAUAUAUAUAUAUAUAUAUAUAUAUAGAGAGAGAGAGAGAGAGAGAGAGAGAGAGAGAGAGAGAGAGAGGGGGGGAUGGUAUGCUUCUGGAAGUACGGAGCUCUCCGUGCUUCCAAGUUGUUUUCGAUGUUCGAACUUUCGAAUCGAUGAUCGACUCUGUUAGACUUCAUUUAGAGUAUUUGAAGUAUCUAGAAAAUAAAUUUUGUGAUUUUUCGAUAUCAUUUGCCUAGUGAUCGAAGGGGCACAAAAUCAAUAAUUUUAAUGGUCGUGGUGAGCCGUUUGCAAGUUUAACGGUGUAGAAAUAUCCAAAUCACAUGAAAUUUUGAUAAAAAAUUCUUUAUACCAUAUAAAACAAGAUCAAUAACUUUGAUCUAAAAUUUUAAUGUCAUAUCAUCAUAUUUUGUAAGAUUUUAUUUUCAGCCGUUGAUUUUGAGCCACUUCGAUCACUAGACAAAUGAUAUCGAAAAAUCGCAAAAUUUAUUUUCUAGAUACUUCAAAUACUCUAGAUCAAGUCUAACGAAGCCGAUCGUCGAUUCAAAAGUCUGAACAUCGAAAACAACUUGAAAUCACGGAGCGCUCCGUGCUUCCAGAAGCAUACUAGACGCACUAUAUAUAUAUAUAUAUAUAUAUAUAUGAAUAUUUUUGCAGCACCAACCCCUUGGUGCUUCUAAGUUUCAACCCCUUGGAUCUACUCCUUGAUUACUAAUAUCCAUUGGAUCAAACACUAUUCCACCUACCACCAUCAUCUCAACUGUACAUCUCUCCAUCCAAAGGCUAAAAACUCAAAAGCACCACUCCCUUGGUACUUUUGAAAGUAUUCUAGCUCAACUAUAUAUAUAUAGAGUGAGGCUACUAUGCUUCUGGAUGCACGGAGCCUUUCGUGCUUCCAAGUCAUUUUCGAUGUUGCGACUUUCGAAUCGUCGAUCGGCUCCUUUAAACUUGAUCUAGAGUAUUUGAAGUACUUAAAAAAUAAAUUUUAUGAUUUUUCGAAAUCAUUUGCCUAGGAAUCGAAAGGGCUCAAAAUCAAUCAUUUUAUUGGCCGUGGUAAACCGUUUGCAAGUUUAACGGUGUAAAAAUAUCCAAAUCAUGUGAAAUUUUGAUAGAAAAUUCUUUAUACUAUAUAAAACAAGAUCAAUAUCUUUGAUCUAAAAUUUUAAUGUCAUAUUAUCACGUUUUGUAAUAUUAUUUUCAGCCGUUGAUUUUAAGCCCCUUCGUUCACUAGGCAAAUGAUAUCGAAAAAUUGCAAAAUUUAUUUUUUAGAUACUUCAAAUAAUCUAGAUCAAGUUUAACGGAGACGAUUGACGAUUCGAAAGUCGCAACAUUGAAAACGGCCUGGAAGCACGGAAGGCUCUGUGUUUCUAAAAACAUAGUAGCCUCUCUCUCUCUCUCUCUCUCUCUCUCUCUCUCUCUCUCUCUCUCUCUAUAUAUAUAUAUAUAUAUAUAUAUAUAUAUCAUUUCUAAUCCUUUUAACUUGUUGUUUAACUUGUUGUUCAUGAGCCAGCUCAUGUUCUACUCGAUAAUAAAUAAGCCGAACAUGAGUUGAAUUUUUCGGCUCGUUAUUUUAAUGAACCAGCUUGUGUUCACCUUGUUUCAUAAACGAGCCGAACAUGAGCUGGCCCCAGCUCGCUCGUGUUCGGCUCGUUGACAGCCCUAACCAUCAAUAGACCGUCAUUCGCUAUAUAUUACGAACACUUCUAUAAGUCUCGUGUGUUCGUGUCGAAUACGCGCAUGUCCGUGUCGGACUCGUAUCUGAUGUGGACACUUUUUGGACGCCCGUUCAAUGUCGAUCCAUAACGCAUAUAAUUUUAAAAAAUAUAUGCACAUUUUUAUUUUAUUUUUUUAUAUAUGCAUAUAUAAUGUAAGAUGAUAACUAUUUUAGCUUUUUGAUGAUUAUAUAUAAAGUUUUUUGGACGAUACAAACAAAUUAUGUAUGGUGAAAAAAAAUUUUCUUAACAUAUAUGAACUAUCAAUGAAAAUUUUUCUAACUUUUAUUUUUAUGAAAAAUAUAAUAAUAUUUUAUCAAAAUUAAUAUUUUAUAUAAUAAAUAUAUAUUAUUAUAUUAAUAAUAUUAUAUUUUAUUAGCAGUAUUCAUGUCAUGUUCAUGUUCUAAUUUUUUGCAAGCUCGCCGUAUUCGAGCCGUAUCGUGUCCCAUAUCUCGUGUCAGUAUCCAUAACGCGUAGGUCAUUCGUAACUGCAACUAUGCGACUCUUCGCUUUCCAGGAAGGUUACCUAUUCAAAAACUACUUUAAUUCUAGCAUAUUUCAUUUUUUAAAUUUUUAGAUUUAAUCAUUACCCAAACUAUUAUAGUCAAAUUAAAGGUUUGGUCCGAUUAUAUCUCAUUUAGAAUUAUUCCAAAUCCUCGAAGGUAUCACACUUCUCUCUCAUUUAAGUCCUGAUGUUCUUGUCAAACUCAAGCACACUUAUAAGUAUCAGACAAUGUGAGACUUGUCCUGACACUCUCGUCAGGCUCAAGCACACUUACAAGUAUCAAAUAAUGUGAGAUUUGUCUUGUUAGUUUUGUUAUUCAGACGCUGACUUAGUUUGUCAUUUUUCUAUUAUGGUUUACCCGAGACUCAGUUUAUACUUCCGACUAGUAAUUAUCUCUAAUACCAAUUGUGACUUCGUGUUAGCUUUCAUAUUUAACGCUUUAAUAGCAACUCAAUCUAUAAGUAGUUCUAAGAUGAGUGAACCUUUUGGAAAGUAGAGCAUCACAAAUUAUAUUAAGACUUUUUUGACAAAUAAUUCUAAAAAAUAUUGUAAUUGGCUAAAUUGCCAUACUAAAAAUAUAUUUGGCUAAAUAGCCCUCUAUUUGUCACGCAGGGGAAAUUUUUCUCUUAAUAAAGGUAGUGAAUCGUUUACCGCCUUCAUAAAAACGGUAAAUGAUUUACCAUUUUUCUAAUUUUCCACCAAUGCAGUGAAUGAUUCACCACCCUCUUGAAGAUUGUUUGUUAGGAUUUUUUAGGUUGUUAAGAUUGCAUAUGAUUUAAUUGUUAAAAUUUUUAUAUGAUUUUUAGGAUUAUAUAUAAAAAAUUAAAAAAGUGAGGUUUGUAGGAUUAUAUGUUGAUUGAUUGUUAGAAUUAUAUGGAUAGAUUAUUAGGAUCUUUUUGGUUGUUAAGAUUGUAUGUGAUUUAUUAAAAUUUUUAUGCAGUUGUUAGGAUUAUAUAGGAAAUAGAAAAAAAGAGAAAGAUGGUAAAUAAUUCACCGCUUUUGUAGAAAAUUAGAAAGACAGUGAAGCGUUUACGUCUUUAAAAUAAAAUUUCAUCGUAACUCCUACAUCGCAAAAUAAGGAUUAGUCUAUCAAUUUUUUUUUUUUAGAAUUAUUUAUCUAAUUAGAAAAUUUCUAUAGGGUUAAUAUUAUAUAUUUUGAAAUUUUAUUCAAUAUUAUACAAGCAUUAAAGGAAGGGUUGGGACAAAAAUAAAUAUAAUCCAAGCCAAUUUCAAUCCCCCCAUAAUGCAACCUAAUUUAGUUCCCCAACUAAUGCUACCUAAUUAAUUUAAUUCUCACAUUGAUGUCAAAUUUUCACCUUUUCAAUUCAUUUAAGUCAAUUUUACUUGUGCACCAUUUUGCAAGUUUAAUAUAUGUGGAGUAAAAGUAUAGCACUUUUGAAAAUUAUUGAUACAAUUUAUUUUCGCAUUGUUUAAAACAACGAAAUAUCUGAAUCAACGAUCAAUACCGUCACACAAGAUUUAGAAUAUUCGAACUUUGUAGAACUCGAAUUUUAUAUUUUUGAUAUCGUCUACUCAGUGAUCACAUAUGGUCGAUCUAAAAUUUAUAUAAUCUUAACAGUAAAAACGAGCCAAUUUCGAGAUCAUUUGAAUGCUAAAUAAAUUAUGCUGAUAAAUCACAAAAUUUUAAAAUUACAUAAAUUAAAUAAUUUAGAUUAAAUUUAAUAAUAUUGAUGGUCAAUUCCAAUGUCUUAUUACCACUGUGUGGAAAUAUCCAAGCUUUUACUCUCUAUUUAAAUAGUAAAAAAAAAAAAAAGGAAAAAAUGUAUGGAGAUCCCUCAACAAUAGCCAAUUUUUAACUAUAUGCUUUGUUCUAUUUUUAUUUUCGUUAGAAUAUUUCUAACUUAUGUAAGUUUCUUUUUUAUUUGAAUUUUUUUUAUUUUAAAAUUUCAAAUAGGCCCCUCAACCCUCAAUUGAAUCAACUAAUUUUCUUUUUUUUUAACCCAAAAACCUAAUGCCGUGAUUGUUUUAUUCAUUAAAUUUUAAACUUUGAUAAAAAUAUUUAACGAUUUUAAUUACUUUUCAGUACAUAAAAUUAUAAAUUUCACCAACAUAUAAGAGUUAACGACUAAUAGAGUUAUUAAAUUAAAUAAAAUUUAAAAUAUUAUUGCUUAGAAUAAUAUUAAUAAUGAGUGCUAAAGCACUACAACGAUUUUAAUUUGCAUAUAGUCGUUUAAACUUUUAAAAUUUCAUAUUUUUUACCCAAACUUUCAAAUUACACAAUUGACCACCUAAAUUUCCAUUUUAACAGUUUAAAGUGACUAAUGUUAGCCAAAUAAUUAAGAAAUAAUAAAAAAAAAGUGCUAAUAAUAUUAAUUUUUUUUACAUCAAAAUUCAAUCUUACUGUAUAAAAAUUGCUUUUAAUAUUUAGCUUUUACAAAUUGAAUAUGAUAAUAAUAGUUAAUUUUAUCCGCGAUAGAAAUUUUUGGCACCAAGAAACUUGCAAAUUGCAUAUUUAUUCUUAUAAAAUUUUAAUUUAUUGUAUUUCUAUUAAAUUUUAGUUAUCAAAUAUAUCUUUAAAAUAUACAAAUUCAUCCUUAAAAACUGACUCCCAUUAAUUGUUCAUUUAAUGUUCACUGUUUGGACAUUUAUGCCCUCACAAAAAUUAAAUUUUGUAAAAAUUUUUGUAAGAUUCAUAAUCUUAUUGUUCAUGUAGAGUGACAUAAAAGUUAAAAUAAAAAUAUUAAUUAAAAAAAUAUUUAUUUAAGGGUAAGGUAAAAUUGUGGAGAAUGUCAAAUUUGCAAACUAAAGAACUUGGGUGGAAUACAUAUAUAUUGUGUUUGAUUCGAGAACUAAAUUUUAAAAAAUAAUUUUUGUUGCUCUGAAAAAUAAAAAUAUUUUAGGAUAAUCUGGAAUAAGUUCUAAAUUGCGUCCGAAUAUUGUUUGUUUGUUCCCAGAGGAUAUCUAUUAUAGUGUUUGGAUGUUUGUACUGAAAUAAGAUAUCGAAUUAAUAAAAGUUAAAUAAAAUAGCAAUUUUGCGCUUGAAUAUAGUAAUAAAGUAAAUUCAAUAUAUAAGAAAGAGAUAGAAUUAAUAUAUAAUAAUAUAAUAUUGAAUGUAGCUGUGAAAAUAUACUUUCAAUUUUAUAAUUUAACAACUAAUUAAAAUUAAAUAUAAAUGUAUAAAUUUAAAUAUAGAAGAGCAGAUUAUUUCACAAAUUUAGUAUGUUCAUAAAUUACCUUAGAAAAAGUAAUUUAGUAGUAUGCAAUUUGAGCAUUCAUUUGAUUUACUUGAAAUUAAUUAAAAUAAAUUAUGAAAGAGAUAAAGGGGCAUAAUAGAAGGCAAAAGGGACAAAAAUCCAUUGUUCUAGUUUGAUCUCCAUGUGGGGCUUAACGGGUUAUUCCAGAAUAACCCGUUAAGCCCAGAACAAGAGGAAUAUCCCCUGACCAAACACAGCCAUAAAGUUUUAUAGGAAUGAAUAUGCAAUUUCUUUAUUUUGUAGGGGCACAUAUGUAAUUAUAACUCGAUGUAGAAAAACUAUAGGGCUAGACAACGUUAUCUCCUGACAAUCCACAACUUGCGGAAGAGGGGGGUGAUUCCAGAAUAACCCGUUAAACCCGGAACAAGAGAGAUAUCAUAUUUUGACAAAAGAAUAUCCCCCUAACCAAGCACAGCCAUAAAGUUUUAAAAGGAUGAAUAUGUAAUUUCUUUAUUUUGUAGGGACACAUAUGCAAUUAUAACUUAAUGCAGAAAAACUACAAGGUUGAAUAAUGUCAUCCCCUAACAAUCCAUAACUUGUAGAAGAGGGGGAUGAUUUCAGAAUAAUCUAUUAAGUCCGGAACAAGAGGGAUAUCCCCCUAACAAACAUAGCCUAUAAAAUUUUAUAGGGAUAAAUAUAUAAUUUCUUUAUUUUGUAGGGACAUAUAUGCAAUUAUAAAACGUUAUCCCUAACAGGUUAAGAUAAGCAGGAUAUGGUGCACGCUUUUCCAUGCAACACGAAUUGCUUUUUUGCAUCACCCCCCUCUUCCACAAGUUAUGGAUUUUUUUGUUUUUUAAGAUAAAAUUGUUUUCAAACAAUUUUCUUUUUUUUUUAUGAUACAAGUUUAUUUAUUUAUUUAGGAUAAGCUUUAAAUUACUCUCAUGUAAUUUAGUUUAGUGUUUUUUUUUUUUUUUUUUUUUACUUUGCAACUUGUAAUUUUUUUAAAAUUUUUUUACUUUGCGAUUCUAUUUCAUAUAUAUAGAAUUUUUGGUAAAAAUAAAAAUUAAUCCACUGGGGAGUAAAGUGUAACAAUUCGAAUCAUAGGAUAGCACGGAUUGCACCGUAGUAGGGCAAUUUAAAAUUUACUCAUUUAUUUAUGACUAAAUUACACUUUCGGCCUUCAAAUUGUAAGGCGGGUGAUACUUUAGUUUUCAAAUUCUAUUUUUUUUGUAAUUUUUUACUCAAACUUUUUUGAAUUGCUAUAAUCAAAUCCCACAACGCAAAUUAAUUGGCUAAAUUUUGAUGCGUCCUUGAGAUAAAAAUAAUUCAAUUGUGUCAUACUUGAUGAAAACGACAUGUCAAUAUUUAUUCAAUUAAAAUAAAUUAGAGGACUUAAUUAUAAUAAUUUAUAAAGUUUGUGUUAAAAAUUAUUGAGUUUGAGUACCAAAAUAUCACCAACUUUAUAGUUUGAGGGUCAAAAUUGUAAUUCAAUGCCCUUUAAUUAGUUUAGUGUUAAUUUCACUUGCUUGAAAGGAUUGCCUAAUUUGUGUCAUCAUAAUUAAACAAUGAUUAACUAGUUGUCAUUAAUCAAUAUUCGUAAUUUAUGGAAUUGCUCAAUUGCAUGUAAUUAUAACUGCGUUGCAAUUUUAGUUGCAUGUAAAUCCAAAUAUAACGUUUAAUUUGGCCUAUUUGAAUUCAAUUAUUGUGAUUGUAACUACACAUGAAAGCGCAACUGCAGCAUUUACAACUAUAUUUAAAUUGAUCACAAUUCCAACUAUAGCGGAUGGAGAGAACAAGUUUAGAUAAGAGAUAAGCUUAUCUACCGAAUUAUCUUUCAGAUAACAAAAUGCUUUUCUUAAUUACAAUUAUUUUCAAGGAAAAACUUCAAAUAACAUCCCUGUGGUUUCACACUUUCUAACUUUAGUAUCCUGUGGUUUAAAGUGUAUCAAUUUAGUGUCCUGCGGUUUUAUUUUUAUCUUUUUAUUAUAGAUUCUACUAAUAUUUUCAUUAUAUCAGUGACAAAGUUAAAACUAAAAAGUACUAAAGUGAAUAUUCGAUAAAGCUAGGUGGAGUAUCUGAAGUUUUUUGUAUAUAAUUUAACGAAAUAUUAACGGAGAAGCCGACGAAAAGAUAAAAAUAAAACAACAGAACACUAACUUAAUACAAUUUAAACUACAAGAUAUUAAAGUGAGAAAAUACGAAACCACAGAAAUGGUAUCUAAAGUUGACCCUAUUUUCAACUAUGCUGUAUUUUAGUUUGGUGUAGAAAUAUAAUGUUCUUUGAUAAAGAAUCAUAGUUGGAGAAUAAAAAAUUAUAUAUUGUAUUAAAAUAUUUUCAAAGAACAUGUGGGAAUCCAAAAUGUGCUCUAGGUAUCUCCAUUCUAAGGGCAAAAAGGUAAAUUCAUUCAUAGCCAAUGGAAAAUUACUACUAUUUACCUAAAAAGCAUUGGAUAUAAAAGAUGAUACAAAAUGAAAUUAGAAGAUAAAUAGAAGGAAUGGGUGGAAAGAAAUAUUGGAAGUAAUAAAGUGAGGAGAUAUUUUAGUAAUAGUAGAGAAAAAAAAAGGAACAAAACUAAUGUUGAAAAUGUAGAAAAAAGAAUAUGCAAAAAGUGAAAAUUGCAUGGUUACUUCUCCAUCAGGGUGCGUUUGAUUUGAUAUAAAAAUGAAAAUGAGUGAAAAAGAAAUUUUUGGAGGAAAAAUGAUUUGCUACUCGUUUGUUUCACCGUAAAACAUUAUUUCAGAAAAAAUAGUUUUAUGUAUUUGAGGAAAAAUUUUCUCUUUCGUUUUCCGAGCGUGAACGGCGGAAAACGAGAACACGGAGCUCGGAGCCAAAAAAUUUGCGGCUCAUAGGUAGUUUUCAUGGGGUCCACGAGGUCACUUCGGCCUCUUGGACCGCAUAAGAGAGAGGUCCACACGUCACUUCGGCCUCUUGGACCGCAUAAGAGAGAGGUCCACCGUGUGUGUGUGUGUGUGUGUGUGUGUGUGUGUGUGUGUGUGUGUGUGUAUAUAUAUAUAUAUAUAUAGAGUGAGGCUACUAUGCUAUCGGAAGCACAGAGCCUUCCGUGCUUCCAGCUCGUUUUCGAUGUUGCGACUUUCGAAUCGUCGAUUGGCUCCGUUAAACUUGAUCUAGAGUAAUUGAAGUACCUAGAAAACAUAUUUUAUGAUUUUACGAUAUCAUUUGCCUAGUGAACGAGGGGCUCAAAAUUAACGGCUGAAAAUAAAAAUCUUAUAAAAUGUAAUAAUAUGACAUUAAAAUUUUAAAUCAAAUAUAUUGAUCUUGUUUUAUAUAGUAUAUAAAGAAUUUUCUAUCAAAAUUUCACAUGAUUUGGAUAUUUCUACACCGUUAAACUUGCAAACGGCUCACUACGGCCAUUGAAAUUUGUUGAUUUUGAGCCCAUUCGAUCACUAGGCAAAUGAUAUCGAAAAAUAAUAAAAUUUAUUUUCUAGGUACUCCAAAUACUCUAGAUCAAGUUUAACGGAGCUGAUUGACGAUUCGAAAGUCGCAACAUCUAAAACGAGCUGGAAGCAUGGAAGGCUCCGUGCUUCCGAUAGCUUAGUAGCCUCACUAUAUAUAUAUAUAUAUAUAUAUAUAUAUAUAUAGUAUUUUAUUAUAUAUAUAUAAUUUUAUUUAUAAAUAUAUAUUUAUUUAUUAUAUAUAGUAUUUUAUUUUUAUACAGAGAUAUUAUUAUAUAAUAAUUUAUUUAUUAAUAUUUCUAAAUAUAUAACUCCUAUAUAUUAUAUAUUAUAUUUAUCAUAAUUUUAAAUAUAUUUAAUUUAUAUCUAAAAAUUAUAAUAAUAAUAAUAUAUAUAGUAUAUUAAUUAUUAUAUAUUUAAUAAUAUAUAAUAAAAAUAUAUUAAGUAGUUUUUUAUCUUUUUUUUUUCCUUUCAACUAAACAACCGUCAUGAAAAUUAUUUUUCUUUUUCUACAAACGAAACACUAAACGACGUAAAACUUUCUUUCCACCGAAAAAUUUUUUCCACCAAAGAUUUUUUUUCUAUAAUUUUACGUGGAACUAAACACACCCUUAGCCAAAAAUCAAUAAGUGGAGAGGGGCCAAGUUGCUAAAUCAUAGCAGAGAACUUUUUUUUUUGAGAGAUAGGUAGCACACUACCCGCUUCGUUUAUUUCAUUUAGAAAUAAACUUAGCUAGAAAUGUGAAUCAACUAGGAUUCGAACUUGGGUCUCGGGUGCCAACCAUCAUAACAAAGAACUUAAUGCAAUGCAAGUACGUUGAUCACAACUCAUACACACAAGUACAUUGAGCUGAACUCUAGGGUUUAGGGUAUACAUCUAUAGAGAGAGAGAGAGAGCUUUGCUAGAAUACUAUCGAUAGUAAACGAGCUGUUUUACUACCUAUUUGUUUUCGAUGAUAGAGCUUCCAAAUUGACGAUCGGCUCCGUUGAACAUGAUCUAUACCACUUGAAGUGUUUAGAAAUCAAAUUUCAAAUCUUUUCGACAUCAUUUGCCUAAUGAGUAUACUCUUAUAAGUAUAGAGUACUCUAGCAAAACUCGCUAGGGCUACUAUACUCUUAUGUGUAUAGAGUAUUUCGUACUCAUAAGUUGUUUUCAAUGAUGGAGCUUCCGAAUCGAUGAUCCACUCCGUUAAAUAUAAUCUAGAGUAUUUGAAACUUCUAGAAAAUAAAUUUCGUAAUUUUUCGGAAUUAUAAUAAAGUUCAUCAAGCAGGUACAAAAUAAACGGUCAAAAUCGAACGACGUCUUAAAAAUGGAUGAUCAGAUCCUUCAAUUUAAGAUCGGAGUUAUUGAUCUUUAUCUAUGUAGUGAAUAGAAUUUUCUAUAAAAAAUUCAAUCAAUUUCGAUUCUUUUACACAGUUAAACUAGCAAAUAUCUCACACCAGCCGUUAAAAAUUUUCAAUUUUGUGACCUUUUGAUCAUAAGAUAAAUGAUGUUGAAAAAUUAUAAAAUUUGAUUUCUAAACGUUUUAAAUGCUCUAGAUAAUGUUUAACGAUGUGGAUCGUCGAUUUGGAAGCUCUAUCAUCGAAAACAACUUAUGAGUAAUCGUACUCAUAAGAGUAUAGUAGCCGAACUCUAUAUAUAUAUAUAUAUAUAUAUAUAUAUAUAUAUAUAUAAUUAGAUUAUUAUACUAUUAAAAGUAUCAAGAACUUGGUGCUAUUAGAUUUUGAGCCUUUGGAUGAAGGGAGGUGCGGUUAAGAUGAUAAUGAUCGCCAGUUAGGAUGAUCGUAGUGUCCUAGGGGUGAGUGAGUGAUUGGUUAAAUAGUAUAAUUUAAUAAAUGAAAAUGGCCAAAGAAGUAGAUCUAAUGGCAGAAAACUCAAUAACACCAAGUGUUUGGUAUUAUCGAUAGUAUAAUAGCCAAAUUCUACAUAUAUAUAUAUAUAUAUAUAUAUAUAUAAUUGAGCUAGAUUACUUUUAGAAGCACCAACUCCUUAGUACUUCUAAUGUUCUAGCCCUUUAAUCUACUCCUUAAUUACUAACGCCACUUGGAUCAAACACUAUUCCACCUACUACCACCUACCACCAUCAUCUCAACCCUACAUCUCUCUAUCCAAUGGUUAAAAACUAAAACGCACCACCCCCUUGGUGCUUUUGAGAGUAUUCUAGCUCAACUCUCUCUCUCUCUCUCUCUCUCUCUCUCUCUCUCUAUAUAUAUAUGUAUAUAUAGCUAUCGAGUCUUUCGUAGAUCUACUUUGGCAAUUUUAGUCGUCAACUCGCCUCAAGAUCUGUAUAGCAAUAGCCGAUAUGUCCUAUUAAUUUUUUUUACUAAUACUGUACGAAUCUUAAGGCGAUCCGACGUUUAAAAAAUUAUAAACAUAAAUAUUUUAAUAAUUUUAAAAACACAUGAGCUCAACUCUGUAUAUAUAUAUGGAUCAACAAAAAUUUUAGAUAAGUAGGUAAUUUUCCACUGAACUACUAUAUAUAUAUAUAUAUAUAUAUAGAGCAAGUCUCCAAUACUAUCAAUAGUAUCGGGGCUCCGGUACUAUAAUCUUGUUUUCGAUCUUAGGGCAUGUUUGGUUCAUGAUUGGAAUAGGAAUGAGAAAUGGAAUUGGAUUGCUUUGAAAUGGAAAAUAGAAUGACGAAUCAUCUAAAAAUGUUUGGUUCAUUAUUGAAAUAGAAAUCGGAAUGAAAAUUUAAAAUUUUUGAGAGAGGGUUUUGAUUAAGAAAAAGGAAAGUUAUGAAGGGAGAAGAAGUAGGUGUUGAUGAAAGAAGAUUUUGAAUAGUUUACUUUGGAAUGGGCCUAUUGAUGCCAAAAUUGAAAUUAACAUGCCGACCUAACCCACGUAUGAGCCAAUAAGGAUACGUGGUAUACCAGGAGUCGGCAAUAAGGCGCCUGAAGAUUUUAGGCGGGAACGGUUGAGAAAUGGGGUGUAACUUUCAUAAGAAGUGGGCGUACCUUCUACGAUGGGGCGUAACUUUCAUAAGGAGUGGGCAUAAUUUCCAUGAUCAUGAUUACAACCACUGCCCCCACUACUUUCAACCAACCAAUAAUGUGGGUUGAUAUUACUAUAAAUAGUAAUUUCGAAGCCUGCAAUAGGAGCCUUUCUCCCCCUCGAACGAGAAGACCAUCUUUAUUUUCUCUGCAAUUUUAUCGCUUUUCUAGAAGUAGUCUAAAUGUAAUCUUUUUUUUCUUUUCCUAACAAUUUUGGCACGCCCGGUGGGACCCAAUUUUAGAUAAAUUCAUAUUUUUAUUGAAAUUAUGGUUGAUGAUAAUGCCAUGAAUUUGCGCAAUCGGGUUGUUCCUAGAAAUUCUGGGAGUGAUCAACCUAGCGAUUCAGACAAUGCUGGUGAACGGCAAGCAGUUUCGCCAGUUGAAGGAAAAACUAGUGGACAGUCGGCUUAUCAAGAGCUGACUCUAACUUAGGCACUCGGCCAGAUGAUCCGAGUCCUGCAAACUGUAGAUCAAAAUAUCCAUCAAAGUACCGCUCGAUUAGACGCGGUACUCGUCGCCAUCGUGGCCUAUAAUGAAAAUAUUGUUCGAAUCAGACAGUUAUUUACCCAAAACGAGCAACCUUACCGGGGGCAACAGGGGCCCCUAACUGCGCCGGCGCAACAAAAUUCAGUCACACCGGCGGUCUCACAUACGUAACUGCAAAUGGCACCUUUCCAGGCUGCUUAUAGGCCGGCGAAUAUAAACGCCGGCCCGCAGUCGGAGAUUGCAUCCAGUUUACCUCUUUUACCAGCUUAUCAGCCCCAAAAUGCGGGAAUUAGAGCUGGGGGGCAGGCCCCUAAUGCUAUGCAAGGAGCGAAUCCUGCGAUACAGAAUUAUGGAGUUCCUCAAGGGCCGAAUCCGGCUCAAGCACAAGCUCCGCUUCCCAUACAAGGGAAUAACAAUAAGCUGUAUGAUCAGAUUGAGGAAGUCAUCCGAAAUACCUUCAGAGUAGGGGCCAGGCCGGCUAUGCGGCCUGCUUUUCGAUCCCCGUAUCCCGCAACAUAGAUGCAGAUCAUCCAUAUAAGGCAAACUGGAAAAUGCCGAAGUUCGACAAGUUCUCGGGCGAUGAGACCGAGAAUACGAUCGAGCAUAUAGCCCGGUUCACUGUCCAAUGUAGAGAAGCGGCUGCUGACUCAUUUUUGAAACUUCGAUUAUUUAACACGUCGUUAACUGAAACGGCGUUUACUUGGUAUACAAGUUUAUCAGCCAAUUCCGUCCGAGAUUGGGAUAAAUUGGAAAGAAAAUUCCAUGAGCAAUUCUAUAGGUCAGAGCCACAAUUAUCGGUCACCGACUUGGCUUUGUACCGACAAAAGUCAGGUGAAACGGUCAAAGAGUAUUUGAACCGUUUCAAAAUAGCCAAAUUUCGGUAUUUUAUGAGAAUGCCGGAAUCAGAGUUCGCCAAAAUGGUGUUAAAUUGUCUACAUUUUAAGAUAAAAGAUCAUUUUGAAGAUAAGUAUUUUUCUAACCUAUUUGAUCUAGGUGUUCGAGUUACCCAAUUUGAGCAAUUCCGGAAGGAAAAAGAGGACGAUUGGCUGCAAUGGAGCGGAUAUAACAAUCAAAGCAAAGGCAAGGAGAAAUCCUUGAUAGAAGAACAGUUGGUUCAAAAAGAGCCAAGCCAAUCAAAUGAAAGUGAAGAAUCAGCUGAUGAAGCCGAGGUAUAUGCGGCUGGUAAAGAGCCACUUUCUUCAAUGAGAAAUCCUUGCUAGAAGAACAUUCGGUUCAAGAAGAGCAGAACCAAUCAAGCAAAAGUAAAGAAUCGGCUGAUGAAGCCGAGGUAUAUAGGCUGGGACGAUAAAGAGCCGUUUUCUUUAAGCCGACCAAGACCAGCGAAACUAAAGCUUGGGUCUCAGCUGCAUCAUUUGAGCAGUCGAUUUGGCACCAAUAGUCAUCUGAAUGUUCAUUCGAAAGACUAUUGGGGGGCAUUGUUGAUGUCAAAAUUGAAAUUAACAUGCUGACCUAACCCACGAUGAGUCAAUAAGGACACGUGGUACACCGGGAGUCGGCAAUAAGGCGCCUGAAGGUUUUAGGCAGGAACGGUUGAGAAGUGGGGCAUAACUUUCAUGAUAAGUGGGCGUAACUUUCACGAUGGGGCGUGACUUACGUGAGGAGUGGGCGUAACUUCCACGAUCAUGGUUACAACCACUCCCCCCACUACUUUCAACCAACCAAUAAUAUGGGUUGAUAUUACUAUAAAUAGUAAUUUCGAAGCCUGUAAUAGGGGUCUUUCUCCCUCUCGAACGAGAAAACCACAUUUAUUUCCUCUGCAAUUUUAUCGCUUUUCUAGGAGUAGUCUAAAUAUAAUCUUUUUCUUUUCCGCAUUUACUGCUUUCCUAGGAGUAGUUUUAAGUUAGAUUUCUGGAGUCUGUAUGCCCCACGGGCACACCCAAUUGUAAACUAUAUUUGCAGAGUCUGUAUGCCCCAUGGGUACACUCUGUUGUAAACUAGAUUUUCAGAGUCUGUAUGCCCUUCGGGCACACUCUGUUUUAUUAAUAUAUAAAAGCCUUCGGCUCUUUCAGCCGACCAAUCAUUGUGUAUUCUAUAUAUUCAGCUCAUCAGCCGACCAAUUACUGUGUAUUUUAUCUAUUCGGCUCUUUCAGCCAAACCGAGUCUACAGUAAAGGUUUUCGAACUUGGCUGAUCCGAUCCCUCGUCAGCCGAAUCGCUUAAUCUAGUCGAAGGGCGCAAACUUCGAGGGUCAGUACCAUAAGCCGUUUUGCAUCCCUAUACGCUCUCCUAGAAAGAUCUUUGACCAAGUCAAAGAUAAAGGAUUUCGGCGCCUAACAGAGCCAAUCCGGAAUUCAAAGUUGGAUUGGAUCAUAAAUGAAUUUGGCCAUUCCCAUUCCGAAGUGGAAUGGGAAUUGGAAUCCGAUUCUUAUAAAACAAACGACAACUAUCGGAAUCAAUGAAUUUUAUUCCGAUUCCAUAGUUUAAAAUAGGUGAACCAAACAUGCCCUUAGGGUGUUCAAAUCAACGAUCCACACCAUUAAAACUGAUUUAGGGUAUUUAAAAUUUUUAGAAAUAAAAUUUUAUAUUUUUUCGAUAUAGUUUUCUUUAUGAUCAAAUCAUUUCAAAAUUGUCAAUUUUCAAUGGCUACUAUAACGAGUUUGGAGUUUAACGGUGUAGAAGAAUCUAAAUUUUUUCAAAUUUUGAUAGAAAAUUUUUUAAACUAUCUAGAUUAAAGUUAACAUUUUUUAUCUUGAAUUUAAAAGUCCUAUACUCAAAUUUUAAAGAUUAUUCAAUUUCUACCUUCCAUUUUUACAUAAUUUACUUACUAAGUAAACAAUGUCGAAAAAAAUUAAAAUUUUAUUCCUAAAAAUUUCAUAUAUCCCAGAUCAUAUUUAACGGUAUGGAUUAUUAAUUAGAAUACCCUAAAAUUAAAAAUAAGACUAUUGUACUGGAGCUCCGGUAUAUAGAUAGUAUAGUAGCCGAAUUCUAUAUUUAUAUAUCUCAACAGGGAAAUUUGUUGCACAAAAAUAGGGGGAAAAGAAAAGUGCCUCUCAAUUUAGCCGUUUUCACAUUUCCCAUUUUACCCCCUAAACCCCCUCUUCUCCCUCUUCGCCUCUUCCCCGACCAUCUCUCUCUUUAUCUCUCUCUCUCCUCUCUAUAAAAACCGAGCGCUGGAACCCGAAGCGUCCGCGAACGAGCUCGCGAGGGCGCCCCCAAGCGAAAAGAAGAAAAACCCUAAUCUCCCCGCCCCUUCGUCGUCGUCGUCGUCGUCUUCGUCCUAGGGUUCUCUCGCGGGAAUGGGCGCGACGAUCCUCCCCGAGCUCCUCACGGAGAUCCUGAUCCCGGUCGCGGCCGUGAUCGGGAUAAGCUUCUCCCUUGUGCAGUGGCUCCUCGUCUCCCAGGUCAAGCUCUCGCCCGAGCGCCAGGGGGGGUCGCCGCAGGGGGGGAAGAACGGCUUCGGCGACUACCUCAUCGAGGAGGAGGAGGGGCUCAACGACCACAACGUCGUCGUCAAGUGCGCCGAGAUCCAGGCCGCCAUCUCCGAAGGUGAGAGAGAUCGAUCGAGAGAAGGGGAGAGUUUGCAAUUUGAGUCGAGCUCUCGCGGUGUUUUUACUCGAUUUGAGCGUUGGUUUAGGGGAAAUUUGUGUGGAGGGUUUGUUUUUGGGUCAGAUCUCGUAGUUGCUGAAGUAAAUAAAAAAGAGAUUUUUUUUUUUCCUAUUGUUUAUUAGAUCUGCUGUAGCUACCGGAGUUUUCUACUUUCUGUUGUUUUUAAGCUAUUUUUUGUGAAAAAUUCCCUUUUAUGUUUUCCUUUAUUCAGAUUUUACUCUUAUAGCUGCUCUGAACUGAUUUCCUAAAAUUUUUCUGUUUUCAGAUUAAAAUUGAUAUUUUGAAAAAAUUUUCGUGCUCUAAUACAAUGCGCGCUUCUAUGAUAGUUUGAUAUUUUGAAAUCUUAGUUGCUGAAAUAGUCUCACUUGUUUAGUAAAGGUCAUAUUUUUAAGAUACUCUUAGUUUUUUUUUUCUUUUUAAUUUAUAUUCUAUUGUUAUAUUUGAAAAGUUUUCUUCUUUUUUUUUUUUUUUUUUUUUUUGCAUAUUUUUGUUUUCCGCCAUCUGGGAUUUUUCUGAUUAAUGCCCUGUUAUGUGGAUAAUUAUUGUGGGUGUUCGUUCUCAUUUAAAAGUAUUCUUAUGGGUUUUCCUUUAAAGAUUUUGUUUUAUUAAUAAUUUUUUUAUAUUAGACAUGCCGAGAAGAUAAUAGUUGCUGAUUUAGUCUUUGUUGAUGGCUUUGAAAGAGAUUUUACAUCAAAUUUUUAUGUUUUUCUAGCUCAUAAUACCUGCUCUGAUUGUUGACUUAUUCUUACUUGAUGAUUGCUUAUGACUUAGUAUAUUUGAUGACAUAUUGAAUGUGUUUAUGGAUAUUGAGUAAGUACGAUACGUCGUAAUGAACACUUGGAUACUUUCUAUUACGUUCUCAUUAGAUGCCAUACUCAAAUACUAUCUAUUCUGUGGUCAUUGUAUACUUUUUCCCCAGUGGGAUGAUUGGAGAUGGUCAUUGUAAACAUUUAUGAAGUAUAACCUUGUACUCUUUUUCACAACAUGCUAGUAGUAUUUUCUUUUAAUCUCUAGGUGGGAUUGGAUUGAGGUCAAUUUUGUACUGUGUUUUCCGUGAAACUUGUCUCAGGAAUUUAGGCUGUAUAACAAGUUUGUUUGUACAGCACCAUCCUCCUAAAUCUGCUGAAUCGCAGAUGCAGUUGCGAUACAGUGCUGAUUGGACUCUUUAUCUUCUUAUUUUUUACAGUCAUUCAUUUUUCGCCAAAUUGUGGUGAUUUACUUGCUGUUCAGAUCUAAUCUGGGUGGCAUGUGUUUUAUUUUCUAUUGGCCAUGAAAGAAGAAUUUCGUAGCCGCAGUUUGGUCACGUGCUUGUAGAAAUCAUGCUUUAUUUCCCCUCCUUUUCGUAUCUUUUUUUCUCAUGCUGCAGUAAUUUUUUUAUCUGUCCCCCAUCUUUCUUGAAAAUUUUUAUUGGUAAUCUUGUAUCAUAUUUUUUUAUCACAUUUCUGUAUAAUGCACUCUGUUGUUAUUUUGACUUUAACUAAUUAUCUUGUAAGACAUAGGGAAAAGCAGCUUGGAUGGUGAUUGAUUACUGAAGAUUAUAGCUGUUUUCUUUAUUCUUUUUUCUUUUUCUUUUUGUGGCUGAAAUUGUUGCUUCUUUCAAUUGGACUUCUUAGGUGGAUCAGGCUUGGGUGGCCCUCAUUCUUUUACUAGUCAUUGAUAAUCUUGCCUUAUUCUUAAGCGUUUGGUUAGGGGAUGGGGAUAGGAAUAGGCCCUUAUCCCCCCUUUAUACCCAAACGCUAAUUUUUUACCCGAGAAUAGUAGUUCUCGGUUAUCCCCACCAACACCUCCAUUUUCUAUAUAAAACUACCUAAAAUUGUUCUUAUUCCCGGGAACAACCCAAUUUUCAUCCAAACACUAUUUUUCUUAUCCCCAUACUUGUACCUAUCCCUGUAAUAGCUAGUUUUUGCUUAUACCCGAACCAAACGGUACUAAAUCUUAAUACUUACUGUUUUGUUGUGUUUUGCCUUCUAUAUUGAAAUGCAGCGAAUUAACAACUAGACACUCACAUGUUGCUAUCUGGAAUUAAUAGAGUUCCUUUGGUUGGACGUCAUUGCUUGCGAAUUCUAUCCCUGCUUUAGUAUCUUCAUAAGUACUACCAUUUGUCCUUUUCUGGUAUCCUAAGUUUCUUGUUUAAAUAGACGGCGUCUUAUCCUUAGACGUCCAAAUGUGGUGUACAAUAUUUUAAAAAAAAAAUUAUCCUAAACGUGGUGUAUAAAAUACUUGAACUUACCGUAUUAGCAUUUUUACCCACCGUAAUUUUUGUAAACAGGAGCCACAUCUUUCCUAUUCACGGAGUACCAGUAUGUCGGGAUCUUCAUGGUGGCUUUUGCGAUCCUGAUCUUUCUCUUCCUUGGCUCUGUGGAGGGUUUCAGCACAAAGAGCCAGCCCUGCACCUACAGCAAGGACAAAACCUGCAAGCCGGCCCUCGCUAAUGCUAUUUUCAGUACUGUGUCCUUUUUACUCGGUGCGGUUACCUCCGUAGUUUCUGGCUUUCUUGGCAUGAAAAUCGCCACAUAUGCCAAUGCUAGAACUACUUUGGAAGCUAGAAAGGGGGUCGGAAAGGCUUUCAUUACUGCGUUCCGCUCUGGCGCGGUGAUGGGUUUCUUGCUUGCUGCGAAUGGGCUUCUCGUGCUUUACAUUGCUAUCAACUUGUUCAAGUUGUACUAUGGGGAUGACUGGGAAGGGCUUUUUGAGUCUAUUACUGGUUAUGGACUUGGGGGUUCUUCUAUGGCCUUGUUUGGUAGAGUUGGUGGAGGUAUCUACACCAAAGCUGCUGAUGUCGGGGCAGAUCUUGUUGGGAAGGUUGAAAGGAAUAUUCCUGAGGAUGACCCUAGAAACCCGGCUGUAAGUUUUUCUGUCCUUGCCUCUGUUGAACCUUUGUUAAUGUUUAUGUUUGUUCAGGAAUGCCAUUUAGUGUUAGUAAUUGGGCUUUUCCAUAUGUCAUUUCGGUACCCAUCUUAGCACAUAUUGCACUUUCCAUUUAUAUUUUCCAACAUAUUCUACAUUUUCUAGAAUUCGUUCGAUGUUGCUGUUGAGGUUGACAAACAUUUGUUAUCUUCCUAUAGGUCAUUGCUGACAAUGUUGGUGAUAAUGUUGGUGAUAUCGCUGGAAUGGGAUCAGAUCUUUUCGGCUCGUACGCUGAAUCUUCAUGUGCUGCCCUUGUUGUUGCCUCAAUUUCUUCCUUUGGGAUCAACCAUGAGUUCACUGCAAUGGUGUAUCCCUUACUUAUUAGCUCGAUGGGUAUCAUAGUUUGCUUGAUCACCACUCUUUUUGCCACUGACAUCUUCGAGAUCAAGGCGGUGAAGGAGAUCGAGCCUGCUCUUAAGAAGCAGCUCAUUAUUUCUACUGCCCUUAUGACUGUUGGGAUAGCAAUUGUCAGUUGGCUAGCUCUCCCGUCGUCCUUCACCAUUUUCAACUUUGGCGCCCAGAAGACUGUGAAGAACUGGUAUGUGCCAUGUUUUAGUUAAUUCAUUUUGAAAUAAUUGCAUAUUUAGCUCGGCAAAAAUAUCACGGUACAUACAACCUGAAAACCUGAAUUUGCAUCUGUACCCACUUUCCCCACAAACUGGAUGAUUCCCCAACUUUUAAGUUUUUGUGGGUAUGUGAGAAAAUAUGGAUUUUGAAGGGAUAUAUGUAUGCAUAUAUGAUUUUCGUAAGGGUAAAGCCAACUUUGGCAACUAAUUUUUUUUAUUGCUCAUUAUUUUCUUUUUGCUCAAUUUGGCAGGGAACUAUUCUUCUGUGUUGCAAUCGGUUUGUGGGCUGGUUUGGUCAUUGGGUUUGUCACCGAGUACUAUACGAGCAACGCUUAUAGGUAAAUAUUAAGUCCUCUAUGUUUUUCAUAUUUCUGACGUCUUUCCUUUUUGCGCAGAUUUAACCUUAAUUUUCUAUUACAGCCCUGUGCAAGAUGUUGCUGAUUCCUGCAGAACUGGAGCAGCCACUAACGUGAUCUUCGGGCUUGCUUUGGGAUACAAAUCCGUGAUCAUCCCUAUUUUUGCCAUUGCUGUUAGCAUUUUCGUUAGCUUUAGUUUAGCCGCCAUGUAUGGUAUUGCAGUUGCUGCUCUUGGCAUGCUCAGCACAAUUGCAACUGGCCUUGCCAUCGACGCCUACGGACCGAUUAGUGACAACGCCGGAGGCAUUGCUGAGAUGGCGGGGAUGAGCCACAGGAUCCGUGAGCGAACUGAUGCUCUUGAUGCUGCAGGAAACACCACAGCAGCCAUCGGAAAGGUAUGUUGAGCUGCUUUAUUAUUUUCCUGCUGCUCUUUUACAUCGGCGGUCUUGUGUUUUGAAAUUAGCGCCUGCUCCUUUGUUCUCAAUCUCGAUCCCAGAUUCUAUAAAUGCGAUGCUCAAAUUUGAAAUCUGCUCAAGAGAAUUUUUCCUAGAUGUUGUUUUUCCUGCACCUCAUUAGCAUUUAUAUUCUUUAGUUCAUACGGUGGGUUAGCAUGAUAUUUUAGUGCCCUCAUUAAACCAUUUAGACAUCUUCUGAGAUAUCAAAUUGAUUCACCAUCAGUAUUGCUAAUUUAACCAAAUUCUCACAUCAAAAGAAAAUGCAAUCAACUUACUAUUUUUCCUCUCUAGGGUUUUGCCAUUGGUUCUGCGGCCUUGGUAUCCCUCGCACUCUUUGGUGCAUUUGUAAGCCGAGCUGCUAUCUCCACCGUCGAUGUUUUGACCCCCAAAGUGUUCAUCGGGUUGAUCGUCGGUGCCAUGCUUCCCUACUGGUUCUCAGCCAUGACCAUGAAGAGUGUCGGCAGCGCAGCCCUGAAAAUGGUCGAGGAAGUCCGACGGCAAUUCAACACCAUUCCCGGCCUCAUGGAGGGAACUACUAAGCCCGAUUAUGCCAAUUGCGUCAAGAUCUCCACUGAUGCCUCCAUUAAGGAGAUGAUCCCUCCCGGCGCCCUUGUCAUGCUCACCCCACUCGUCGUCGGGAUCUUCUUCGGCGUCGAAACCCUCUCGGGAGUUCUUGCGGGCGCUCUUGUUUCUGGUGUUCAGGUUAGUAACAUUUCCUUGGAUCCAUUUUUCUUUGAAGAGUUAGUUUAUCACUAUAUUUAGGUUAAUUGUAAUUCUCAUUUCCAAGUUAUGCUCCAGUUUGAGAACUCCAAAUUGAAAUAAAUUAGAUUCUAAAGUUUGUUUCUUGCAGCAAUUAAAUCCUUCCACCAUUGCUCUGGAUGCGAGCAAUGAUGUAUCAUAUUUUUCUUUUUAGAACGGGGAGAGUUGUUACAUGAAACGAGCUUCAAAGAACAUAUUAUUGAAACUGAAACUCUUAGCCAUGCAACCAAAAUUUGAGUUCGAAGAUCAGGAACCCGCAAUUUUACUUCAUUUCUGAUUUUUUUUUAUUCUUUUUGUAUAUUUUGCAGAUUGCUAUCUCUGCAUCCAAUACUGGUGGUGCAUGGGAUAAUGCGAAGAAAUACAUUGAGGUAAUGUUAUUAUUGUACACCAAAUAAUUCAAUCUGAGGAGAAAUAAAAGAAUUCUCGGUGCAUCAAUAAACAUUUUUCACUUGCUGUGAUUUGCUUCAGGCUGGAGCUUCGGAGCACGCGAGGAUGCUCGGCCCGAAAGGUUCGGAUCCCCACAAAGCUGCUGUGAUCGGCGACACCAUCGGAGACCCGCUCAAGGACACAUCCGGGCCGUCGCUCAACAUCCUGAUCAAGCUCAUGGCCGUCGAAUCGCUCGUGUUCGCUCCCUUCUUCGCCACACACGGCGGCCUCCUCUUCAAGAUCUUCUAAACAGAGGAAGAAAAAGAAAGCGAAGAAGACGAGUCGGGCCAAUUUGCUCUCUCUAUAGUAUCUCUCUCUGGUCCUUAAAUCCUGAACUUAUAUUCUCUCAUUUUUAUCGCCGAUUUCGAAACUGUAGCAGUAUAAUGAUGAGUUGCCGGAUCAAUUUGGACAAAUAGUUGUUGAAUUUUUCCUUUGGUAGGUAAAUUAUGAUGAUGAUGAUGAUGACGACGACGACAAUGAUCAAAUUUCAGAAUCAGUUAUAAUCAGUUUUCGUCAGAAAUGUUUAUUUGGCUAUUUUAUCUCUGUGCUCUCAAUGUUUUUGCAUUCAUUAAGUUGCUUUUAUGUAUAUUUCAUGAUAAUUGGAAGGUUAAAAUGCAUUGCAACCCCCUCAACUGUAGCAAUUUUUUAAUUAGAUCCUCCAACUUUGUUUAUUUUUGUUGUUUGAUUGUUUAAAUUUUUUUUCAACUCUUUGUGACUAGAAUUGUGAAACAUAAUUGCUACUAAAUUCAAAAAAAAAUAAUAAAAAUCUUUUGAUGAGUGGGGAUCGAAAAAAUUUGAAGCUUGGGGUUUAUUUUGUGGUUUUGAACUUGGUCAAAAUCAAAUUGAAAGAGAAUUGUAUAUGUUUUAGUUUUUUAUUAUAGUUAGUAGAUAAAAUAGGGGUAAAUUACACUUUUGGUACUCAAACUAUGUGUGGGUAACACUUUAGUCUUCAAAACUUUAAUUCGGUGCAACUUUUGGUUCGUAUUUUCUGAAUUGUUGCAAUUAAGUUUCACAACCUAAUUUUUUGGACUAAAAGUUUAUAAAUUAUUAAUGUAGAAGUAAUAUAGCAAUGUCGUAAUUGAUGAUACGACGAUAAUUAAGAUGUUAUAUCACUUCUAUAUUAAUAAUUCAUCAAUAUUUAGUCAAAAAAUUUAAAUUGUGUGAUUUGAUUGUAAUAAUUCAAAAAGAAAUUACAAUGAAUUAAAGUUUUGAGGACUAAAGUGUUGCAAGCCUCAUAGUUUGAGGAUCAAAAGUGUAAUUUAUCUGAUAAAAUUGCAUAAAUUGCACUAUUAGUCCUCAAACUUUUAGCUACAUUUCAUUUUGGACCUCAAACUUUUGUUUUCCAUAUUAGAAUAUCCCUAAACUCUUUAAAGAGUUUUAUUUUAGUUCCUACACUUAUUACUAUUUAGAAUAAACUAAUUUAUUACUCUCGGUGCAUCUAUAUAUUCAAUGCAUCUGUGUAUAUUCGGUGAUAACUUAUUCAGUAUAAUAUUAUCACCCAUGAUUUGGUACAAUAAUAUAUUUCUUAGUAAAGUGAUUUAACUUAUUUCGAAAAAAAAAAUGAUAAAACUGAAUAUGCUAUUUUGUUUUAGACAUUUGACGUAAUCUAUUCUGAUAUCCAAAUACUGAAACCUGAAAAAGUUUAGAGACGUAUUUACUAAAGUUUAAACGUUAGGGGGAUGUUUGUAUAUUUUCCCCUCACUGUUGCAUAGAAUUCCUUGUCCUGUACCUGCUAAACGGACAGACUGCACACAUCAUAGGAACUAAUAAUGUUCUCAGGCUGCAGGCAAAACAACAACUGCUAACUCUCAAACCUCCUGCUAUAACACCAAACUCCACUCUCUCUCUCUCUCUCUCCUUUACUUGCAGAAGAAGCAAAAUAAAAAGCUUUACAAACAACCAACACAACUCUCUCUCUCUCUCUCUCUCUCUCUCUCUCUCUUUUCAAGCUCUGGGUCUUUUGCUCUUAUGAUUUGUGUUUGUGAGUGUACUACUGAUGGAUACAUUGAAUCUCCAUAUAUAUAUAUAUAUAUAUACUCCUAUUGUUACUCUCUAGUUUUAUAUUUUAUAUGAUCCUUCUAUUAAGGUAUAAUAUUGUAUAUGAGAAGCUAUUCUUAUCAGAGUUUCUGCCUUUCGUCCGUAAAAUUUGAGAUUUGAUUUAUGCUUCAGCAAAACUCUAGAUUUUCUUAGAUUGCCGGAUGCUUUAGUAUAGAAACCAGACAGCUGAAAACAAAACCACAAGUAGGGCCAAACAGGAACAUGGAGGUAUGCAUGCAUGUCACAAGGUGCGCCUUUUCCUUUCCCAUGUUUGAUCAACCCUUCAAUUAUUGUACCCUCCAGAGUUUGGCGAACUUAACAUAGUUUCUGAGGAAUAUCACAAUCCAGCAAAAUGAAAAGUAGUUUGAGACAUGAGAAACCGUCAAUCCGCAAAACAGGAAGAGAAGCUCCAGGGAGUGAAUUUGAUCUUGAUCGCCGCGGUUCAAAGGAAACAAUCAAUGAUCAAGGAGUUUCGAGCGCUGCGGCGGCGAAUCCUAUGGCUUUCGAUCCCCGUAAGAUGAAGAGGAACUCCGCGAUCGAUGUCCGGCGCGAGUUGUGUGAAAAGAUCCAUGCCAAGAUGCAGUUUCUUGAAGAGGACACAAGGCUCAUGAAGGAGGCUAUUUUGGAUUGUGUGAAGGAUAGGGACAUCCUCAUGAGUGAGGUAUCUCACAAGCUUCACAUGAUAAGAGAGCAUCUAAGUAUAAUAAGCUCAGAGUGUAGGCUUGAUUGUCCUCCUAGGGUUUGCUCAUUUGAUCCACUCAAGGUAGUACCUGAUCUUUUAAGGAAGUUUCCUAUUUAUAUAUAUUUUGUCAUUUUAUUCUAGAUAAAUUUGCUUAAUUAUAUGCAUUUCAAGUAAUGUUAGUUUGUUAUGACAGCAUAUGCAUAUUUUUUGCAGACUCAGUGUGCAGAAAAUUUGUGCAUACGGCUGAUCUGACCGUCUAUCUAAAAUAUGAGAGUCAUCUCCGCUAUUGAUGAUGAUCUAAUAAACAACCGACAAAAUAGUUUUAAAAUGACUUCUGCCUUAAUAUGUAUGGUUAAAUCAAGCGAUGCGUAGGAAUUUCUUGCACAUUAGAUCUGCAGAGGAUGUGAACCCUUAAAAAAAAAAAAAAAAUCUAAGCUAAAGUGUUAUAUUUUCCAUUAACUACCACUUUUCUCUUUUUUUUUUCCCUAUAUAUUGAGCUUAUUUAGAAGAGUCUUUUGAUUCUUCUAUCAGUUUUUACCUGUCACAAUUAAGAUCAUUCACAUAACAGCAUCUGGAUUUUUUUUUUUUUUUUUUUUUUUGUUUCUAUCUCCUUCCUCUCUCUUUGAAAGUUUUCAAAUUUUGUUUUUUCUUUUUUCUAAUUCAAGCAUAAAUCCAUCCAUACAUUUUCCUAUUUCAAAAUAUUCACCACUAUUUGAAGCACCCUAUACUGAAUCUUAUGCACAAUUUUUUUGUUGUGUGCACUUAACACAAGUUCCCUUCCACAUGCUAUAUAUAUACUUAUCAUCUUUGCAGUUGCUUCAUUAACUGUUUUGAUAUUAGUACCAUGCAGGAUGAUAGAAAAGAUAUUGGAUUACUGGGAGUGCUACACCAAGAUCUAACUCCAACACUCGUCGCGCGACGAGCGAAGAAAAUCAACGUCGACGCUUUCGACAACUAGCCUGAGCUGUUUAAACAUGUAAGUUAGUUCACUGAAAAAUAGGGGACUCUGAUCAGAACAUGGAACUUCAUUUGUAAAGCUAGCAUACAAUUCAAUGGAUUGGUAUUUAGUAUUCCAAACUUAUCAGAUAGUUUACAGCAUUUUUUUUUUAAUGCUAUUAUUCUGUAUAAAAAUUGACAUUGUAUUUGUAAAAUUGAUUUUUGAAUAACUUUGGAAUUCAUAUUUUGUUUUGUAGCCUUACAUAGCACAAAAUAGUAAAAGGAAUUUGAUUAUUCCGCACCCUACAACGGAUAUACGAUUUUGACAAAUAUAUUAGAGUUCUCAUAAUAAAAUAUGUGGGAACCCCAGUUGUAUUGUGCCAAUUUCGCCAAUUUCAAUAAGAAAAGUAAAGCACUCUCAGAAAGAUUAUAAAUUAAAAAAAUAAUGGCCUUUAAAAAGAUAUCAUCCUAUAAUCAAACACGCAAAAUGUACUGAAUUGACAAAUAAUCCUUAUGAGAUACGCUGAGACCACUAUUUUUCUAAUGAUUUUAUCGUUGCAACUUACAUAUUUUUUAACGUAUGAGACCUGUUUGGUGAAGCGCGCUAGUGCUGCACCACAUUCACUACUGCAAAAAAGCUCUAAUUUAAAGUUUUUACUGCAACAUGCUCUGCACUCUGUCUGCACCACAAACUGAUUCUACAUUAUCACAGUUUGUUAACUUCUACAUUCAACCAAAUGCUUCACCUGAAACCCCCCAACCAAGCAAAAAACCAAACUUUUUGUACCAAUAUUUUCUCCUUUUUCUUUUUUUUUUUGCUCCUCACAAAAAAGUCACAGUAAGUAAAUAAGAAGCCCAUCCACACUCAAAAAUAUAAUAAUUUUUUUGUUUUACUGUCGCAUCAUAUGCUAAGACAAGCUCUGGAACAAUAAAACUCAAACAGUAAACUUUCCUCGGGCGAGGCAGAUGCAUAUCCAGUGGAUCCGAAAAAUCAGCAAAUUACAAACAAAGUUCCAAGAAAAUUAAAAACACUUUUUGAGUCCUCAAAAUGGCUAACUCUCAAUCAAAAGAUACGGAAAAGUGCAACUAUGAUUCACUCAGGAUCUUGUUUCACCAUUCUGCUUACCACAAGAUAUUGGUAAUAUCCCAUAAUUCUUAACAAACAAACCAUAAAUAGAUCAACUUGGCAGUUUUGGUAUCCAAUGCGGCGACAAAUGAAUGUGAAAUAUCAAACUCGUAGAAAGACCUCUCGAAACAGAGUCCCUGCCUUGUGAAAUGCUUAUAGGAAAAAAAAAAAGACAAUUUAGCCUCUUCGAGGGCUUAAUUUAAGGUACAACAAAAGGAACCCUAAUCUGGUUCGCGGAGAUUGCAUUGAGCAUUUGAGAAGCAACUUUAGUCACAAAGGCAAAAUCUGAUGUACCAACAAGAAAACAAUUAGGACUGCUGAUUUAAAUUAUGUCUUUAUGCAUGCUUGACGAUGUGUGAAAUAUUUUACAACGCAGAUUCCAAGGGCGCUUUCCGAAGUUCAAGUUACACUGAAAUCCUACACACGGUGGUGCGCAACAUGAACAACGCCACCUAUAAUUUUGUCAUAUCAAAAUUCCUAUCUGCCCGCUAAGAAGCUGCACCUGGGUCGUUGAUAACACCCAAGAAGUCAUCCUUUAUCGUCCCAAUGCAGAACUGCACAUAUAGAAAAAGAAAAAACAAAAAAAAAAGAAGAUACAAUUAUGUAUGCAUAAUCUAGAAAUACAUUAAUAAUCACACCAUUAAUUAUCUUUAUUUUCAUAGUAUGCCAGUCUUAAUGAAGGUAACAUUAUGCACCAAACAUCAAGUAGCUCAUAAGUACUUCGCCAAGUCAUAGGAAGCAGAAAAAUGAACUAUCAGAAUCUUGGAAGCAAAUCUGUCUAUCCGAUAAUCAAAUAUCAAAAUAUAAAGAGCAAAACACUACAGACCAUAGUUUCAAAAUAAUCAAGAAAAACUCGCUAUGGAAUUGCACAUUAUUCUAAUAACUCGGCCAUAAAUCUUUCUUUCAAAUGAAUCUAAUUAAGCCGACUCCGCACAGGUGCUUUAGCAUCAACAUGGAACUUCCAUUAAGAUUACUUGAAAAUUAUGAAAUUGUCAGCAUCGUUUUAUGUACAGAAGUAGCAUUUUAAUGGAGAUCUCCGAGACCAAGCAAUAGAUAUAAAAAUAUUGAACGUGCUUUGAGGUUACAAACUUGCAUAAACUCGUAAAUAGAGUUCUUCCGGCAUGAACAUUAGCCAUGAAACUUGACUAAAAGGAACAGGAGACGUACAAUCUCUGUGGCAUCAACACGAGUCCCAAUAAUCUUUAGCCGGACCUCACUAUCCUUUUGUAUUUUCACCUACAAACCAUCAAUACAAAGAGGUUAGCAAAAAAGAAAAGCAUGCUGGCACAUUUUAUUCGCAGCCUGAAAAAAGAGCAAAGAUCCAUUCUAAAAGAAAAGUAGUUAAGGUAAAGAAAUUUGUUAUUAUUGAAUCUUGACUAAAUUAAUGCAUGCAUUAUCAAUUCAUACAUCUGCAUACAUGCAUCUUAAACUUCUAAAUCCACAUUAUGUCAGAACUUCAACUACCCAAUGUAUCAUUAAUGUUACAGAAUGUUGCAAAUGUUAAAUAUGCUCUUCAAAAUUGUAAAAUAUUGCUUGCGUUUACUUACAGAUAAUUAUCAAGAAAUAAGUGUAAAGCCCUCUUCUUUAACCUACCUUUCUCCCGUAUUUUCUUUUCUUGAUCACUCAACCAAUUCUAAGCAAAUGAAAAGAGGUAUCUAAUUUUUUCCAACUAAGAUCCUCCCUUUCAUGUUGGACAUGGUGACUCUCAGGCAUGCACCCAAUCAACACACCCAUACCCAAAAGGAAAAAAGUUCUCUAUCCAGGUAGUGGUGGCCUUGGGUAGAUUUAGUGAGCGGCAGAACUUAGGCCCAUUUAUUCCAAAACUCGCAGUGGCAUGAAGUUCUCUACCCUGACCCAGUAUUAUGCCUCUCAAAUCACUCCAAACCAGGCCGAUUCUGUAGCAUGAGUAUUGUCAUCCUUCAUUCAGUUUUGUGACAGCCAAUCCUGCCACAAUCUACACGUUCUGAACAAUAAAGUACUCAACAAUCAUAUCUACAUAUUACAAUAAAAACCUCUGUUGGGUUAGAUUGUAAGCAAUAGGGCAUCAACAAUCAUCAAAAUAUGCAUAGCAAGGUCAAAUACAAAUUGUCUUGUUUCUUCUUCUAAUCAUUCAGUGAACAAUUAGUCUAUUACCAUAUACCACUGAAAGUAUACUUUCGAUUCGUCUCAAAAUAGUCACAGCCACCAGUAGAACUCAUUAAGAAAUAAUGAACAGAGUGAACUAUAAUCCAUGCCUUCUCACUCAGUUAAAAAGAUUGAAAGCCAUAAUUCAGCCAACAUGCUAGAACUCAUAUUUCAGUCUGAUUCCUGUUUUUAGUGUUUCACUUGUAACUGUGAACAUAUAAGAAAUGUAGGAAAAGGAACAAAGCAUACCGAUCCAUCAGAUGUUGUAUAGUUUGGCAUAUCUCCAGACUGGAACUCCAUGUCAUCAGGGAUCAACUGAAAAAAAAGAAAAACAAAGAAACAAAAAACAGACAGCAACAAAGAAGGUAUCAGCAACAAAGAGGGAAAAAGAGACAUUAAAUUCCAUCAUAUCAGACAAGAGCCUACUACAACUUGAUCUACAGGGGUUUCUCGACUUGUACCAUGCCAAUCUUAAUUCCAUACCUUUCAAGUUAAAACCCAUGAGGCUACAAACUAAAUUUAUGUGUUUUCUCAACUAUUUUGUACAGAAAAAUUGUAUAUAUAUAUGCUAUUCUGAAAGAGACCCUUACAUUCACUUUUUUUCUGAUUGAGCACCACCUUUUGAUAUGUUUAAUUUCAGUGGUUGAAGCCCCAUCAUGAUCUUUUGAUUUAUAUAACUUUAGUCAAUCAAAUUGGGACAUUUUGAUAAUCUAAAGUUAUCUAACAAUGAUUCUGCUAAACUAAAUGACUUUAACCACUGUUUAGUAAAUGAAACUGCAGAUUUCACUAACAAUUAACGGCUAAUAGCUACAGCUGACGCUAAAUUUUAAAAAUUCCCACUUUAACAAACUAGGGCAACUUGAAUCCAGAAAAUAAAGUCGUCAAUUUCAAACCAGCCUAUAGUUUUAGGUGUUUCAUCACAUUUUCACUUUUUUUUUUCCUUUGUGUGUGUGUAUUCUACCAUGCACAUACCUAAACCACUCAAACAAAUUACCAAUUACAAGAAAACAACAGAAACAAAAAUUCUUACAUGAUUCGAAACGAAAAUCUGCACCGGCCCUGCCUCUGCGAAGAAACCCAUCUGCGGAAACAUUAAAACAAAAAAACGAAUAAAUAAAUAAAUAAAUUCAUCAAUCCAUCCAUCCACCACGCCUUAAAAUCCCGAAAGAAACCCUAAAUGGAGAUAUCGAGAUCGAGAUCGAGAUCGAGAUCGAGAGACCUUGUUGACCAUGGUGACCACGGCCUCGAGGAUCUCGCCCUUGAAGGGGCGGAACACGACGCACUGGUACUUGACGGGGAAGGUGACGAAGCCGGUGCCCUCCCUGAUGAGCCCCUUCCCGAUCUCCUCCACCCCGGUGAUCGCCACCACGAACCCAUGCCUCCCACUAAAACCGAAGCAAAGAAGAGAUCGCCGAAGGGGGUUUAGGGUUUAGGGCAUCCUCUGUAAGAGUUAGGGUUAGGGUUAGGGUUAGGGUUAGGGUUAGGGUUUUACCUGCAGGUGCCCUCGACGUCCUUCAUGAGCUUGGAGACGAGCUUGUCGCGGAGGUGGGGCCCGAAGUGCCGCGGGUGCAGCUGCAUGUUCCGCUCCAACACGAUGUGGAAGAACAUCUCCUCUCUCUCUCUCUCUACUUUCUCUCUCCUCUCUCUCUUAUUACUAUUUAUAUAGGUAGGAAUAAUUUCAUAUGCAUCCCUACGGAGUUUUAAAAUUGCUGAUUUAUCCUUGCAAAAUUUUAAUUAGAGCAAUACUUUACGUGGCGUGGCGGGCAAUUCAACUCGAUGUUCGCGAGUCUGCUCAUGUUCGAUUCGAAAUAAAUUCGAGAUCGUUCGAUUCGUUUAAUAUUUCACCUCGAAAUUUUAAUGAGCAAAACACGAGAUGAGAUAAGAUCGCUGAUGAUCGGUUUGAUAUAGUUUCGAGUAUAUAUAUAUUAUAAAUUUUUUCUAUUUAGAUUUUAAACCAAUUCAUAUGUGAAAAGAAUUAUAUUUUGUGCAAUUUUUUAUAGAGUAAAAUUCUAAUUUUUAAAUUUACUUGCAGCUUUUCAUCUAGUAGUAGGGCUAUUAUUUUAACUUGCUAUCAAAGAGCUGAAUUUUUCACCUCGAUAUUUUAACUACUCUGCUUGCGCUAGGCUCGUGUAAUAAACAAGCAAACGUGGGCUCACUUGUAGGAGUUUUGAGCUACUAAACCUACAAAAUUUUUAAAUAUAAAAAUAAGUAUUUAAAAUUUAUAUUUAUAAAAAUAGUUUGAUAACUUUAAAAAUGGUAAAUGAUUCACCGCUUUUACUCUAAUUUGUAUAUUUUCUACCUCCAAACUUUAAAAGAUGUAUAGUAUUAAAUAUUAAAAAUAGUUUCAAUUUUUUGAAAAAAGCGGUGAAUGAUUUACCGCAUUUCGAAAGUAGUAAAUGAUUCACCGUAUAAAUCUAAUUUUGUAAAUAAAUUUUCAGAUUACUAUUUUUAUAAUUAUAGUAUUUUCUUAGUCUAUUAAUAAAAAAAAUUUCUCUCAUGUUCAGCUUGUUUGAUCCAGUAGAUUCCAGUCAUGCUCGAUAUCAGCGUUUUAAAAUUUUUUAGAAAACCUUGACGAUACAGUACUUGACUAAUUGAAUCGAUGCCGAAAAUGUCAAAUCCUCUGAAAGAGAAAGUAGGCAUUGCGUAUAGGAUCGAAAUAGCCGCAGCCAUGGAGAACGGUAGUGAGUGUGGUGGAAAUGGACUUAAUACCAUACGUGGGCAUAUAGGAGAGGAGGUUAGGCACUAAAGUAACGAAAGGAUAAAGAUUAGGGACUAACGGUGCAAUUAAUUCUCAACGCUAAGGAUCUGAUUGCAAAAAAGUAAAGAGUUGGGGAUGAAAACGAAAAAGUUAGCACAGGAACUAAACUGCACGAAACGUAUAGUAUAGGGACCAUAAAUACAUUUUACCUUAUUUCUUCUGUUCUUGUUCUCUAUAUAUAUAUAAUAUAAACCCUCGCGACCUCGUCGUUCUCUCUCUCUCUCUCGCUCGGCCCCGAAAACGAAACCCUAAUCGAGGUAGGGGACGCGAAUCCCUGCGAUUUCUCCUCUAAUCCCUUCUCAGUUAUUAUCCUUAUUAAACCCUAAUCGGUUGGAUCGUUGUGGUUGUUGCAUAAACCCUAGAUUUCGAGCCCUUGAUUCAUGGAUCCGCAGCAACCCGAACCUGUGAGCUAUAUUUGCGGAGGUAUAUGUCUCUUUCCUUGUGAUUUAUCUUUUGUACUGAUCAUAAUGUAUUGAGACGCCCCCUUAACUUUAUUUUCUUUUGAUUGAUACCUCCUUGCUUUUUUUUUUUUUAUUUGAGUUAUUCUACUUGGUUAAAUUGGGGAUUUUGUGAAUUUAAUAGUAGUUGUUGACUGAUACAGUUUUGUUUGCUAAAAACCGAUCAGUGCCAUCAAAUUUUACGGAAUCGCUGUUUGAUUUAGUGAAAUUCUCAAAGCAUUUGGCUAAAAGCACACAAAUAAAAUAAAAUUGGAAGUUAGAGGGGGUGUUGAUAAAAAAAAAAGAUUGACGGAGACAAAAUGGCUAGUAGUUGAUGGGGUCUAAAUACAUUUUCACCAAAUAAGUUUAUAUUAGUGCCCAAUUUCUAUGAUAAAAUGAUUGAACUGGAUUGAUGACUAGAUUGUGGGGCGGAGAACACGCUGAAGCCCGGCGAUGUGAUUCAGUGCAGAGAGUGUGGAUACCGCAUCCUUUACAAGAAACGCACCCGCAGAAGUAUGCGUACAUUGAAUUUCUUUUUUUUUUUUGCUUGUUGAAGUAUGGUGGUAUUUUGUUUGUUCCUGUUAUUUUGAUUCAGUUCUUUGGUUGGAUGUUGCUGCUGAUGAUGUGACAUGUCUCAAUUUCAAGCAUGCUUCUUGCUCUCUAUUAAACAUCUAGGAAAGUUUCGAGCCUCAUGCAUAAUUGCACAAGUCCUCGAGGAUUGGCUCAUCUUGCUUCGAGUUUCUGGCUUAGACUAUCAUUCCAUUAAAAGGAAAUAUUGUGUGAAAAGCAUAAGACGUCACCUAAUUGGACGAGCUGUGUUCAUGGGGCAAUUUUUUUUUUCCUUUUUUUUUUUACGAAGAAGCAUAAAAGAAAUUUGUCUACAUCACAGUGCAUAUGUAAGUACUAUUAUUUCAAGGAAAUUACUCAUAGGUUCAAUCUUUGAUGCAAACCGAGAGGUUGCCAAAAUUGAAUUUUCAAGUUUGCUUUUGUUUAAAGGUAUUUCUUGAAAUAAACUAGCUUCAAUUUAUCGAUUCCGGCGAACUUUACUAUAAUUAAAGCAAGGAAGCAAAAAUUUCAGCAAGAUGAAAAAUUAAAAUCGAAUUGAAGCAAAACUAAGAUAAUGAUAAACCUUCGAUAUAUGAGAUAAUAACAACCAACUGAAAAUAUAUAUAAUAGUUUCAAAAGGUAAAUUCGGCUUUAUCGGACUUAAAGCUUUAGGUUUGGUUGUUUGGCAAAUAUGGUUGAUAAUGGUGAAAGGCUAGAUUAAAAGGGGAUAAUAGGAUGUCAUGAGAUGAGAGAUACAAAAAGUGCACCGUUCACACGAUUGCGGGGGAUCCACGAUCGACGAGGAGGGCGGUACACCACGGGUAGAACUUCGGCAACGGGGAAGAAGAAGAUGAGGUAGUGACUUGGAAGAAGAGGAGAGGUAGAAGUAGAAGCCGAUCUUGUCAUGAGGAAGAAGUGACAACGAUCAAGUUGAGGAAGAAGACGAUCUCGGCGCGAGGAAGAAGCAUCGAUGAUCUCACCGGGAAGUAGAACACCAAGGAUAAAGAGUAAGAGUAGAAUUUUCUAUUCAUCCAAAUAUAUCUCUCAAGGCUUCAAGAACCAUAUAUUUAUAGUGUUGAGAGCCUUCUGAUAAUAAAUUAUUGUCUUUUCGUUUUCAACAUAACACGGUCACCCAAGAGUCAUGAUGCAUAGAAAACGAAGCAAUUUUGAAAAUUUCAAAGGUCUUUUUUUUAUUUUUUGGGGAAUCCCAAAGGUCUUUUUGGUAUUGUUUUUUUGUUUAUGGGAGAAAAGGGUUUGGGUUAGCCAAAUCAACUAAAACUAAAUGAUUUAAGUCCGAAUCAAACACAAACCUACAAAAUAAAAGAAAAUUGCAUUCGAAAAUAAAACGAGAUUUAUGCUGCAUCAAUCUUUGAUGACCAGUCCGAUGAUCAAGCAUUAUGUUUUGCUAUGUAUUUUCCUAUAUGUUUAUUUCAUGUAUUACGGUACUUAUAAUAUCAAGGAAUUAGCGAGGGCGAACUUGGUCCUCUCCCCAAGAAUCCUAGGUGAGUUGAAUCCUAGAAGAGUUGCGGCCUCAAACUAGUGAUUGCAUACUAUACAUGUUAGAUUUAUCCAACUGCUCAUUCUAUUCCGCACCAUACUCUUGACAGCUCAUCUUUUAUUCUUGUCGAGUCUUUAGAGGUGUGUUUUUGUCCCCUUUUUUUUUCCUAUUCCUUUGAAGUUUGGACUGAUGCAAUUGUUUUUCUUGGGCCUAGAUGUAGAAAGACAUAAACACUGAAAUCACGUUGUUUUCAUUUUUGUCCUUCUAUGGUAGCCGUCCCCAUUUAAUGAGUGUUUGGUCGGAAGUGAAUGUUUGGACGCCGGAUGUUUAAGUUCUUCAUUCUUAUCAUAGAAUCACGACUCUGUGUACAACAUAUUGUGACGCUGUUUAGUAUUAGGUUCUGAUACUUUUGAGUUGAAUGGUGGCCUGUUUGGGCAAUUCAGUCUUCUUUGAUAUAGGAGCAAAAUGGAUAUUUGAUUGAGCCACAAUAUAUUCUGUUAGGGCAACAGGAUAUGCUUUAAUCAUUUCAAAAUGGACUGUAGUCCAGACCAGUAUUUUGAGCCCAUCCAAAGGGGUAUUAAUGCAAACUACUGAUACUGUGAUAUCAUAAUGUCUUAAUACUUUGUUUUGAAAUUGCUUCGUUAUCACAAAGUAAUACAUGCCGUGAGCCCGUGCUGAUUUUCAUCUAUUUUAGAUUUUAUUUCUUUAUAUUCAUCUGCCUCGCCUGUUUUAAUCCGUUAACACUCCCUUGGUCUCCUACUAACUUCUGUCAUCUUUGUUCCAGUUGUUCAAUACGAAGCACGCUGAGGAUGAAUGCAGAUUAAUUUCGCCGGUGAGAAACGCUAUGUAUGUUUUGUCGAACUUGUGAUCUAUAACGUAAUAUUGGACGUUUAUCAGUCAGAUCAAAUUCUUUUCUUGCAUUGUUUACAUGGUGUAGCCGUGGUUGCAUGAUUGUUCUGUGAUGUGUUUGCGACUUACACUCCGAGGGAGUUCGGUUUGCUAUCUGUUGCUGAAUCUAGAUAUAAACAUGGCAUCGCACUAAUAUAAAUCUAGAAUUAUUUCAUGCUGUAGCAUAUAUCUGAGGAUGAUCGAGCUUUACCUCAAAUAGUGUAGUCUUUGAGGUCUAGAUCGUAAUUUACUGCAAGGCCCUUGGCAUUUAGGGGGGUGGUAAUUAAUAGAGCAUGCAGGACAGUUGAGGUAUGAGCUGUUGAAUAGUACUGAAUGUUGUGCUGAGAUUCGCAUGGAUGCUAUUCAAUGAAUCAUAGAGUCGUACUCCUGUUGUCCUAACCAAAUUCUUUUCCACAUUUAUGUGGUUUCAUUAGAUGGGAGUGUUGAUAUGGGCAGUCACUUUGCAAAAUUAUCGUCACUCUUUCUCGGUAGUGUACUUGAAAAAAUCUUAACCUCUAUUGUUUGAUGCGAUUGUGAUAUGAGUUGCAGGUAUGACGGCGUCGGCAUACACCAAAACUACACUUGAAAUUUGUAUGUUUGUUCUACCCAACUUUUGCUUCCUCUCUCAUUUUUCGCUUUUCGAGUGAAAGCUCGCAGGCAAAUUUUAUUAAACUAGAGAGGUUUAGUUGUACAAGGAUGUAGGCAAUGCCAGUGUGUAGAGUUAACACUGUCUCCAAAACUCAAAUAGCUGUGUGCUGAACCAUUGAAGAGAGAGUGCAAAGUUACAGACCACUUCAAACUAAGUAUCUUUAGAUUCAAAACAGAGAACCUGUGAGAUUAAUGCAUGAAUAAAUAUGUAAGUGCUAUGUUAGAGUGACACCACCAAAGUUCUUUACAAUUACUGGAGCAUCCUCUUGCAACAAAAUUGACUUUCCCUAGUAUCAAAAGAAAAAAGAAAAAAAAAAAAAAAGAGGGAGAAGCUUGAGUAUCAUUAAAUUGGUAAAAGUGUAUGAAAUUGGCAUCAACCAUCAUCUAUUUUGACCUCAUUCUUUAAUCUUUAAAAGUUUUAAUUUUACUAUCUAAUCUUUUAAUUUUUUUAAAAAAAUGUGAGCCUGUUAAUGAUUUUUUAUGGCUUUAAUUGAUAUAUAUUAUAUAUGAUUUAUGUAAUUAUAAAUUUAUUGAAAUAAUUAGUUAGCUUAUAUUUAUGUUAGAAGAGUUAUCAAAUAAAUUAAAUCAAAUAAAUAGAAGAAUCGUCAAAUAAAUUAAAUCAAUUAAGUAGAAACUUUGGAUAUUAAAAUCAAACAUUUUAAAAGAUUGGAUAGUCGGAGUCCGGUUAUAAUACUAUCUAUAACAUCAAGCAUUUGGCACUACCAAGUUCUGCGGUUAGAUCUACCCUUUUAAACAAAUUAUGUCCGUUAGAUCAUACUAUCAAUCAACUACUCACUCAGCCCUAAGGAAUCACUAUCAUUCUAACCGCACAUCCCUUCAUUCAAGGGCCGAAAAUCUAAUAGCACCACUGACUUAGUUCUUUUAAUAAUAUUUUAGCCUAGUUCAAAUAGUCGAAGCAAAAUGAUCUAUAGUUUAGAUAAGUUCUGUACAUUUUUACCCACUGAAUAUCGCAAUUGUAAAAUUGAGUAGCAUAGUUGCCUUCUCUAGGGUAUCUAAUCUUUUAAUCCAUAGCAUUAUGGAGGUUCAAAUCUUUACCUUCAGUCUUCAGAUCAGAUUCCAAUUCCAGCGUCCCAUGAUGAUCAGAUUGGGUUACUUUUUGUGUAGUUGAUACAUUUUUUAGAGGCUGUUUGGUUAUAUAUAUCCACAACUUUACUAUAGUUAUAAUUAUUUAUAAAUUUAAAUACGGUAUUUGGUUUGAUAUAUUUGAAUCUAACUAUUGUUAGAGCUGCACGGGAAGGUUUAACUGCAUUAUGUUUAAAUUGACCGCAAUUCUAACUGUAGUUAAACGAAAAAUAAUUCUAUCUUUCUAAUCACAUUUUACAUAGAAAAUAAUACUUUUUCUGCAUGAGAGGUAACCUCAGAGUGAUGAAACUUAUAAAUGCAAAAUUUUCAAAUGCAUGCAGCCAAAUAAAUUAUUUAUGAAUGCAGCACUUUCUGCUACAUUUAAUCAAACAAAAUGCAUAUAGUUAAAUGUUGUUGCUGUAUUUUUUUUUUUUUUUUUACUUGGUAAAAAUGUACAAAACUUACUUGAAUUAUGAAUCAUUUUGAUUUGACUAUCUAAUCUUUUCAAACUUUUGAUUUUAUUAUUCAAGCUUUUAAUUUGUUUGAUUUGAGUUAGUCGACGACAUUUGACUUUAAAAUUUAAGAUACUUGAUUAUUUUAAUGAAUUUGUAAUUGCGACAAUUACAUAAAAUAUGCUAACUAAAUCUGUCAAAAUAAAUAAUGCAAUUCAAAUUUGAAACUCAAAGUGUCAUCGACUGACUCAAAUCAAACCGACUGAAAGGUUAGUAAAAUCAAAAUUUUGAAAGCUUAGAUAGUGAACUAAAACUGGUUCAUAGUUUAGAUAAGUUCUGUACUUGUUUACCUUUUAACUAUAUGCGUAUCCAGUUACACCAUGUUACGAUUAUAUCUAACCACGGCACCUCAAAGGGGGCUUUCUUGUUAGAAGUAGGGAUGCAAAUGGAUCCCGGUUAGUGGAGCUCCCAUUUCGAUCCGCACCGAAUGGGGCAGUAAGUGGGAAUAAAAAAUAUUAAAAAAUGUAAGCCGUCCAGAUUCGUUCUGAUCCGUCAAGUAAAUGGAAUGAGAGACAGAAGAAACCACCACCCUCCCUUUUUUUUGCAAUCAGAUUCAUAACCUCUAGUAUUAAUUUCACAAUGGUCCCUAACCUUGACCUAUUUUUUUCACUUUGGUCACUAAACCAUUCACCUAUAAGCAUGCUCAUUGCAUCAACCCUAAUCUCACCAAAAGCCCAAUGUAACAUUCUCCGCGACUGCAACCACCUUGAGCGCAGCUACAACCACCUCGAUCUUGCACAUGAUGCCUACUGCCUCAUUCGCAACAUCAAAUUAGACGUGCCACCGAGCUCUUUCGAAAACUUCGAAAAAGUCGGCGCCAAAAUCAACCGAAAAGCUACCGAUGAUAACCGUGAUCUCCACGCUAUCACGACUUCAGCGUUUUUGUUCACAAAGUCCGUACGGUGCCCGCAUUCCUGCUCGAAGAUGGACAAGCCUAACUCUUUGUUGUUAGCCUGGACCUCAGCCUCGUUCUCUUUUUUUUUUUUUUGCGUACUCAGUCAUAGAACGCGGAGAUUCAGGCUAGCAAUAAGGAGUUAUGCUUGUCCUUCUUCGAACAGAAAGAUAGGCAUCGCACGGGUUUUGCAAAUAAAAAUGCUAAGUCGGUGACAAAGAGCUCACUUUCUCAAAAACAGGCCCUCUGCCAACAUCAAUAAAAAUUGAAUAGUUGGGACCUAAUUGAAUCAGGAUAUAGUGGUCACACUACGAGAGAGAGAGAGAGAGAGAGAGAGAGAGAGAGAGAGAGAGAGAGAGGAGGAGAAAUGUAGACCAAGAAGUAAUCCUUCUCCUAAUAACAAUAUCUGUAGGAAGAAUCCCUACUCCUUAUCAAAGUUGAUGAUUCCGAGGAGAAUAAAAUCGCACUUUUGGCCAUCUUUCCGAAUAAGGUAAAAUUACAUUUUUGGUCAGCAAACUAUCGAGUGCGUCAUAUUUGUCCUUAAACUUAUUUGUAAUUACUGACUCAAAUUUUUAAAAUUGUUGCAAACAAGUCCUCUGUCUUAAUUUAAUUGAGUGAAUGAUAAUGUACCAUUGAUGUGUGGCUGCCACGUCAUCAACAAAAAACUGCCAUAUUUCUAUCCUAUUUGCCAUGCGUCACCAUUCACCCAACUUAAUUGUACCGCAAGAUUUUAUUGCAAUAAUUUAAGAUUUUAUUGCAAUAAUUUAAAAAGUUUGAGCUUAAAAUUACAAUAAAUAAAAGUUCGAGAACCAAUACACAACUUAAUUGUACCGUAAGGCUUUAUUGUAACAAUUUAGAAAGUUUGAACUUAAAAUUACAAUAAAUAAAAAUUUGAGAACCAAAAUACUCCGUGCCUCAUUGUUUGAGAACCAAAAGCAUAAUUUAAGCCUUCAAAAUAAUCUUAUCAAAAUUGUUUGAGUUCUCGUGAAGUCUUAAAGUCAAUAAAUAGAGUCCUAACAAUCACAUAAAUCAGUUUCUUAAUACAUUUGUCAGAACAGGAGAGUACCAAGUACUUUUUCAUCCUCAAAGCUCAAACUUGAAAAAUCUGUGUAAUGGAGAAUUUGGUGCCAAUAAAGUAUCAACAGUCAAGUGUCAGCACUGAAACAGGUAGCAGAUUUAUGCUUGCUGAUAAUGUAAGACAUGGUAGAGAGACUGGAAACUAAAAAGCCACUUGAAUUACACAACACAACAAAAUGUCCACAGCAAUAUGAUAUUCCAAGAGUUAAAAGAACACAAAAUAAGGGAAAUCUUAAGAGGUGCAUUCACAAUAAGUCAUUUUCCUAUUUCCCCUACUGUAACCCCUAACCACACACUACAACCCCAACCCCCCCCCCUAAAGACUAUUCCUCCAACCAACAAACUCCCCCCAUACUAAAACACAAAGCUGUAAGGAACCCUAAAAUUUAAGCAACCAACAUUCUUUCCCCCCCCCCCUUUUUUCAGGUCAUUUCCUCUUCUUAGAGGGUGGCUGGGGCAGCUCCUCAUCUUCUUCGUCGUCCUCAUCCUCCUCGUCCUCGUCCUCACCCUCCUCAUCAUCGUCAUCGUCGUCGUCAUCGUCGUCUUCUUCGUCGUCGUCGUCGUCGCUCCCCCCUUCGCCGUUGGCCUCAGGGUCAUCGUCGUCUUCACCUCCUUCAUUCUCGUUCCCCUCGUCACCCGAUUGCUCAUCCUCGCCCCCAUCAUCGUCCUGAUCCUCCCCAUCAUCGUCUUCCUCUUCAUCCUCGUCGUCGUCGUCGUCCGACUCGCCGUCGUCCUUGUUCUCGGGAACGGUUUCGCUUUUGCUUUUGCCUAGUAUCCUUCUAGAACAAUCAUGGUUUGAUUGUGAGAAUUGAACAAAUAUAAAAACUAACAUACAGCGUUUGGUUGUGAGACAGAUGAGAGAUAUGGCAAAAGAAAAGAGCGAGAGAGAAAAGGAAUUUACCUGUAAAUUACUUGUGGCUCUUCCGGACAAGGAACGACCUCACUCGGCAACGAUCCCAUCUGAAAGAAGUUGCAUAGUCGUGAGCAACUAAACAGUAAAAUAAACCGGAGGAAAAAUUAGCAAACUAUUGAUGACUAUAAUGCAAGAACUCUAAAAGAUCACAGUAUACUAACAGAGAAGAGGAACAACAAAGAAAGACAACAUUAUGCAAAUACUAUGAUAAAAGUUGAUAGCAGUACAGCUAGUUUAAAGGAGCAUGUAAAAAGAAAAAUCUAUAAGAGCAACAAACAAUGUUAUUAAAAUGUGGGAUAAUACGCUUAAAAGAAACAAUAAUCUGAAGCUGAAACAUAGAAUUUUAUUAAAAUUUUUUAAAAAAACAAGAUCUUAUAAAUUCAUAAUGCAUGAAAGAAAGAAAGAAAGGUGGAAACGAAAAGCAGGGUAAGAAAAGGAAACAAAACAAAUACAGAAAUAUGACGCCAAUGGUAAGUUCAAUAAUGCAGCUACAAUAUGUAUACCAUGCACGCUAAGCAUCUAGAAUAAAGGUCGCAAGAAUGUUAAGGGUUUAGAUAUUGGAUACGCAUAAAACUACAAGCCAUAAAGGUAGCUUGGCAAGAAGGCUUUUCAAAAAUUAACACACAAAACACGUGCGGGUGCGGGCGGGCGCAUGUUUAUCUGCAUAUGCACAUGCAUACAAACGCACGUGAGGAUGGAAGAAACCUCCUUCGCGUGCUACCUUUACGCUUUAACGCUUUUUGGCCCUUGAUGUUUACGUCGACCAUCAUGUUGAAUGCUGACUUGGACUGGUUAACGACAACGAAUCACAGUAUCAAACCAACAACGGUUUUUCAGAGGGAGGAAAGGCAAUGCAUGUCCAGAUGCGAAAAAAACCUGUAAGAAUAAUCGAUAACAACAGCAGGGAAAUCAUAAAAACGACGUCUUUUCACGGGCACUUAAUUUUCCACCCCAACUUAUUAUCUAAAAAUGAAAAUAGACAACAAAUUUGCAAAGAAUCCUUGAAGGAUUGCAAGUGCAAAUCUUGUAAUAUUUUUAUAAACACUAUAAGAUUUUUAUACUUCAGUGGGCAAAGUGUAAAUUGCUACAUUUUAGCCUUUUAAUAAAAAAUAUGUUUCUUUUCCCACUAAUUUCACAACCAAUUCCUAUAAGAUCCAAACUGGAUCUGAGGACAAAAUAUCAAUUUCAAAUAUAAGGCAUGCUAAAAUAGAUUGUAAAAACACUUCCAUAAAUUUUAAUCUCUACUGAAGAGAGGAAAUAAAAACACAAAAAAAAAAAAAAAUUCAAGCCAAACAUUGAAGGCAACAAAGAACAAUAAUGGAGAAAAAUUUACUACCAUUCAAAAUAAUUAAGAAACAUCACAGAUCUAAAACUUCAACAAAUGUCAUAUAAUUUGUUGAUUUAUUAAAGACAACAAACAGACUAAACUAUACCAAGUCCCAAACCCUCGUGCCCCAAAGUAUGGAAGUUCAAAUGCAUCAUAAUUUCGAAAAAAAAAAAUUAAAAUAACCUCAAACCCUAAACUAAAAUCCAACUAUUUUCUCAUACAUAAGCAACAAGGAUCUCAAAUCCCAUGCACUGAGCACCUUAUUAGACCCAAAAUUACCUCACCCAGAUCACAAAAUCAGAACUCUUAAGCACCAAAAAAAAAAAAAAAAAAACCUAAUUGUUACCCAAAUUCACAGCAAAAAAACGCAAAAAAAACCCAAAAAAUCGAGCUUUUCAGGGCGAGAAACAGGGAAAACCCUAGCGGGGGACGAAAAAGGAGAGGGAAACGCACCAGGAAUCGAUCGGAAGGGUAGAGAGAGAGAGAGAGGAGUGGGGGGGGCGAAGGAGCGGUGUCGCGAUCUCUACAGUGAGUGGGAGAGCGGUAGGGUUUGCGAAGCUCGGGCUAUAAAGAGGGGGGCGUUGAGAGGGUCGGGGUUAGGGUUGAAUUAGGGUUUUUGGGUGGUGUUAGGGUUUAGGGUUUGGGUGAGGAGGGGUCGGGUGCGGCGUGCGUGUGUGUGUGGUUUAAAUUUUGUGCGUGCGCGUUUGUAGGGUUGUCAACGCGCAGAACGCAAGUGAGCUGAGGCCGACUUGUUUCAUAAACACGUCGAUCUUAAACUGGCUCAUUAAAAUACUGAACCAAAAACUUCAGCUCAUAUUCAACUCAUUUAUUAACGAGCCGAGCUAGCUCACAAAUAAUAAAUUUUAUUUAUAUAUAUAUAUAUAUAUAUAGAGUGAGGCUACUAUGCUAUCGGAAACACGGAGCCUUCCGUGCUUCCAGCUCGUUUUCGAUGUUGCGACUUUCGAAUCGUCGAUCGGCUCCGUUAAACUUGAUCUAGAGUAUUUGGAGUACCUAGAAAAUAAAUUUUAUUAUUUUUCGAUAUCAUUUGCCUAGUGAUCGAAGGCACUCAAGAAUCAACAAAUUUCAAAUGGCCAUAGUGAGCCGUUUGCAAGUUUAACGUGUAGAAAUAUCCAAAUCAUGUGAAAUUUUGAUAGAAAAUCUUUUAUACUAUAUAAAACAAAAUCAAAUCUUUGAUUUAAAAUUUCAAUGUCAUAUUAUUACAUUUUGUAAGAUUUUUAUUUUCAGCCGUUGAUUUGAGCACUUCGUUCACUUAGGCAAAUGAUAUCGUAAAAUCAUAAAUUCAUUUUCUAGAUACUUCAAAUACUCUAGAUCAAGUUUAGAGACCGAUCGACGAUUCGAAAUCGCAAACAUCAAAACGAGCUGGAAGCACGGAAGGUUCCGUGCUUCCGAUAGAAUGAGUAGUCUCACUAUAUAUAUAUAUAUAUAUAAUAUAUAUAUAUAUAUAUAUAUAUAUAUAUAUGCUGGGCUACUAUACUCAUAUGAGUAUAGAGGCUCUUUGUACUCAUAACUUUUUGCCCGUUCAGAUAAAGAAUGUGCGGCCAGGAUGGAGUGAUUACAGUUAGAUUGAUAGUGGGCCCCCUAGGGUUAGUGGGUGGUUGGUUGAAUAGUAUAAUUUUAACGGGUAAAAAUGAUUAAAGGGUGGAUCAAACGGCCAAAAUUAUAGAGUACAAGAGCCUACUACUCAUAGAGUAUAUAGUAGCCGAACUCAUAUAUAUAUAUAUAUAUAUAUAUAUAUAUAUAUAUAUAUAUAUAUAUAUAUAUAUAUAUAUAUAGAUCUUGACUGCGGCUACUAUCGGUAGUAAACUGUUCGGUUUACUUACCGAUUUGAUUUUUUGAUGAUAGAGCUUCCAAAUCGACGAUCGGCACCGUUGAACUGAUCUAGACCCAUUUAAAUUAUCAAGAAAUCAAAAUUUCAUGAUUUUUCGGCAUCACUAACUGAACGAUCAAAGGGUCACAAAAAUAUAUAAUUUUAAGGGCCGAUAUGGUGCGUUGUGCUCGUUUAACGGUAUAGAAGAAUUCAAAUCAACUAAAUUUUUGUUAAAAAAUUCUUUAAACUAUUUCAAAUUAAGAUCUAGGUAUCUAGACUCUCAAAUAUAAAAAUUGUGAAUCCUCACUUUUUGAAGAUAUUUAUUUUCAGGCCAUUCAUUUUUUUGUUCACUUGAUGGACAAGAGAACAAUAUCGAAAAUGUGUGAAAUUUCAUUUCCAGAUAGUUUAAAUAGUUUAAAUCAUGUUUAACGUGCGAUCAUCAAUUGGAAGCUCUAUCAUCGAAAACAAAUCGGUAGUAAACCGAGCCAUUUACUACCGAUAGUAUUCUAGCCAAAACUAUAUAUAUAUAUAUAAUAUAUAUAUAUAAUUAGGCUAUAUAUAUAUCUAUAGUACCGAGCCGGUACUAUAGUGUUUGUUUUCGAUCUUACGGGUGUUCAAUAUACGACCACACCGUUAAAUAUGAUCUAGGGUGAAUUAUUGUGAGAAUAAAAUUUUAGUUUUUUCGAUAUCGUUUACUUAGAAAAUAAAUUAUAUCAAAAUAGACGUGGAAAUGAAUAAUCUUUAAAAAUUUGAGCAUAGGACCUUUUAAAUUCAAGAUCAAGAAUGUUAACCUUUAAUCUAUAUAGUUUAAAGUAUUUUCUAUCAAAAUUUAAAGAAAUUUAGAUUCUUCUACACCGUUAACUCUAAACUCGUCAUAAAGCCAUUGAAAAUUGAUCAAUUUUGAAAUAGUUUGAUCAUAAAGUAAACUAUAUCGAAAAAAUAUAAAAUUUUAUUUCUAAAAACUUUAAAUACCCUAGAUCAGUUUUAAUGGUGUGAUCGUUGAUUUGAACGCCCUAAGAUCGAAAACCAACACUAUAGUACCAGAGCUCGUACUAUAUAUAUAUAGAUAUAAUAAUAUAUAAUAGAUAAUAUUAAUAUAUAUAUAUAUACAUAUAUAUAUAUAGUAGGUCUUGUGUGCUAUUAGGAGCACGGAGGCCUCCGUGCUCCUAAGCCGUUUUCGAUUAUGGAGCUUCCAAAUCGACGAUCGGCUCCGUUACAUUUAAUCUAGUGUAUUUGAAGUAUCUAGAAAAUAAAUUGUUUGAUUUUUCAAUAUUAUUUACCUAGCGAUCGAAAGGAUUCAAAAUCAAAGGCUGAAAAUAAAAAUCUCAAAAAAAAUGGUGAUAUAGCGCUAAAUUUUCGAUCAGAGAUAUUGAUCUUGCAGUAAAUAGUACAAAGAAUUUUCUAUCAAAAUUUUAUCUGAUUUGAAUACUUCUACAUCGUUAAACUUGCAAAUGGUAUAUAUCAACCGUAAAAAAGUAUUGAUUUUGAACCCUUUUGAUCGCUAGGUAGAUGAUAUCGAAAAAUCGCAAAAUUUAUUUUCUAGAUAUUUCAAAUACGCUAGAUUAAGUCUAACGAAGCCGAUCGUCAAUUCGAAAACUCCAUCAUCAUAGGAGCACGGAGGGGUCCGUGCUCCUAAUAGCACACAAGACCUACUCUCUCUCUCUCUCUCUCUAUAUAUAUAUAUAGUCCGGCUGCUAUGUUAUUAAUAGUACCAAACAUUUGGUGCUAUCAAGUUUUCUGCCGUUAGAUUAACCUCUUUAAUUAUUUUUACCCGUUAAAUUAUACUAUUCAACCAACUACCCACUCAACCCUUGGGGACCCACAUCAUCAUAACCGCAUAUUUCUUAAUCCAAUGGCUAAAAAAUUAAUAGCACUAAUAACUUGGUGCUAUUGAUAGUAUUCCAGUCUAGUUCUAUAUAUAUAUAUAUAGGCCGUGGCUACUAUACUAUUAUGAGUAUUGGAGUCAUCGUACUCAUAAGUUGUUUUCAAUGAUGAAGCUUCCGAAUCGACGAUCCACGCCGUUGAAUAUGAUCUAGAGUAUUUGAAAAUUUUAGAAAAUAAAUUUCGUAAAUUUUCGAAAUCAUAAUAAAGUCCAUCAAGUGGGCAUAAAAUGAACAGUCAAAAUCGAACGACGUCCUUAAAAAGGAUGAUCGGAUCCUUCAAUUCAAGAUCAGAGUUAUUGAUCUUUAUCUAUAUAGUGAAUAUAAUUUUCUAUCAAAAAUUCAACAAAUUCCGAUUCUUUUACACCGUUAAACUAGCAAGUAUCCCAUACCGGCCGUUAAAAAUUGUCAAAUUUGUGACCUCUUGAUCGUAAGGUAAAUGAUGUCGAAAAAUUAUAAAAUUUGAUUUCUAGAAGUUUUAAAUGCUGUAAAUAAUGUUUAACGGUGUGGUUCGUCGAUUCGGAAGCUCUAUCAUCGAAAACAACUUAUGAGUACCAGGGCGAUCGUACUCAUAAUAGUAUAGUAGCCGAACCAUAUAUAUAUAUAUAUAUAUAUAUAUGAGUCUGGCUACUAUACUAUCGAUAGUACCAAGCCCUUGGUACUAUUGAGUUUUCUACCGUUAGAUCUACCUUUUAAUCAUUUCCACCCGUUAGAUUAUAUGAUUAAACCAACCACCCUCUCAACCCUAGGGGACCACUAUCAAUUUAACCGGGGACCACUAUCAUCCUAACCGCACAUCCUUUCAUCCAACGGUCGAAAACUCAAUAGUACUAAGGGCUUGGUACUAUUGAUAGUAUAGUAGCAUAAUUCUAUAUAUAUAUAUAUAUAUAAUUGAGCUCCUAUACUUUUAAAAGUACCAAGUCAUUGGUGCUUGUAAGUUUUUAGCCCUUGGAUUAAGGGAUGUGUGGUUAAGAUGAUGUGGGUCCCCUAGGGUUAAGUGGGUAGUUGGUUGAAUAGUAUAAUCUAAUGGGUGAAAAUAAUCAAAGGCGUAGAUCUAACGGUAAAAAAUUUACAAGUACUAAAUAUUUGGUACUUUUACAAGCACCAUAGUCGGACUCUAUAUAUAUAUAUAUAUAUAGAAUUAGGCUGGAAUACUAUUAAUAGUAAAACGCUCUUUUUGCUAUCAAGUUGAUGAUAUUAGUCGGUUAGAGUUGAGUGGUCCCUCUAGGGUUGAGUGUUCCCUACUGGGUUAUAGUAUUUAACUCAAUGGUUAGAAAUAAUGAAAAGAGUUGAUCCAAAGGCUAAAAAACUGGUAGCAACAAUGGGAUUUUGCUACUAAUGGUAGCCCAGUCCAACUCUCUCUCUCUCUCUCUCUCUCUCUCUCUCUCUCUCUCUCUAUAUAUAUAUAUAUAUAUAUAUAUAUAUAUAUAUAUAUAUAUAUGUGCGGCUACUAUACUCUUAUGAGUAUAAACCCCUUUAUACUUAUAAAUUUUCGGCCGUUAGAUCUAAUCCUUUGAUCAUUUUCUUCUGUUAAAUCAUACUAUUCAACCAACCACCUACUCAAUCCUAGGGGACCACUAUCAUCCUAAUCGAAGAUCGCUAUCAUCCUAACCACACAUUUCUUCAUCCAUCGGCUGAAAAUUUAUAAGUACGAAAGGGUCUAUACUCAUAAGAGUAUAGUAACCCUAGCCUAUAUAUAUAUGAUAUAGAUUUUCGAGAUCUUACCUAUUAAAUUUUGAUUUAAUGGUUGAAAUUUUAUAUGUAAAUAAACUUUUUUAGAAUUGAGUUGGGCUUAAUAUUUAGGUUGGACUAAAAAUCAAAUAACAAAAAUCUAUAUUAUGUAUAUAUAAUUAUUUAUUUAUAUAUAUAAAUAUAAAAUAUAUAUAUUCAAGCUGUUAUCGAGCAGAACACGAGCGAGUUAACCCUAGCUCGUGUUCGACUCGUUUACUAAACGAGCGAUUCGAUCUCGAAUUCAUUUCGAGCUGAACAUAAGCUGGCUCGCGAACAACGAGCUGGAUCGCCACCCCUACGUGUGUGUAUGUGCAAGACAAGUGGGUUUGUUUGAUUUGGGGAUUUGAUAUGGAGAGAUGUGAUUUAUUACUAUUAUUAUUAUUAUUUUUGAGAGAUAGAUAGCAUGCUACCCGCUUCAUUUAUUUCAUUUAGAAAUAAACUUAGCUGGAAAUGUGAGUCAAUUAGGAUUCAAACUUGGGAUCUCGGGUAUCAACUACCAAGUUCUUUGCCACUUGUGCUAGAGACGGUCAGUAUUAUUUUAUUAUUAUUAUUAUUAUAACACAUAAAAUGAGAAGAACCUAGGGCUUUCUCCUAGAAAAUUAUUUUUUAAAAAAAAUAGAUAAAAUAUUUAUUUUGGUUAUUAUCUAUAACUAUUAUACAUUCUUUUUUAUUUUUAAUGCAAAAAUAAUCAUGCUCAUCGGUACAAUAUGAGAUGGUUAUUAUGUGUCAAUUAUGUAGCUCAUGUUGAUAAAUCCGUACCAUCUAUGUUGUUCGUGUCGACAAAUAAAAUAUAAUGUGCAAGAUCAUUCAAAUUGAAGUAUGGUUAUCCAUCUAAUCCUCUAAAUUUUAUAUGUGUACAAGAUUAUUAUAAAGCAGGCAUAAAGAACUUUCUAUAUUUAAUAACUAUACAAAGGAAUUAAUGAAUGUUUACGCUCUCAUAAAAAUUUUUGAAGAAUAAUUCGCGGAAAAGAAUAUCAAGUUUUCAAUAGGCAAAAAAAAAAAAAUUAUGGGCAAUUGUGUUUGCUUAAAUGGUGCAAAAUGGCGCGCGAAAUGAUUACUUAGUUAAUUUUCUAUAUUGUUUAGGGUAUGUAUAGAUUCAUGUAGAACUACAAAAAAUAGUUUUCUGACGAAAAAAAUUUUCAGAUGAAAAUAAGCUUUUGUUUGGGUGGCAAAAAAAUGUUGGUGGGAAUUAUUGGUUGCUAAUUUUUGUUUUCCUUUAAUUACAUUUUUAUAAUAUAAUAUAUAUCAUUCUUAUUAAUCCAUAAAGGCUUAAUUAUACGCUACUAUAUUAUACAUUAUACAUACAUGUUUUCUCACUCGCUACACUAUAUCUUUUUUUAAAAAAAGUCAUAGCGCAACCAUCCCUUUUUAUUGGUCCCUCGGGUAGUAGUAGAGCAUAUAUUUGGCUCAAUUUGACACAAAAAUAAUAAAAUAUAUAAAAAUAACAAAAAAUUAUUAAAAAUAAUUUGAAAGAAAUUUUUAAUGAGUUUAUCAUGAAAAUUUAUUUGGUAUUUUUUCUACUAUUUAACGUGUGUCUUUUAAUAAAAAUGAUAUAUUUUGCAUAAAAUAAUAGAUUUAUUAACACUAAUAUAGAAAUUAGUAAGGAAAAAAAUAAUUCAAUGAUAUUUAUGAGAAAAAGUAGAGCAAGAUAAAAAUAUAAAUAAAUCUAAAAUACACUGUCAAUAUAAUUAUAUAAUAGUGUUUUUGAAAGAACAUAGUGUAAUAUAAUAAAUAAAAAUUGCACAAAAAUACAGUGUAGUAGGGUGUAGUUAAGUUAUCUAUAAUAUACAAUAGUAUAUAUGUUAUAAAUAAAAUUAUAAUAUAAUAUAUAUUGUUAUAGAUAAUUUAUAUUAUCAUAUAUGGUACUGGAGUCCGGCUACAAUGUUAUCAAUAGCGCCAAUCACUUGGUGCUAUCAAAUUUUAUGCCGUUAGAUCAACCCCUUUGAUCAUUUUUAUCCGUUAGAUCAUACUAUUCAACUAACCAUCCACGUAAUCAUGGUGGACUACUAUCAUUCUAACCAUACAUCGCUUCAUCCAAAGGCCGAAAACUUAAUAGCACUAAUGACUUGGUACUAUUAAUAAUAUUUUAGGCUAGUUCUAUAGUAUUGUAAUAUUAUAUUAUCUUAUACAUAAUGAAUAGGCUAAAUUACAGAAAACCCCCUUGUAAUAACCCGCUUUUUCACUUUCCUUUCCUGACAUUUAAAAACCUACACUUUGCCCCUCUGUAAAAUAAAAAAUGUGCACUUCACCCCCUACCGUUAGGGUUCCGUUAAAAAAUAUAUUUUUAUGCCGAAAAUACCCCUCCGCCAUCUCCCUGUUGCUUCGCCUCCCUCCGGCUCGCACCUCGCUGCCGCCUCGCCGCCUAGCCGCCUCGCCGUCCUCCACUACCGCGCCCUCACCUACAUCCCCUUCGCCGUCCUCCGCCGCCUCGCCUUCGCCUUCUUUGCCCUUCUCCUACUGUCGCCCACCUCGGUUUUCUCCUACUGUCGCCGAAAUCGAGAGCGGUUUUCUCCUACUGUCGCCGAAAUCGAGGGCGGCAAGGGUGCAGGAGGAGAAGGGGAGCAGGUGGAGAAGGAAAUGGAGAGAAAUCACAGCCGAUUGAGGUAGGAAUCGCGGCCGAACGAAGGGGCGGCUGAGGAAGAUAGGGAAGAAGACGACAAUGGCGAGGGACAAAAUGGUCAUUUUACACACCGUAACCCCCCUGUGAACAUUUUUCAUUUUACAGGGAGGUAAAGUGUAGGUUUUUAAAUGUCAGGGGGGAAAAGUGAAAAAGCGGAUUAUUAUAGGGGGGUUUUCUGUAAUUUAGCCUAAUGAAUAUUAUGUAUAUUAAAAACUAGGGUAAACUUCAAAUACCUACCCUCUGGUUUCACACUUUCUUAUUUUAGUACCCUGUGGUUUAAAGUGUAUCAUGUUAGCCCCUAUAGUUUCGCACUUUCUCACUUUAGUACACCGUGAUUUAAAGUGUUUCAAGUUACUACCUUGUGGUUUCAUUUUUUUUUUUUUUAUUAUCCAUUUCACUAAUUUUUUCGUUAAAUCAGUGAUAAAGUUAAAAUUAAAGGGUACUAAAGUGAAUAUUCGAUAAACCUAGGUAGGGUAUCUGAAGUUUUUUUGUAUAUAAUUUAACGAAAUAUUAACGAAAGAAAAAAAAAAUCAGCGAUAAAGUUAAAACUAAAGGGUACUAAAGUAAAUAUUCGAUAAGCUUAGGUAGGGUAUCUAAAGUUUUUUGUAUAUAAUUUAACGAAAUAUUAACGAAAGAAAAAAAAUUAGCGAUAAAGUUAAAACUAAAGGGUACCAAAGUAAAUAUUCGAUAAACUUAGGUAGGGUAUCUGAAGUUUUUUGUAUAUAAUUUAACGAAAUAUUAACAGAGAAGCCGACGAAAAGAAUAAAAUGAAACCACUUGAUACUAAAUUGAUGCACUUUAAACCACAUGGUACUAAAAUGAGAAAGUGCGAAACCACAUGGUACUAAAUUGAUACACUUUAAAUAACAGAAUACUAAAGUGAAAAAGUGCGAAAUUACAGAGCUGAUAUUUGAAGUUUUGUCACGCCCCGGGGUCCCUUUUAGUUUAAAAGGUAGCGGAAAAGCGUCUGAAAAUUUUUUUUUUUUGAAAAUCUGACCCCAGAGUGUGCCAGAUCCGCCACAAAUACAGGAGCUCCACUGUUCACACGGACAGAGUCUCCCCUGUAUUUGCACGGCGUCGCACAAGUACAACAGAGUAUAAGUACACACACAACCACAACCAGAUGAACAACAAGAUAGAUAACAUUCAUCCAUUCCAUUCACACACACAGAUAUGAGACUUGAAUAUGAAUAACAUUCCACAUCUAUCAGUUAAAAAUGUUUCCUACCUGGAAACUGAUUUUGAAAUACUAAAUCCAUAAAUCCACAGAGAAAUCAACUUGAAAACUGAUCCCUACACGGGAACCAUUCUUUUUCAAGACCAGCUACCACGAGGGGUAGAAAACUGUUUUAUAUUCCAGAAAACUCCAAUCCUUACGUACCUUUUCAGAAACCGAAAUUGAAACCCAGAUAGUCAUAAUAAAAUAGAAAACUGAACCAUAAUAUUGUCUAAGUAUUAUUCAAGCAUGAAGGGUAAAAGGAAUAACCGCUCGGGAAGGAGCUCUAUCGCACGGCUAGACAGCUCCGUCACCAGCUGUCCACUCGGACCUGCUACGUCACCUGUAAUGGGGGCGGGUGAGAGAACAUGUAAACAAUGUCUCCCCUCCAAGUGGGUACGCCAAGUCGUAGAGGGCGAGGGGUACUCACUAGUCACGGGAAACUAGAUAGAUAUAAAUGUUGAUAAAGUAAAUUUAAUGCUGAAAGUAAGGACUGACAAGUAUAGAUGCAGGUAAGUAAAACAGUAGCUACAAUAAACAGAUAAGGAUUGCUGGAAAUAAACACUACAGCUACUGUAUGCAUGCGUCAUGACGAAAAGCUCAAAGUCCCCAAUCUCGCUGCCCUAUUGGUCGUAUGACCUCAGGCUCAUGCCACACUGCAACUGUAUCUGACCCUCGCAAUGAAGCCCUGGGUCAGAAGCAUAUACCCCUCGCAAUGAAGCCCUUGGCUCACGGUUGCAAUCCAACCACUUUUCCCGGAAAAGAAACACCCUCUUGCGGUGGAGUUCAGACCGCUGGUGUUCGUGAAAUGCGUACCUGUAGUGGCGAUCAUGUAGUGCUCAAAGAUCAUCCGUCGGCAACUAGCCGACAAUCCAGGCCCUCCAGGCACACCGGCCGUAUAGGCCAUCAGCAACUAAUCGGCUAGUAAGCCAAGAUGGAACUGUAGCAACUCGACCGAACAGGUCAUGAGGUAUCACAAUAGGGGGAACGCCCCAACCAAAUCACUGAUAGUGAAUAGAUAGAAAAAAUCAACUCUAGCUCUAAGCAUGUAGUCAACAUGAAAAUAACUGAGUAGAGAUGUAGAUAUAAAUACAGAUGCAAGGCUCAAUAUACUAUAAGAUAUGAGUAAACAGUAGGGGGAAGAAACGUCACCCGAGCGUGCACCACGUAACCGACUACGGGUCGAAGUACCCACUGUAUGUAUCUGACGAAGGUCUUCGACUGUGAAGACGGUGCAAACCGAACCUAACGAAAGGCUACGGGUUAAGGUCUAACCGCACUGACAUGAAAAGCUAACUCACAACCCCUGCUAACAAAACCACGACCGGUUUCCAAACGAUACCAAAUAAGCCGAGUCACGAAAACUGCACCGGAACUUUCUCGUCGCUCCUACCCGUCGUUUCGAACCCUCAAAACGACGGCGGGUGACCAGCCCAACCAGGCUCAGCGACGCCAUAAUCAUCUCACAGGAGGCACCGUCGGAUGAAAUCCGAACCGAAACGCGUUCUAUCGGCAGAUUUCGCCGAAAACGCCUCGGAAAUCACUUCCGAUUUCCGCAAAGGCUUGGGGCCUUGGACCGAUUCAGUCCAGAGGUUACCGCCUCAGCAUUACACGGCUGUCACGCAUCUACAACGAAGCAAAAGCUAAAAGCCGAUACCGAUACAUGAAAUGAUCAUUUCACUGUGAUCUAGCUUUCUGGACCGUGCACGCAAACCGAAGUCGAUUAUCCGACCGUCUACUGCUGACAGGUUUCAGCAUGUCGGAGCCGUGCUCACUUUGGAGCACUGCCGCCACUGCGGUGCGCGCACGAGCGACGCGAAGUACUGAAAAACUGCACGCAACAGCGCGCAAGAUCGGCGACUAACUACAACCAGGGCAUCUUCGCCGUUGUUGGAGGUGAGCAGAUGUUCAGCACGAGUUGUAAGAUCAUCAUGCCACUUCCGAGACUUAGAAGGCUUCUCGAUUCACCGAAAAGACGCGAAGCCUCGGAAAAACAGUGCUGGAACAUAAAAUGUCCUUACCCAGACCCGAGAGAGCUAGGGUUGGUCGCAGGCCGCCGGGAGGCGGGCGUCCGGCCGAGGAGGAGCACUCGUCCAGGAGGUCGGGAGGGUGCUUGGCCGGCGGCGGGAAGCAACCGUGGCGGCGGCGGCCGAGAUCCACCCUGCACACCUCCUCUCGCGUUGGGCUUCCCGGCGGCGUGGCGGGGCCUGAGGAGUCGCGGCGACUCUGUGCGGCGCCGGAGCACGAGGGGAGGACGUGCAGCACCUAAGUGGGCUGCGCAGCGCCUGAAACCAGAGCGGGCCCGACCUCGGCCGCACGUGACUGGCGGCCACAGAAAGCUCCAGCGGCGGCCGGCGGCUGCCGGGACGGCGGGGACGCGCGCGCCGGGUUGCCGAAGGUCGCCGGGGCCGACUGGGGGCCGCGGCCGAAACGAGCGAGGGCGCUGCUUCCCGGGGGAGCCGCUCGUCUGGGCUGACCCGAGCUGCUGCAGGGAGCGGGUGUGGCUCCGGCGGCGUCGAGCGGUGCCGGGGCCGGCGGGCGAGGACGCCGGAGGAGGGCUCGCAGGGAGGGGAAGCCGGCUUAGAUGCCCUCCGAGCACAAUACACGAAAUGUGGCAGUCAGGGGCUAGGGGAGAGCUAAGAGGUGGCCGGGUGACUUCUCCGGCGGCCGGAGCACCUGCCGGCCGGCCAGGGCCGAGCCACGGAGCUGGGCAAGGAGAAGGUAGGGUGGUUAGGGCAGGCUGGGAAAAAUUAGGGUUAGGGUUCCUUAGCCGAACCUAAAACUCAUUUAUAUCAACAUGACUAAUUGUCGAAACCCCUCCUAGUCCAAUACCCUUUUUACCAAGCCCCUGGCAACAUGUGGAAAAUCCGCAUAGUCCCUCGACAUUCGAAUUCGGCGCAAGAUCGCGCAUAAAAUAUUGGACUUUUCGCGAGAUUAAUCGUUUGCACUUGACCUCUUAGCGGACUUUUCACGGAUUCCCGAAGAUCCGUCCGUCGGAUUUCGAACGGAUUGCGCCAGGCGAUCAGCACGACUGGGCAUCGAAUCUAGCAUUCUGUUUCGUCUGAAAAGGCUCCGAUUUGCGACAAACCCACCCUCACUGGUUCAUCAAACCACAUAUAGGUAUAAUCAUAUGUAAAAACCAUUAAACCCCUUUUCUCGACACACCAUGCAUCAGAACCCAAUUCCGUCAGCGCCAAUGGUUCGCAGUAUAGUCGAGAGUUCGAAACAAGUAUUGGAAGCUAUAUCAGGUCGAUACGCGUCGAAAGUCCACUCUACUCCGCGGCCUCUCCGGAAAAUCGGAGUCUAUCAUCACUUAAGUGAACUUCCGGGUCGCCGUAACACUCUCCGUUUUAACUCGUUUUCUCCUGAAAUUUGACGAGUACACUUAUAAUUAUUUACACACAAGAACAUCGUCAAACAAAAGGGUUCAAUCAAUAAAUGAAAAUCUCAGUUAUUACAAGUUUGCCUUAAAAGACUAUACCAUGAAUACAUCUAUCUAUCUAUCUCUAACUACAUUAAAGGAGGGUUUGGGGACCACGGUGACACGUGUCCCCCAAACCCCCUUCUCUCUCCCCGCUAUAUAUAUAUAUAUAUAUAUAUAUAUAUAUAUAUAUAUAUAUAUAUAUAUAUAUAUAUAUAUUAAGUUUUAAAUUUUUAUAUCAAAUAUAAAAUUUUGAUACUUCCAAAUCUUUACAGUUUAAAUUUCUAAUUUUAUAUUUUUUAUUUAAAUUUUAAAUUUCAAUUUUUACUUAUAAUAUUUAUUUCUAAAUUUUAAGCUUUUUAAACUUCAAAAUUUUAAAGUUUUAAUUUUCUAAUUUUAUAUUUUAUAUUUAAAUUUUAAAUUUUAUUUUUUACUUAUAUUAUUUAUUUCUAAAUUUUAAGCUUCAAAGUUUAAAAUUUUAAAUCUCUAAACUCUAUGAAAUUAAUUAAUUAAUUAAAUUUAUUAAUAAUUAGUUUUAUACAAUAUAAUUAAUUAAUUUUAUUAAAAAUACACAUAAUAAAUCGCAUAAUAAAAUCUAAUUUGAUAGAUGAAAUUUAAAUCACAUAAAAUUUCAUUGUAUAAAAAAAAUACGGAAUUUAAGUUUCAGGAGUAAAAUUUUAAAAAUAUAGUGUAUGUGUGUAUAUAUAAUUAAUUUUAUUAAACAAAAUCUUUUACAAUUUUAUUUUCCUUCUAUUUAUUGGUUUUUUUAAAAUUAUUUUGGUAGAUUUAUCUCAAAUCCUUUUCAUAUAAUUUUUUAUAAAAUAAACUAUUGUAAAAAUUUACUUUGCGCAUAUACCAAUUUUAAUGACUUUUAUUUAAAUAGAUUUAACUAUUAAAUUAUUUUUAUAUAACUUUUAUUUAAUUAAUAAUUAGAUUUAUAAAACUAUAUAAAAAUAUUAAAAAAACUAAAAUUUAUGAUAAAAAUAUUUUUAUAUCCGCAGCAUCGCGCGGGUAUUUUACUAGUAUACAUGAACCCAGUGCACCCAUGGGUAAUUUCUCACACUUUCUUUAAUUUAAAAAUCCAAAUUUAAAAAUCCAAAAUUUGUUAUUGUGGACCAUGCCAUUUUUUCUUUUGGGUUGGGAAUUAUAAUUGAAAAAAGAAAAAACAAAAGAUGCAUAAGAAAAAAUGGGAGGUUAUGGAAUAUGGAGAAUAUAUGGAAAAAAAUUCAUAUUUUUCAAAAAACAUAGGCUUAUGAGAUUUUUAUAUUUUUCAAUAAGAGAGAUAAUAUUUUCUUAUUUUUCAUAAAAAUAAAGUAAUGUACAAUGUGAAGGUUCAGCUCUUCUUUUUCUCUUUCUAGCCCAUUCCACAUUUCCACCAACCUUUUGCUCUUCAGUGUUUUUCUUUGCUCUUAUCUUUUGACUACAUUUUGGCUCAGCAUCUGACCAAAAAUCGAUUAAUAAAUUUAGAGUUUUGUUUAAUUUUACUGAUCAUGUUCUACGAUACUAUCUUCUAUAUAUAAUUUUUUAAUACGUUCUACUCCACAAUCAUCUAGAUUUUUGUCUCUCACUUGCUCCGAUCUUUCGCUAUAUCUUUCGUGCUGUAGCUUGGUGGACUCGAAGAGAGAAAUGUUUUGCUGUGAGUUGAAGGACGAAAGUUAGAUUAGAUAUGCAGAGAUUGCUUUCAUCUAUAUUAUUCCCUAUAUUUUACUAUAGGGUUAAUUGUAUAUAGAUCCCCGCAAACAUAGUGAAUUGCAUAUAUAUUUCUGUAAAGUUCAACUUUUAUAAGUUAUUCCUAUAAAAAUCCUAAUGUUUUCAGAUAUGUUCCUCUGGUUUGUUACCAUUAGAUAACCAUUAGAAAACUGUUUAUAUUUUUAAUUUUGUCAUUACAAACAUAUCCCUCCAAAAAUUAUAACAGUAUAUUAUAAGAGGGGUAAAACUGUCAAAAAUUAGUAUUUAACCUAUGGUUAACUAAACUUUUCUAACGGAUUCUAACAGUAGGAACAUAUCUGAAAAUAUUAAAACUUUUAUAGAAAUAAGUUAUGAAAAUUGAACUUUACAUGAAUAUAACUGUAAUUUAUUAUAUUUUUUUGCAAAAAUUUGUAUGCAAUUGACUCUUUUUUCUAUAUUAUGAGCUUAAUUAAUUUCUAAGUCGAUGAUUGAGUUAGGGACCGAUUCACAUAUUUUUCUUUUUCCUCUGUUAUUUUUAUAUUUGCCUUUUCUUUAAUUUUGAGAAUUUUUACAUAUUUUUCUUUUUUUCUUGAUAUGGGAAUGUACUUAUUUUAUUCACAAAAUCCUAUAAUAUGAGGGGCAUUAUAGUCCAAAAAAAUUAUGUACUUUCCUUCCCAUCCUUGACGUGGCUUAAUUUUUUGAAAAUGAUAUGAUUAUCUUGAACCAUCCUCAAAAGUAAAAUUGUGUGGAGACCCUUCAACCUCAUGCAAAUUUGAAAUUGUCUCUCAACUUUUAUUUUUUCAUUGACAUCCCUUAACUUAUAAUAUUUUAAAAAUUAAGUAGUUUUAAUAAAUAAAAUUGCAAACACCAAAUUUAUUGAUAAUUUCAUCAAAUUUAAUAACUAUAUUAUUGUUUUAGCAAAUAAGUAACUAUGUACAAUGUCUUAUUUCGUCAAAAGGGGUGCCCAUCAACAAAUACGUUAUGUGGUUAUAGUGUCAAGUGCCAGACAAUCCUUAAUCAACAUUUUGGAGUCCCAGCAAAUUUUUAUCCCAAUCCCAAGGUGGUCAUUUAGGAUUGCCUCCCGAUAGGCACCGCAGCCACGUGGCGCUUAUCCAUACAUGCACCCACUAUUUCUCAUUAUUAAGAAAGCAGUGGGUACUAUUAGGUGAAUCAAAUGCGUGCAUCAUAUAAUAAAAAAAAUUUUAUUUAAUUUUGUAGAGUUUAGAUUAAGAAUUUAGGGUUUUAGAAUUAUGCUGUAAAAAAUUAAAAUAAAUUUUAAAAUUUUAAAUCCUAAAUCCUAAACCCUAGAAACUACAAGUCCAAAUCCUAAGCCCUGAAAUCUUUAAAACUUUAAAUGCCAAAACCCUGAAAAGUUAAAAUAAAAAUUUAUGAGUACACAGUGCACCCUUAGGCAAGUGCAUCGUGAUAAUUUCCAGUGUUUUUUUCAAUUAUAAGGAAAAAAAUAUUUCUUUGGGAGGCAACUUCAAGAUGUCCAUUUGGGUUAGGGAUACAAAUGGAUCCGGGUUGGUGGAGCUCUCGCCUUAAUCCUACUGAAUGGAGCGGUAAGUGGGAACAAAAAAUAUAAAAAAAAUAUAACCCAUUCCGAAACUGCCCCGAUCUGCCAAGUAAAUGGAGCGGGAGGUGGGAGGUCCUUUUCUUCCUUCAAUCUGUCCCGAUCCGUCAAAAAUCUACUAAAAAUUCGCUCCUACCCCGAUUCAUCUUAAAUAGGGCGAUAAGUGGGAGCCAAAAAUAAAAUAAAAAAUAACCCGCCCCAAAUCCGUCCUAUUCUGACAAGAAAUGGAGCGGAAGAUGGAGAACACUCCAGCCCUCGGAUCCGCCCCAUUUGCAUCCCUAAUUUGGAGUUGCCUCCUCAAUAGGCACCACAUGGCACUGCAGUGAUGCGACGUCCAUCUACGAAGUUGCAAUUAAGGUUUUGUAUAUAGUUUACUUAUUUGCUAAAAAAUAAAUAAAGUUAUUAAAUUUGACUAAAUCAUUAAUAACUUUUAUAUUUAUUUUAAGUUUUAUUCACUAAAAUAUGUAAUUUUUAAAACGUUAAAAGUUGAGGGAUGCCAAUGAAAAAACAAAAAUUGAGAAAGUUAAGGGAUGUCAAUUAAAAAAAUAAAAGUUGAGGGGCCAUCUGAAAUUAGCAUAUGGCUGAGAGGUGUCCACACAAUUUGUUUUCUAAAUAUUAGUCCCUGUCUAACUAUUUAAUAACUAGAGUAAAGAUAACAUCAAC
RNAcentral lists this long non-coding RNA (89774 nucleotides) under Ananas comosus (pineapple). RNAcentral describes it as "long non-coding RNA (ACOM_LNC028420)". The record is from RNAcentral. Lineage: Eukaryota; Viridiplantae; Streptophyta; Magnoliopsida; Poales; Bromeliaceae.